This 89574-nucleotide long non-coding RNA is filed under the name Nicotiana benthamiana. RNAcentral's name for it is "long non-coding RNA (NBEN_LNC011233)". Lineage: Eukaryota; Viridiplantae; Streptophyta; Magnoliopsida; Solanales; Solanaceae. The record is from RNAcentral.
UUUUUUUUUUUAGUUUUUAGUUAGGAUUAAUUGGCUAAGAGCUAAAAUCAAAAGAGAAACCCUUAGCAUUGAUACACCUGAACAUAAUAGACACUAGAGUGUAGCGCUGGGUCUCAAUGGUUGAUUCUUGCUAAAGUGCCUUAAAUUGUAUGUUUGUCACUGACUUGAAUACUCGAAAAAGAGUGCCUUGAUAAGUCAAUUCGGAGUGAGUCAUAUGCCAUGUGCGUGUGAGUUAUAUUAUAUUCCAUGAUUCAAAUAUGAUGCCUAGAACUUGCCAUGAGUGUUUGCAAAGAAAAAUAGUAGUUUCAUUCAGUCUUAGAAGUGAUAUAUGCAUUUUGUUUGUUGAGCCAAACAUAUAAAGUUAACCCACCUGACUGUAAUACAUAGUAGUCAGCCCCAUUGAGCCUAUAAGCUUGUUUAUUUGACAACCACAUUACAAACCUUACCCAAUUGUUUGAAUGGACGUGUGUUUUAACCCUUUAACCUCCCACAAGCACUUGAAUGGUAUUGAAAUUAUGCAAAAGCAAAAGUGUGGGGUAGUGAUUUUUGAGUGGAACCGUUGAAAUAGAGAAAAGGUGCAGUGUUUGGAGAAGUAAAAGAAUAAGCACCACCAUAAAAAAAGAGUAAAUGUAGUGAUCGAGAAGUGGUGGAUUGUUACAAUUGCACCUAUUGAAUGGGGAUGUUGUAAAUAAGAAGUGGUAGAGUGUGGUGUAGACAUAAGUUUGGUUUUGAAGGUUAAUGUAAUUGUAUUAAAAGUACUUAGGGAGGUUAGUUACUAUAUCCACAUAUAUCCUACCCAUCCCUUAGCCUACAUUACAACCAAGUGAAGGCCUAUUUAGAUUGAGUGGGCUCGAUUAGUAGAGUAGUACACUACGGGCAAGCCUAUGGUGUAUCUUUGUGGCAUGUGAAUGUUCUUUUUGAGAGUGAGCGAAUUUUUUCUAUCUAAGUUCCUAAUUGUUUUAAAUACCAUUAUAUGUGGAACUACUCUCUUGUGUGAUGUAAGGACAUGUGAUUCAUGAAGGAAAGACAAGUCUUGACUUCUGUGCAGAGUAAUUUGAGUAAAUAUAAAUAAUGCACGUCAUGUGAGAGUAGACUUUUGAGGAGAAGAUUCUUCACUACUUGGUGUAACUUAUGUGAUUUGUUCUUGGUGUGAUACGUUAGAGAAUAAUUAUUAGUGAAGGAACUUAUAUAGAGUGUGGUGGAUUGCUCGAGGACUAGCAAUGAUUUAAGUGUGGGGUAUUGAUAAUAGGCUAGAUUUAUGUAAUUUGGCAAUUGUUUAUGCCCCAACUUGGCUAUUUUUGACUGUGAGAAUACAGUUAAAUGAUGAUAAAUUAGAUCUUAUUGUGAAUUUCAAAUGUUGUAGGCGUGAGUAGCACGUAUGAGGACUUAAAGCAGUGAUUGGAGCAAAAUUGAAGCAAGAAAAGCCCCUAAGAGCUGAGUACGUGAGAAACGAGAAAAAGAAGAGAGAUGAACUGAAGACCUGGACUAGUGCGGCCACUAGCGUGCCCACUAGCGCAACCGUGCUAGCCUAGAUAGUCGAAGCAGAAUGAUAGGGAAUAUACGCAGUCACUACCGCAUCCAUUAGCGCGACCACGCUAGCCCAGUUCCGGAAAAUUAAAUUUUAGGGGUAAACUUCGAAGUUCGGGGGUAAAUCCACUUAACCUAUAGAAGGUCCAGCUCUCCCAAAGAUUGAUUAUCAAGGUUUUCAUUGCUUAGUUCAAGGCAAGGAGAGGCAAGAGGCAAGGAGGAUAAUUCAACAUCGAGUUCUUUCUUUCUUCCUUUUGUUUGUAUGAUUUAUGAUGAAUUUGAAUAUUGUUUUGAGGAACACUAGUAUGAGUAGCUAAAUAUUUAGUCUAAGAUUUUGAUAGAACCUAUUGAAGGAUGAACUUCUUGUUAUGUUAAUAUAGUUGCCUGAUUUAUCUCUAUUUGUUCCACUAUGUUUUUACUGUAGUUAAUUGAUAGGAUCCUUAAUUAGCUGUGCCUAUUUAGUGUGUAUGACUCGGGAUAGAGUGCAUAUUUAGGUAAUGUUGAUACCCAAUUUUUUCCUAUAUAAUUUUCAUAUACAAAAUACUUUAAAAAUAGCAUGUACAUGCAUAUAUAAGCAUACCCAAUUGUUUUUUGGUAUUUUGCAUAAUUUUUAAAUAUUUUCAAAAUCAAUUUAUUGUCUAUUUUAGCAGCAUAAAAUCCAAUAAUUAUUCCCAAAGAUUAUUAUUGGUGAAUGACCUAUUUUAUUCUUAUAUUUACACCAAAUAUAGCUAAGGUGAUUUUUGUAUUUUUUACAAAUUCAUUUGGUAUUUAAACGAUUAAAUUGCAUAUAAUUAUAAUUGUAGCCUAAUUUAAGAUUAAUCAUAUUUUAUAAUUGUAAAAUUGGGUUCGGUAUUUUUAAAUUAAUAUUUAUACACUAUUAAUUGUUUAUGUACUUUUAAUAUGCUUUUAAAAUCAGCUUUACUAUUUUUACAAAAAUAAAAAGAGAAAAAGUGGUUAUUUAAAAGUUAGCCCUAUUUCAUUAAUAUUUUAGCCCAAAUUGACCCCUCACUAAACCCCAUUUUCAGAUCUCAAAUCAGCUCAGUUUCAAUUUGGACCCAACCCACGACCCAAUUCCAAAUGACCCAUCCCGUUCCCUACCUACCCACUUAAAUCUGGACUAUUGAUCACUCAAGAUCAACAGCCAAAACUCACACUUCCAUAAUUAUUUCCAAACGACUACCCUAAUCCCUUAUUUCCCAUCUCUUAUCCGCCUUUGAAAACCAAUCGUCUCUCAAACUCUCCGAAACCCUAGCCUCCUUCUACCCGCUUCAACCACCACUCCACCGCAAUCCAUGGCUUCCCAGGCCAUGGAUGCUUGGUACUCACUCCCCUUCACCAGUAAACCAUGGUUGUUCGAAGCUUUGAGACCUGACCUCAAGGGUUAUCUCCAAGACCUUUUCAGAUAUGUAGACCUAUGGCUUCUUUGGCCAUUACUCCGACAUAUUAGAGCAAUAUGAGUCCUUUCGACUCAGGAUCUAACUUUCCUCAAGACCUUUAUCGUUUCUAGGAUUUUCUCUGCAAUCCUAAGUUGUCUGAGGUUCUUUACUUGAUUAUUUUUGUAGAUCUGGAAAAUAUCCAUGUUCUAUUUAACUUUUUAAAGGUUUUUCCCAAACUCUCUUUUCAAAAUGAUUUAAUUUCGAUUUUCGAAGCCUCAAGACCUGACCUCAAUAGUUCUCCUUCAGAUCCUUCUUAGAUCUGUAGAUCUAUGGCUUCUCUGGCCAUUACCCCGGCAUAUUCAAGCACUAUGAGCCUCUCCGACUCAAGACCGGACCUGUUUCCAAGCCUUUCUCAUUUCUAGAGUUUCUCCAAAACCCUAAGCUAUUCAAGGUUCUUUCACUGUUGUUUUCUUAGAUCUAUACUGUAUCUAUGCUUUUCUUGCCAUCUGAAGUGCUUUCCCUCAAAAGUUUCUUUUCAAAAUCGUUUCUCUCCGAUUUUAGGGUUUCUGAAAGAAUAUAUUGGAAAAAAUCUUUAUGAUUUUUCUUCUUCUUUGCUUUAUGUGUGUUUGUCCAUACUAUGCUCGUGUGAUUUCUUUUGUUAUGCAUGUACUAUCUUCUACCUUUUCUUUUCUACUAUACAUGUUACUCCUGUUAAUCUUUGCUAUGUUUUGUUUAGUCUUUUACUAUAUGUGUUUACCGUUAAGCUAUUUGAUUUUUGUUUAUUGGAAUCUGUUCAUGUUUUACAUGCUUCAUCUACUUUAGUUCAAGUUUGUUAUCUCCUUCUUCUGAACUUGUCUAGCUUUCGAGUUUUCUCAAAUAUGUUCUUCGUGAUUUUUCUUCCUUUGUCGUUCAAACAUGCUAUCAUAUCUGUUUUGUUGAGACUUUGAAACGAAUUGCUUGCUUUCUCACCUCCAUUUCUGAUUGAAUUUUGAAACCCUAGGAUUUGGGGGUUUCCUUUGACGAUUUUUAUUUUGUGUUCGAGUUAAGGUUCCACUUUGGAACCCUGGACUCUCAGACUCACUAUGAGUCUGCAAAUUGAACCUGUACCUUUUGCUUAUGAUUCUGAACUUUUCUUUGAUUAGACUGUCUUCUAAUUAACUUGACAAUCCCUCUUUGGUUCACAUUUGUGUGCUUUAUGUAUAAGGACUCUGCUUUGAAAAGGUUUAUCCAACUACUAAUUGAUUCUGAAUUCCUUUAAUUGUGUUUACUUGAUUGUUACUGAUUUUCCCUAAUUGAACCUUUCUUUACCCCUUUCCUGACUUGAUUCAUUCGAGUAAAAGUUUGAAACUUUGAUUUUACUAGUUGAUUUGCUUUCCUUUUUUUACAAACCCUUUAUUAUUCUACUAUGUACUAUCGGUUUGUUGCCUUAAAUAGCUUCUAUGUACUUAACCUUUAUUAUACUACUAGGAAAAUAUUUUUCAAAUCCCUUUCCUUAAUUGUAUUCUACCUGGUGGAAAUCAAAUCCCUUAACUGAAGGGAAAUUCUAUGUGAUUGAUUGAAAACUAUUUUCCUGCCUUUCUGACUUGCUUCUCUGCACUAUAAAAGGGACUACCCUCCUGCACUUUUAAGGACACUUCGAGUUCAAUACCUCGAACUUUUACUCUCAACUCACACACUUACAAUACUGCUUUGAGUUCAAUACUCUCUCAACACUCUGCUUUUCUGAGAUCUUUUGGAACUGCUUACUUACAAAUUGGCUUUUCAAGACUAAUGUUUCUUUUUACCUGUUUUCCUAAAACUGGUAUGUCUGAUUUAAUUUUUAAUCUACCUCACCUCUAUGUGUUUACUUUAUAGUUUCAAAAUUCUUGUUUACUCUGCUGUUCAUGUUCAGUGAUUAAACUAUGUAUGUUCUGUUUCUAUUGUGAAUCCCUACCCCUAUUCCCUUAUAUGUGUUUGAGUUAAGGUUUUGGCCUGGCAGUACCCAAAUUACUGCUCAGGUCUGAACUUGAUCUCCAAUGGAUCCUAACUCGUAAGAUUUGGCUAAUAGUCUGGUCAGGGGCGUGACAACAUUCCAUAUUGCUGGGCAUGACCAGAAGUCUGCCCUGGACUCCCUAAUUCCCCCAUGCACUUACACUUACUCUUAGACUCUAAGUUCUGCCCCCCUCCUAUGAGCCUUGCUUUAGGACCUUGAGUUCUCUCUGAACUUGGACAUUUGAGGGCUGGCCCUUCCAUAGUGCACUAUAAUUUGGUCCUACAAAUAUAAUUGGGUGUGCACACUGCUUGGGGUUCAUGAAGCCCCUUGGAACCUUGACACAUCAAAAAGAUGAGAAAGGCUUUAGAAAUCCGAUCUUUGGAAGUUGGUUUAUCUCAUAUUGUUAGACCUUGAGUCUGAAUUAGGAUGUUUUGUUGUAGCUUGAAUUUGUGAUUUUUUGUAUCUUUCUUGAUUCAUUCGGGUUUGUAAUAAUUUGUAAUAGCUAUGGGGUUCUAGUGAAAAAAGGAAGGGUAAUUUAUGUAUGCAUAUGGGUAGACAACAUGCUCGUAGGGAUUAGUAUUUACAAAUUCUACAUUCAUACAGAACAUAUAGAACUCUUGCCUAUAAGUUUCUGUAUAUAGAAAUCAUGUAUAAGUUUCAGUGCUUAUGCAUUUAGAAAUCCUGCCUAUAUGUUAAGCAUUACACGUAGAAAUCCUGCCUAUAAGAUUGUUUCAUUAUUAGAAACCAUGCCUAUAAGUUUCUGCAUAUUGAAAAUCAUGCUUACACUUUUGUUUCUGCACCUCUGCAUACACGUCAAUAAUCAUAGGUUUAACAAUAAUCAACCUCAUUCUAGAUACCAUGCCUAUAGGACUCCUGUACUUAUGUAGUCGUCUUAAAACCAAUAACACUUAGAAAUCAUGCCUAUAGGAUGUAAUCAGUUGAUCAACUUCAUCUAUUUCACCUAUGAGUUUAGAAUAAGUAACAAGAUCGUUCAAAAUCUGUAGAGCUUUGUUUAUUAAACCAGUAACGUUUAUUUAAAAUCAGCACGCCUUCUGAAUUGUUAGAUAUCAUGCUUACAUGCCUCAUCUAGGCAAAUCAGUAGGUAAUGAAUCAACUGCGUCAGUCACUGAUAAACUUCAACCAGACAAGGUCUAAUUCGGACUUCUCAUAUGAGAAAUAUGUGAUAAAGCAGCAUGUCCUAACGCUUUAAAUUUAAUUCAAACCUAAUCAGUACCUGUAAGUCAUGCUAAACAAUUUUUUCUUUGAAUGAAGAGGCCUAUUUGAGCCUUUAACUAUUAUGUGUUCUCCCCUUUUAACUGUUAUGUGUUCUGUUUGUCGCAUUAGAUUUUUGUUCUUUUAAAACUUUGAAAAGCCAAUAUCCCUUCCCUUUAGGAUUAGUAGUCCUAACUAUCUUCGGGACUUAUAGGAUUGGGGCGGGUAGUGGCAUGCAAUAAGUAACAAGACCAUUCCGUGAUUUAGUACCUUAACGUGGUGAGAAAGGGUAGACAUGGAUAUAAUGAUCACGCGAUAACACCCAGUGUAUAAAUGGUUACCAGGUGUUGCGUGGGGUGAUCCAUGUUAUUCAUAAACCUAGGACCCCCUCCCUUUUUAUGUGUUUACUUCUUCUUCUUUUUUUUUAGAUUUUUUUUUAAAUUUUCAGUUUUCAGUUCUUUUAAACCCCUUCUUUUACUUUAAUCAUUUAAAAUCUCUUUCAGUUAUUUAAUUUUCAGUACUGUUUAUUUUCCAAACUUCCGCCCCAUUUCAUUCUUUUGUUUGAUUAUUUGUACCAAUUAUUUGACCCCCAUUUUUCUUCACAUGUGUAUUCUUUAAAUAAUUAUGAAAAAUCGUUUGUUCCCAAUUUCAGCAUGUUUAUUUAACUUUUACACUUCCCUUUAUUUGCAAUCGUUACGUGAAAGUUUUCUUGUAUGUUUAUUUGUUGUACACAUUUAAAGUCAUAAUUAUAGUAUGGCCGGGAACCACACUGGUGGAUCUUGGGGGUGCCUAACACCUUCCCCCGAGAUAAUUUCUAGCCCUUACCCAAACUCUGGUUCUUCAGCUCAAUCCCUCCUUAGUGUCCUAAUGCACUUUAAUCAUUAGGUGGCGACUCUUCUAAGUCUCAAACCCAAUUCCCAAAAGGAAAAGAGUUGUCCACCCAAAUGUCGUAAACCCGAUUUCGCCUUAAAAAGGGGGCAUCGAUAACAUGGCGACUCUGUUGGGGAUUUUGUUUAGGCUUUUACCAUUUCAUGUUACUUGUGACUUUACUGCUUCUUUACUACCUUUAUUUAAUAUCUUUAUCUCUUUUCUACUAUGAAACUGACGUGGCUCUUUGUUUUUCUUUAAUGCUUUCUUUUACCGUUUUCCUUCGAUAUUGUUAUUGUAAUCAUGAACGUGCAAAUAUGUGACCACUUGUUUCAUUCUUGUAAUUACACAUUCAACAUCAUAUUCCACCCGUGCCAAAAAAAUAACCAUAGCAAUGAUAAUAAUAAGUGGUUGCGCCCUUCUGAUAUUAUCACCCCCUAAGUUUGGAAAAGGCAUAUUUAUGGUAAAGCCAGUCGAUCAGCGGUGCAGUCGACGGUUCCGUGCCUUUCCCUCUUGAGUUGUUCGCUUAUGGGUACCAGUCUAGCACCCCAUAGAAACCUUACUCUGUUUAAUUGUGCAUGCAUCACUGUCAAACCUAGCCGAGUCGCAUAUGCUAUCCGCAUAAUGACUCUUUAAGAUAGCUUUGUCCAAAAUUCCCAUGUUCCCUUGGAACCCAAAUGGACACUACCACGUUUUGUGCAUUUAUUUGGAGAACUAAAUUCUUGCUAUGCCAAUUAUUUAUAUUUAAUAGUCGAGUCCGACAUGGGUAAGGGUCUAACACUUUCUUUUGAAGAAAAUUAGGCACGAAGUCUUCAGAUUCGGCAUGGUAACCAAUAUCCACCCAAGGUUGCUAAACAGGUGGGAAGACCUUCACUCCAGUGAUCAGACCCUCGUCCACAAAUAUUUGGUGAAUUUUCCUUCUCUUAUGGAAAUCCAACCCGACAACAAAAUCAUAGAGGCUGCAACUCUAUUUUGGGAUGGCGAUAGGUUUGUGUUUCAUUUCAGGGACCUUGAAAUAACACCUCUGCUUGAGGAAAUAUGAGGACUAGCUGGUAUCCCCUGAGAGACUCCGGGUUUGCUUAUGUCAGAAAAUCGUAAGGGUACAGGUUUUCUCAAAAUGAUGGGACUAAAGAAGAACACAGACUUGACCUACUUGAAGAUUCCUACAUUCCUUUAGACUAUGUGUAAAGAACACAGACUUGACCUGCUUGAAGGAUUCCUACAUUCCUUUCGACUAUGUGUUUGAGAGAUACGGCCAUAGCAAGUCCUACCACAGUUACCAGAUAAAUUCUCCCUUACAUCAUUGGGGCAUAUCCACAAAAGAGUCUUCGUCUUUAUGUUAUGCUUUUUGGAGAUGAUAGUAUCUCUUAUGAAGAAGGCUAGGAUACAUACUAGACUUGCCAUGGUCACCAAGACAUUAAUAGAAGGAAUUGGCGGGAAGCCUUUUAGCAUAGUACCUAUGAUUGUUGCGGAGAUAUACCGAGCCCUGGAGAACUAUCAAUGAAUGGCCAAACACUUUGAGAGUAACUUACUGCUCCAACUCUGGCUCAUGGAGCACCUCGAAAUGGGUGAAUAUCGGCAAGAGAUUCUGUAUUGAGACUGGGAUGAUCAGAUCGCCUUCCAUCAGCCAAGGCGAAUGAACUAUAUGCCUGACAUGUUUGCCCAACCAGAAGAUGCCAAAGGGUGGGUAGAGUUGUUCGAAAAUAUGAAAGAGGACCAAGUGCAAUGCAUGUUCGAGUGGUUCCCUACUGUAGAGUUCAUUGUCCAAUCUCGGGAUACACCGUUUCUUAUACUCAUCGGUCUGAGAGGAACUUAUCCUUAUGUCCCUCUCUGAGUCGUGAGGCAGGCAGGGAGAAAGCAGGUUAUACCAAGGGUCGUCAAAAUGAGUCACUUCAGGGCUGACUUUCGAGAUGACGAUAGUUCAUACAAGUGUCAAGCUCAGCAUAUGUGGCACUGCAAAAUCGUCAUGGGAAAGGAUUCCAUAGAACCAGACAAGUACCAUGCUGGUUAUAUUCCAUACUAUCCAAGCUGGUUGGAAGAUGAUCAUAGUGUGUUAGGACAACCCUGGCUUGUUAGAGGUCAUAGGAUCAUCGAUGAAAAGGCUGAAGUACAUGUUAAAUACAACCAAUUGCAUAAGAGGAUUCUAGAAUGCGAGAGUGAGCACUGGGAAAGUCAAGAAGCCCAUCAAAAACUGAUUGAAGAGUGGAAAGAUAUGGCUGUCAGCACCAACAAGCGACUGGGGUAUUUGGACCGGGGUUUAGUGGAGCUAGAAGGGAAGUUCAUCCAGAGGAUUGAAAACUGCCAGAAUGCUGAUGGAAAUGAAGGAGGUCACUUGGCUAGAGCCUACUUGCUGCUGGGACUACAUGAGCUGGUGAAGUUGUUCGAUGGAGCUGAAGAUAACGAGUUUGGGGAAGGUCCUUCUGGGACCAAGUAGUUAGGAGUCUUUUCUUUGCUUUAAACAUAAUAAGGCCAAUGGCCAUCAGUGACAUUUUAUUUUUUGCUAUUUUACUGUCCUUUUGGGAUCCAUCUUACUUUUAUCAAUACAAUGAGACAUUUAGCAUUAUAAGUCCUCCAAAUCAACUUGUCGCUAGGCCUACCUCGGGCAUAAAGAGGCUCCAAAAUUAGGAUACUACUAUGUGUUUAAAUAUUGCAACAUUUUCUUCUCACGAUCCUCACUAACUUGUUACCUUGCUUUGUUUUUACUUUUGUUUAUUCCCUUCACCAAAGGUUAGUUCGUGCACUUUGGCAUCGUCAUCUUACUCCACAAGAUCUAAGGGCCCUCCAUCUCCUAUUUCUUCGAGCCCUAUCAGAAAAAACAAGGAAAAAAUGAAAGAUUUGAGCAACAUCAGAAAGGAGAACUCAGUUGAAAGGGUAGAGGCUCCUCAGGGUACUCAGGUUUCCAAGGAAAGUGCCUCCCAGCUCGAACAGAAGUUAUUGAAAUUUCAGGAAGAACUGGACCAAGUUUGGAGCUUGGCAAGCUUGUUGUUUUCCCUCACUACCCCAGAUGUCAACUUCCCCAACACUCAAAAUCCCACACCACCAUAGAACAUCACGAAACCACAAAACCAACCCGCUCCCCAUCACCACUGUAACACAUGCCACACUUCAAACAACACCCACUACUCAUCACUGAACCACUAAACUCCACAAAUGAUUAUAACCACAACACCUCCAUCUAUGUAGAAACCAUACCACACCCCAUUCAGCCCGCCUAGAGCAUACCUGAGUCUGAUGACAAAUACUCUCUUAUAAGAAAUCUGGCUGCAGAACUCAAGAAGCUGACUAGACGAGUUCAGGGUGUUGAAGGAAGCAAGUGGAUCGCGGGACUGAAUUACAAAAACCUUUGCAUUCUAUCGGAUGUUGAACUGCCAGAGGGGUACAAACCUCCCAAGUUCGAAAUGUUCGAUGGCACUGGGGAUCCUAAAGUUCAUUAGAGGACAUACUGCGACAAGCUGGUCGGAGUAGGAAAAGAUGAAAAGAUUCGCAUGAAGCUCUUUAUGAGAAGUCUGAAAGGGGAUGCUCUAUCUUGGUACAUUAGCCAAGACCCAAAGAAGUGGUCGAACUAGGUAUGUAUGGUGUCCUAUUUCAUGGACAGGUUUAGAUUCAACACGAAAAAUGUGCCAGAUGUGUUCUACAUCUGGAACUUAAAGAAAAAGCCUACAUAGACAUUCUGCGAGUAUGCUACUCAUUGGAGAUUAGAAUCUGCCAAGGUCAAGCCGACUUUAGAAGAAGAGCAAAUGAACAUAUUUUUCAUUCGGGCUCAAGACCCACAGUACUACGAAAGGUUGGUACUGAUUGAAGACUAGAAAUUUUCUAACAUCAUCAAGCUAGGGGAGAGGACCGAGGAAGGUAUUAAAAGUGGUACGGUCACUAACUUUGAAGCAUUAUAGGCUACUAACAAGGCUCUACAAUCUGGUGGCACGUCCAAGAAAAGGGAUGUGAGUGCCGUGAUGGUUGCACAGAGAACAAAAUCCCCAAAAAAGUACCAAACCUACCCAAUACCCCCACUUACCUAUCAACCUAUCUCAAUUACUAAGCACCUUUGCCCUCUUACCAAGAUCUACCAUCUACUUAUCAAUCAUCUACAUCUCCCACGUAUAAGUCUACUUCACCCUAAUACUCCAACCCACGCACGUCUACCAAGCCUACAACACCCAACAAGCCCACUAACAAUCACCUCCCCCCUGGCCAAAAUUUCCUUGUACCCCGACUAACCCUCGACCGUAGACUCCCAAACAAUAUACCGCCAUCGACAAACCAAUCGACCAACUGUAUGAAAGGCCUAAAACUGCUGGUUACGUCACCUUUUUCCCUACCAUAACCCCAGAAAAUCCUUCCCAAGGGGUCAAGCCAAACAAAACCUGUGCAUACUAUUCUGGCAUGAAGAGACAUACCAUUGUUGAAUGCCACUAUCUGAAGGAUAAGAUCCAAGCUUUGAUUGACAACAAGAUCAUCGUGGCAAAGAAGCAUGCUCCAAAUGUUUGCAACAACCCUCUACCAGACCACAAGGGUAGAGGUGUUCACAUGAUUGAUAAAGAAGGUGAUUGCGACCCCAAAGGAUCGAUCAGAUUGAUCGCUCAAGGUGACGAGCCAUGGAAUCCAACAGUCACAUUUAAUUCUAUUGUAGUCCAGAUCCAGCCUUCUGGAGACACUAAAGUGAAAAUGUCCAUACCACUUGAGUUCGAAGCGCCUUUUUUGCAAAAAUGUCAGGACUGAUUAAGGUCAAGUUUGGGUCCCCAAAGGCACCUACGCCAUUUGAAGUUGCUGUGUUACCUUUCAAAGCAAGGGUGCCCAUUCCGGUAGCAAUGUCGACCAUAACACUAUUCCAUACGAAGGCCAUUGCUUGGGAUUACACAGCCGAGGUGAGAAGAAAAGGGAUAGCCAAAACCGGAGAAGUUGUUGUAGCACAAGGCAUGACAAGAACUAGCAGGGUUUAUACUUCAGAAAAUUUAGCUGAAUCGAGUAAGCAGGCCUCUGGACGGCCGACCGAAAUUGGGCCCGAUGAUCUCUAGAGGAAGAUACAAGCAAAGAAGUACUCAACCAUUGAUCAAUUGAAUAAAACACUGGCAUAGAUCUCCAUCCUAGCUCUGCUAAAGCUCCGAUGCAUAUAAGAAUGCCUUAUUGAAGGUGCUAAGUGAGGCAUAUGUACCCCGCAACAUAACUGGAGGAGAAUGGAAAACAUGGUAGAGCAAAUAUUGGAGAGUCACAAAAUCACUUCCCACGAAGAUGAGCUACCACCUGAAGGUUUAAGCCAUAACAAGGCAUUGCACAUCACUAUACAAUGCCAGGAUUAUUCCUUCUGAUUGACGGAGGGUCCAACCUCAAUAUUUGUCCAUCGGUACUCUCAGAACAUUGGGAAAGAGCCUGCAUGAGAUUAAGGAUAGAUCCAUCAAUGUCAAAACUUUCGAUGGUUCCCAAGGAUCCACUAUUGGGGAAAUCAGUUUAUGUCUACAAAUGGGACCUACUUGGUUUGAUGUCGACUUUCAGGUAAUAGACAUCCUAGCAUCUUACAACUUGCUAUUGGGACGGCCUUAGAUCUAUGCCGCUGGAUGGGGCAUCAACCCUAUAUCAGGUGGUGAAGUUUGAGUGGAAUCACCAAGAGGUGAUUAUUUAUGGCGACGAUAGCAAUCCCAUAUAUAGUCACCAGACCAUCCCAGCAAUCGGAGGAAGAAUAAAGAUAGGCGGAGAAACCUACCACAAAAUUGAGCGAGUAAACGCCAUGGACAAGGACAAAUGGUGGGAUAACAAAAUCGAAAGCAUAUUGAACUAGUGCAUGUAUGAACCUGGAAAAGGACUUGGCAAGAAUCUCCAAGGAAUCACUAAUCCUAUCAAGCUCAAGAAGCAUGCCACCACCUUCGGAUUGGGAUAUGAGUAUACCUGAAAAGAAUUCAAGGACUGGUCGUCACCCUGGAAUGGCCCUUACUAUCCAUUGGAGCAACCGAUACCCCGUCUGGAACAGAAUUUUCAACCAGCCGAAGUCAACUAUGGGUCAGAAGAAGAGGAAACAUUAGUAGCAAUAAGGAAUUUGUUCUUAGAAGAGGAUGAUAGGGACUGUUAUGUCAUUUUGAGGAGGAGGGGAGGAAGGUCCUUCUAUACAGGCUGUAAACAGAGGAGCACACCUCAAUAACUGGACUUUCAGAACUACCAGAGCUCGGCGUGCCUCGCGGUAACAAGGUUGAACAAAGCACCACGCGUUAUUUUGCUUUACUAGUUUAGUUUCCUUUCACAUUUUUUAUUUUUCCCAAGAAAGAGCUCCAAUGUUCAAAACACUUAUGGAAUUUAUUAAAGUAUUUCAAUUUUCUUAUAAAUCUCUCUCUUAUUAUUUCCUCUCAUUACGUCAUUUAAACAUCAUAACUAUUACUUACCUUGAUGAACCAACGAUAGUGACAUGCAAAGAGACAAUAUAACAAAAGGAUAUAGAAUCAGAAGAAGAUGAUAUACCGUAAGAGGUUGUUAAAGAGGUUGAGGAUUUUGAGAAUAGACCUAAAUCCAACCUGGACGAGACUGAGAAUGUCAAUCUACGAGAUGUAGAGAACACCAAAGAGACAUGAGUCAGUGUUCAUUUGUCACAAUCUAAAAAGGAAGAGUAUACGAAAUUUCUAAGGGAAUAUGAGGACAUAUUCGCAUGGUCAUAUGACGACAUUACUGGUCUAAGCAUGUCCAUUGUGGCUCACAAAUUACUGACUGAUCCGGCCUGUUUACCAGUGAAAUAGAAGCUCAGAAAGUUCAAGCCAGACAUGAGUUUAAAAUCAAUGAAGAAGUCACUAAGCAGCUCAAAGCUAAGGUCCUCAGGGUAGUAGAGUAUCCAACACAUCUAGUCAAUAUCGUGCCAGUACCGAAGAAGGAUGGGAAGGUCAGAAUCUACAUCGACUACCGGGAUCUUAACCGGGCCAGUCCAAACGAUGACUUCCCCUUGCUAAAUGUACACAUCUUGAUUGACAACUGCGCCAAGCAUGAGCUGCAGUCAUUCGCUGGGUACCAUCAGAUAUGGAUGGAUAAAGAAGAUGCUGAGAAAACAACUUUCAUUAUGCCGUGGGGGAUGUAUUGCUACAAGAUGAUACCAUUUGGGUUAAAGAAUGGAGGGGCUACCUAAAUGAGGGCCAUGACUACCAUUUUUCAUGACAUGAUACAUAAGGAGAUCGAAGUGUAUGAAGACAACAACAUCAUCAAAUCUAUGAAAGCCAUUAAUCACAUGGAAGAUUUGAGGAAAUUCUUCAACAGACUGAGAAGGUACAACCUGAAAUUGAAUCCCAUGAAAUGUGAAUUCGGGGUUCCAGCGGGAAAAUUGCUCGAGUUUAUUAUGAGUCGCCGAUGGAUAUAAUUGGAUCCAUCAAAGGUCAAAGCUAUUCAGGAAUUUCAACCCCCAAAUAACAAGAAAGAAGUAAUGAGUAUCUUGGGAAUACUUAACUAUAUUAGCCGGUUCAUAGCACAAUCUACUGUCAUCUGUGAUCCAAUCUUUAAAAUGCAAAAAGAAGGCCGCCACCGCUAAAUGGACCAAUGACUAUCAGAAAGCCUUUGACAGAAUCAAGGAGUACUUGCUAACACCAAGAGUUUUUGUCCUACCUGAGCCAGGUAGGCCCCUACUACUCUACCUUGCAGUAUUGGAUGGAGCGUUUGGUUGUGUUCUGGGCCAACAUGAUGAAACAGGGAGAAAAAAGCAGGCCAUCUAUUAUCUCAGCAAGCAGUUCACCCCGUACGAAGCCCGAUAUUCUUUAUUAGAACGCACCUGUUAUGCUCUAACUUAGGUAGCUCAGAAGUUAAUGCACUAUUUCUAUGCUUACACCACGUAUCUUAUAUCAAGAAUGGAUCCAUUGAAGUACACAUUCCAGAAGCCCAUGCUCACCGACAAGCUAGCCAAGUGGCAGAUCCCGCUGAGUGAAUUCGGCAUUGUCUACAUGACUCAAAAAGCAAUCAAAGGACAAUCACUAGCGGAUCACCUUGAUGAAAACCCUGUGGAUGGAGAAUACGAGCCCCUAAAGACAUAUUUUCCGAAUAAAUAGGUAUCAUUCAUAGGAGAAGACAUUGCAGAAUCCUAUGACGGGUGGAGAAUAUUUUUCGACAGACCAGCAAAUUUCAAAGGAGCCGGCAUAGGAGCAGUCCUAGUAUCAGAAAUUAAUUAUCAUUAUCCGGUGUCGGCCAAACUCAGGUUCCCAUGCACCAACAAUAUGACCGAGUACGAAGCCUGCAUAUUAGGGCUCAAGAUGGCUAUUGACAUGAACAUUCAAGAAUUGCUAGUUUUGAGCAUGUGAUUUUUGCCUCGUUAAAAUUACUCCUACAGAAUUCUCAAACUUAGGAAUUUUCCUUUAUUAUUUAUUUUCAGGAUUUAAUUGCGCAUAAUAGUGUGCCGUUUUCAUUGAUGCAUGCAUGAAAAGUCAUUAAAAUAUAAAAAAAUAAUUAAAUUACAAAAGCGUUUAAAAUUUAAUUUCACAUAUUUUGUUAAAAUUAAUUGGUAACUAAGGUUUUAUUCUACAAAAUAUAAAAAAUCACAAAAAAUAAGUAGUUUAUUUUGGCAUUUUAUUGUUAAUUUUCAUUUUUGGCAUUUUAUUGUUAAUUUUUAUUUUUGGCAUUUUAUUGUUAAUUUUCAUAUUUGUUUAUGUUUAAGUAGUUAUUAGUAUAAUUUAGUCUAAUUAGAAGUUUAAAAUAAAAUUAGGAAGUUUGUAAAAAAGAAAAUGAAAACAAAAAAAUAGGAUUAAAAUAUUUUAAACCAGGCUGGCCAAAAUUGGGCCAAGCCUGGGUUGCCCAAAACCCGUCUCUACCCAAGUCCAUAUAAGAGACGCCCCAAAACGACGUCAUUUUGGGGCGAUCAAUCUCAACCAUUCAUCCAUAUUGAUCCAACGGCCCUGAAACCCCCUUCCUAAAUCCAAUAUAUAUGUCCAAACGCGUGGAUAUACUGAGAGACAAAACUUUAUCUUCCUCGUACACACAUACACUGGUGUAACGCCGCUUGUCAACCACCACAGACCCACCGUCCGCCGCUGGCCAGAAAUCGUCUCUGCCGGCAUCAAAGCUCAGAUCCCGACAAAAAAUACACCCCUGACUCCACACAUCCUCCUCUUUCCGAUGCCCUAGAAAUCAAACCUCGAAUAUAAUCCCAUUGUCUCGAAUAUUAGAUUCUUUGGAUGCCGCCUCCACCGUCCUCAGCGGCACCGUCGCCGGAAACCUCCCAAAAUAAUACCCUAUACUCCUCACCCCACCCCAUAACAAAUCCGUGGUUGUCUCCCUCCAAACACCUACCCAUCGUUUCGAAUUUUGAAUCAAAGCUCUGACCCAAUCCCCAACCUCACUGGAAUCCCUCAAAAAUGGUCCCAGGUGACCUCCUCACCUUCCCAUCCACAACUCCAUGACCAACAACCUUUGAAUACAACCAGGCUUGGCCAAAAAUCGAAUCAAAAUGGCCUGAAACCGAGACUCCAUCCCAAGCCAACCAACCCUAGCUUGAUACCCUCUCCCCCUCUUCAAUAAAGAUACAAAGGUCUCAGAGGGCCAACAGACCCUCCAAGAAAUGGUCGAGAACCUUGAGAUUUGAAGAGUCCAAUUUUAGGGUUACAGCGUUGAGAAAAGCUAAGUUCCUUUUGUUUUGAUUGCUUUAUUUUCCUUUUAUUGCUUUUAAUUUUUCUUGUUUUCUUUUCUAAUUGUUUUUUAUCUUCUUUGUUUUCAUUUUUAAGUACAUGAAGUUUUCUAUAUAUUGCUGAUCCCAGGUGACCUCCUCACCUUCCCAUCCACAACUCCAUGACCAACGACCUUCGAAUACAACUAGGUUUGGCCAAAAAUAAGAUCGAAGAUGAAUUGAAACCCAGACCCCAUCCCAAGAUAACCAAUCCUAACCUGAUACCCUCUCCCCUCUCCCGUAAUGAUACAAAGGUCUCAAGAGACCAAAGACCCUCUCAGAAAGGGUCGAAAAACCUUGAGAUUUGAAGGACCCAAAUUUUUGUGUUACAUUGUUAAAAGCUAAGUACCCUGAAUUCUUUUGAUUGCCUUUUAACUUUUCUUUUGUUCUUGUUUGUGUAAGUUCAUGACUGUCUGUUUGCAUCUGUAAAAAAUUUUCUAACGAAGUAACUUUGUUUCCAUCUGCUCAUCUAAAAAAAUUUUCUGAUUUAGUUACUUUGUUUCCAUCUACUCAUCUGUAAAAAUUUCUGAUUAAGUUACUUUGUUUCUAUUUCUGAUUAGUUGCUUUGUUUUCAUUUGCUCAUCUGUAAAAAAUUUCUAAUUAUGUUACUUUUCUCCAUUUCUGAUUAGUGCUUUGUUUUCAUUUGCUCAUUUGUUAAAUUUUUCUUAUUCAGUGACCUAAUUUCCAUCACAUGUUUUCUGUUUUAUGUCUUGAUAACCAGCUUCUGAUUGGUUCUCUCAUCAUGUGAAGUCAUAGUUGUUCUUUCAACUUAUUUGAAUUAUCAUGCUAAGCUCAGAAUUGUUCAUCUCUAGUUUAAAAUUGAUCAGUGUCCUGUGUUUCUGAAUUUUGUGCUAUUUAGCUUUAUAUGUGCUUUUGAGUAAUUUAGUUUCACAUCUUGAUAUUUUCCUAUAUAUAUGAGUUGCAUUGAUUUUUUUAAAUUAAACUUUGACCCUUGGUUGUUUGCUUUUACAUAGUAUAGUAUAGUUUCCAAUUAAAUAGUUGGCCAUGGCCAGCUUUUUCAAAAUUUGGUCCACAACUGAUAAUAUAACCCAGGUCGAUGACCUGAAGAAGUUAACUAGGGUCAGUUUCUGACCAAAUAGACAGGAACCGGGGAUAAAAACACUUAGGCUAGUAAUUUAGAAAAGAAGAUAGGGAUAUUGGGUGUAUUUGAGCAUAAGAAUUUUGUAACAAACUCCUGGAACAUUCUAGUGAAGGGUCAAAAUAUAAUUUCUGUUAACUCUGCUUCAAAACUUGAGGCACAAGUUAGAAAAUCAAGGAUCAUUUACGCAAAUCUGAAAAAUGGGUAAAGGUAUAAAAGGAAAACAAAAAGAUUUUGUUGCCCUAAAGCUUUGGUUAUAAAAUAGACGUCUGAUUGUUUAAAAUAGGGAGACAAUUUUAGAUAUACAGGGGAUACACUUUAGAUACAUUUUUGAGAUGUACAUUCUGAAGAAAAGGUUGAGAACCUUUAGCUGAAAAUCAGUUUUAAGUUUUCCUGGCAAAAUCUUCUAUAAUAAUCAAAAAUUCCAUUCAUUAGAAGUUGAAUAUAUAACUUGAAGCAUAGGCAUUAAGGAUCGAAAUUUGUGUUGCUUCUCUAAAUUUCCAGAGUUCCUGAUACAUUCCUGGGUUUAUUAGUUAAUUUGGCUGUUGUCGCUUGCUUGCUUCUCGUUUAACUUGCUCAUAGGAUUCCUUUUUUGGCGGUGAUUCCAGGUACUACUCUCAUUCCAAUUUUGGGAAAUGCACAGCUGUAUACUCGUGACCAUGAUUGAUAAUGAAGAUGUUUUCGUUUUUAUAUCAUGUUGUAAAUAUCAUUAGUUCAGUAAUAUUUAAGAUGUCUAUCCCAUUUUUGUACUAUAAUAUGCAUAAACAUGUAAUGAUGCUAGACUGUGCCUGGACUAUGACUCUAAUUUGUUUUAAUUUCAGCAGGUUUAAAAUAUGGUAGUUAAAUAAGAGAAAUGAAUCAGUGUUCAUUUGUCACAAUCUAAUUUCAGCAGGUUUAAAAUAUGGUAGUUAAAUAACCUGCCUGAUUUUAUGAUUGAUUCUGUAGUAGGGAUUAGAUGUUUGUAUAUGUACUCUAAUUGACAAAUAUAUCAUUUUUUUAGAUGCUAGAUCUGAAACUUGAGUGGUAAUUUAUUAGUUUACUAAUAUAAAAUCAUUACCAGAGGUAUCUUUGUCAAAUGCCUUCAAUAUGUUUAGCGAUGAUCAAUUACAUAAUGUCAAAAAUUAUAGUGUAACAAUCUGAAAAAUGCUUUCAUUAUUCUCUAUGAUUAAUUUGUAAUCCAAUGUUUUCGGGCUCAAUUGAAGGCCUAGAUCAUUGUAGAUUGUGAAGCAUGAGGAAACACACUGCUGGGCUGUUUAAUUUCGUGGAUAAGGCCGAAAUAUGUUAUACAAACACUAAAAAUGUGCAUAUUGAUUGCUUCAUUUGAAUAAGCUAUCAAUAUAUGAAAUAGUUAGGACUUCUCCUUUAGAGACGCGUAUAGUAGAAAACUAUAGUUUCUUUAGGUUGCCCUUCUAAAAAUAAUAAAUUAAGUGAAUCGCCUAACAAAAUCAUGCACUACGUGGGCUCCUUAACUGUAAUAAAAUGCAUAGAAAUCUGGAGGUGUUGUUUAGCAAAUUUCACGGCCCACCACGAAUUUCAAAUGCGUAGUUGCUAUAGGCGCGGUAUUUUAAUAAGAUAUCUUCCUAAAUUCGGGUGCGCAUUUAUGUGACCCAAAUCCAAGUCUCAACGAUGUUAAAAUGUGUCGAGAACCCGGGCACAUUUAUGUGACGUGGUUCGAGACGUAUUUUAAUAACGUUGCAAAUAUUUCUAAAAUGACAUAAAGGUGUUAAUAAUUUUAAAAUUGCAUUGUAGGAUGAACACGUAUAAAAAUCAGGAAAUUAGCCAUUUAUAAUAGUUUAAAAGAGCAUGGGGAUUCGGGGGUGCCUAACACCUUUCCUCGGGUCAACAGAAUUCCUUACUUAGAAUUUCUGGCUUGCAGACUCCAAUUGGGUAGUCGAAAAAUUUCCUCGAUUUGGGAUUCUAAUUAAACCGGUGACUUGGGACACCAAAAGCCAAACCUAUCCCAAGUGGCGACUCUUAAUUAAUAAAUAAUCCCAUUUUGAAUAAUGUCACUUUAAUUGGAAAAACUCCAUUAUAUGUUUAUCUUUCGGGGUAGCCGUGUGAAAAAGGAGGUGUGACAGCUCUGGCGACUCUGGUGGGGAGACGAACCCAUGAUCUCUGGUUUAGGGUUCAAGAAUUCGAGCUUAGAAUAACUGUUACAUUUGGCUUCUUCUGAUUUGCUUACAUGUUCUGUGCUAAUUGCUAAAUGCUUUACCGCUUUGAUAUUAUUUGAACAGUACAUAUAAAAUGCUAGGAAACCCUUGACUUCUCACCUCCGGCGAUGUGCUUACUGGUCGAGACUCCCUAUUCUGUUAGUGUCAUACCUGAAUAUAGGAAAGAGGUCGGAUAAGUUACUAUGCCGGAUGGCCUUUUGGUUUCCGAUACGUAUCCCCCUCCUCGACUCGAGUUGUCCGCUCGGGUGCACAGUCUAGAACCUGUACCAAGGUGUUUAACUUAGAAUAACUUGACCUCUUGCUGGAUCCCUAGUAGGAACACUUAUUUGCAUCAUGCAUUUGACUUAGGGAACUCAACAAAGGGGUUGGGUCCGUCUAGGACAGGUAACCCUAAAUGAAAAGACCAUCCCGAUGCAUAUUACAUGCUACUUGUGACUUCAUUUGCAUUGGAUUCGCAUGUUGAUCAGCUGGCACAUGGGAAAUUUAAGAGGUUUUAAGAUAAAUCAUUGCUCAAAUAGCAUCGAAAUGCUGCCGAAUUCUUCAAAAAAAAAAAUACAAAACAACAAAGGAAAGAAAUUGGGAAAGUUUUUCAAUAAUAUUUUUGAGUUUUUUGAUAAAAUUAUUUUGCCGGAAUGCCAAAACAAAAAAAAUGUUCGACUUUGUCCACAUGUUCCGAAAUAAAUCGGGUGAUACCAUUAUUAUCGGAAAUAGCUGAAUGUUACUGCAAGGGACGCCAGAAGGUUGGUCUUGCACAAAUGGCCACCUCUGAGUCUUCUUUUGACCGGCAAGCGAGCACAACCUGAAAACACUUCCUUUCAGAAGUGUUACAAGGCCGUAUUCGCAAAGCCGGGCCCUGAUUUUAAUAAAUGAAUUUCAUUAAAGUACUAGUUUUAAUAUUUUUGGAUACUAAUUCACCUUAAUUAAUGUGCAGAAUGAGCACGAUAAUGUUCAUGAACAAAAUUUCCCUGGAAUUGCGACUGUGGUGGAAUGAUCUGGGGGAAGCAGGGCAAAAAGGGUCAAUACGCAUCUGGGAGGCCUCACUGGUUUGUUGAAAAUUAACCCAAGGGGAGACAUCAUAAAAUCAUUAAUCACAUUAUGGGACCCGGACCACAAUGUCUUCCAAUUCUCGGACUUUGAACUCACCCCGACAUUGGAUGAAAUUACCAGAUAUAUAGGGACCCCUACAAUUCCUUUGAGACACCAAUACCUGAUUGCACCAAGAACCCUUGCCAUGCACAAAUUCCUAGACUCCUUUAAAAUCAGUAGGAAAGUUCACAAUCCCGACUUAUCAGCUGGCUUUUGCACCCCGCAAUUUAUAUAUCAGAGGUAUGGACAUAUCGGGAGAUUCAAUAAACCCGAAAAUCAUAUUUGUAGCAAAGGAAAUCAGCUCAAAUGGGAGGAACAUCGAUGUUUUGCGUUUAUGGUAUAUUUCUUGGGUCUUCUGGUGUUCCCGCGAAAGGAUGGGAAUAUUGACAUAUGGAUAGUAGGGGUCGUUAGCACAUUAAUAACCCAGGCUAAAAGUAUCCUCGCUCCAAUGAUCUUGUCCGAAAUAUUCCGUACUCUUACCUCCUGUAAAGUAGGAGGAGACUUCUUCGAGGGAUGUAACUUGUUGCUGCAAAUAUGGAUGAUCGAGCAUAUAUACCACCGGCCUCGGUUCAUGAAUUAUGGGUCGCCAACAAAGAGCUGCAUAGAAGAAUUCUGCAACAGGAUUGAUAGGUUUAGAGUACCUGAGGGUGUCACAGAAUGGGUGUCGAAUCUCCGGGUCAUCACUGCAAAUCAGAUAGAGUGGACAUUCGGUGGCUCCCUAUAGAUGAAGUUGUGUAUAUGCCAGCCACCGGGCCUCAUUUCCUUCUGAUAGGUCUCCGUAGUAUCCAGCCCUAUGCGCCAUAUAGAGUACUAAGACAAUUGGGUACAUUCCAAAUGAUCCCCAGGGACGAGGAUGUUAGUCGUCAUGCGGUUGAGAUAAGCCCAAAUGGUCAAUUCCCUGAAGCCGUUGUACUUCAAAUCUAGAGUGAAUGUCAAUACUUGACAGCAGAUACUCGAGUGCGUGACAUAUCUAAAGGUGAGGUCGCACCGGGUAUGUUGCUUGGUACAAAAGAGAAAUAGAGCCUGGAAGGCCGGCUAAGAGACCACAUCUCCAAGAAUUCGCUGAGACAUCACAAGAGUGGUGUGAUUGGUUAGACAAGGAAAAUGAAAAUAGGGCCACUAUAGGAAGGUUGAUAAAGCAAAUCCAAGAGCUGCAAUUUGAAAAGAGUUUGCAAGUUGCAGCCAAUGAGGGAGAAAAAAAGAUAUUAACCAAAGAAAACAAAGCAUUACAAGCCCAAAUCCAGAAAAUGAAGGCAGCCACAGAAAAUCCCUCCAGAAGUACAAGAGAUGAAAAACUCAUAGAAAAUUUGCAGCGUAAAGUAACCGAGUAUGGGUUCGACCUGAAUAAGGCAGAGGGUGAGCUAUCUAGGGUUUGGAAGAAAUUGAUUAAAAGUGUAGAGGAAUCAGCCCGCAUCCUUGAACAAUUAAAGAAGGAAUAACGAUGAGAUUGUUGGUUUAAAGCGGAGGAUCAUCAUGACUGAAAACAGAAUGACCAAGCAAGCCGGGGAAUUCAAAGCCGAAAGAGAGCAUUGUUAUGCAGUAAUAACAAGAUUAGAAAGGGAUUUGCGGCAAUUCCAAAAGCUGAAUCAGGUAGCAGAACGAACUCUAGAGGCAAGGGCCGAGCAAAUUGCGCGUUUGCUGCAAGAAAAAAGUGUUAUCAGGGAAAGGAUACGGGCAAUCACAGAUUAUAUUAGCACAAAGUGCAACCAUUAUCAGGAUAUGACAAAAUCCAUGUUCUUUGCUACCGCCAUGACAUUUGUUCAUCAAGUGAUGGAAGACCUCCACCACCUCCAAGGAAGUUUAGCACGCAAGCCUGCAGCAAGGCCGAACGAUGCCCCACAAGUUCCAAAAGCAGUUGAAGUCUUACUGUAUUCAUAACUUUUGAAAAUUUGUAUUAAAAGAGUCUGUCCAUCUGUAUGUUCUUUUACGUACCAUUCGAGUAUGUAAGUCGUGUACAAGUUUGGUAGUCGCCUUACUUUGUAAUCAAAAGUUUGUCUUUAUAAAAAUGGAAAAUCCCAAAAAUAUCCUGUUAUUUCCAUCACAUUUUUCCAUUAACUAGGCUCGGUCUGAUUCAUGCAGCGUCAUGAUACGUAGGCAAUCUUCAUAGGAUUCGACCAUAUUAUUUAAAAAGGGGAAAUCUAAAAGGAAAUAAGAAGUGGAAAUCAAAAGGAAGUUCAGAAUAAAUGUCUGGAUGAGCAUGCGACCAUUGAAAUAUAUAGAAACUCGUUAACUACGUAGGUGCAUCAUACCCAACAUGUGAUUUCCUUUUUGUUAUCUAUCCCAACCUAACCGUUUGUAAUUCCAGUGUCUAGUCCAGGUUUUUAGAGAACAGUGAUUGGUUUGUGGUAAGCUGGCAUCGCAUAGAUACUUUACUAUAUUAAAAGUAAGAACAAAGAUGUCAUCUGAAAUGACUCUACCGGCAGUUCCCAUUCCAGAGACAACCUGAUUGCGCGGAUCCUAGCCUCAAAAUUGCAGCAGCUGAAGAAAAUAGGAUCCUUCGACUCAGAGUUAUGGAGAUGUGGGAGGCUUGGGCAAAUGGAAAAUAACCCCCAAGUGCCAUCCCCUGAUUUCCUGAGCUUUUCCCAAUGUCGGGGGGGGGGNNNNNNNNNNNNNNNNNNNNNNNNNNNNNNNNNNNNNNNNNNNNNNNNNNNNNNNNNNNNNNNNNNNNNNNNNNNNNNNNNNNNNNNNNNNNNNNNNNNNGGGGUACCUCUACUAUCCCCAUCAAUCACCCGAAUAUCCUCUUGGGGCAGCCUACCAUAUCAGCCAACUUCAUCGGAGCACCCUAUGAAGCCCGUCCUCCGAUGUUCACAUCUGGCUUACUCCAAAUAUUUUUAUGGCUCCUACGUGUGCAUCCACCACACAGCCUGCGGUGCCGAGGCCCACGGUUGAUCCUACAAUUUUCAUAUUUCAAACUCCCAACUACCAAACCGAGCCUCCCCCAUACCCCGCAUACACUUAGCCUCAACCAGCAUACGAACUCACACCGGUGCAGGACAAAACCCCUAAGACACCCGAACAUGAUGAAAUAACAAGAAGGAUGAAAAGCCUUGAGCAGAGUUUGAAAAACAUGCAAGGAUUGAGUGGUAGAAGAGCGUGUCUUACUUGGACUUGUGUAUGUUCCCACACGUACAUCUUCCCCUGGGAUUCAAAAUGCUCAAGUUUGAAAUGUACGAUGGCCAUGGGGAACCCAUCGCUCAUUUCAAAAAAUACUGCAAUCAACUGCAUGAGGCAUGUGGAAAAGAAGAACUAUUGAUGGCAUAUACGGGGAAAGUUUAGUAGGCAUCGCUUCUGAAUGGUACAUAGACUAGGAUAUCACUCGAUGACAUAUUUGGGAUUAUCUCGCCCGGGAUUUCGUAAGGCAGUUCCAGUAUAACAUUGACAUUGCCCCAGAUAGGAAUUCUUUGGCCAACUUGAAAAAGAAACCUUCAGAAAGUUUUAGAGGCAGAUUAUUUUCAAAAUAUGAUGUUAGCAAUGGGCAAACCUUUUGCGGAGGCAAUUAAGAUCGGCGAGAUGGUAGAAAACGGCCUAAAAACAGGAAGAAUUAUGAGCCAGUCCGCCAUAAGAGCAACCUCCCAGGCCAUCCAAGGUGGGGCAGGAGGGUCGCAAAAAAACAAAAAGAAAGAGGAAGUGUCAAUAACAGCCUCCGGAAUGAGAAGACAUCAUACUCACAGACUUGUAUUCUCAGAAAGGGCCUCUCAACACUACUAUCCCCAUCAAGACAUGCAUUAUGUUCCCCAACCUUAUUCAGUCAUGAAUGCCCACCAAUUUGCUCGACCACAACAACAGGGCAACAAAAACCAGGUCCCGAGAAAUUAGCCUCCCCAAAACCACUAUAAUCCCCGCCCUCCACAAAAUAAUUUCCGUCCCAGGGAGCCACCCAGGAGAAAAGAAAUUACACCAAUAGGGGAGUCUUAUGUCAGCUUAUUCCCAAAACUAGUCCAGCUGGGUCCCUUGCAGCCCAUGCCCCCGAAUAGGCAAAACCCUGAGUCACCUUCUAUCAACGGGGCGUAUGCUGUGCUUAUCAUUCAGGAGCCAAAGGAUAUGACACCGAAAACAUUUGGACUCUGAAACGAGCUGUGGAGGAUUUAGUAGAACAAAGGAAAAUAGUGCUGAGAGAUGAAGAUGUCCCAAACGUAUUCAAUAACCCAUUGCCGGCUCACAACAAUGGGCUAGUCAUCGGAAUGAUUUGUGAGGACAAAGAAUUUGACCCUGCCCUAAAAUCCAUAAUAGCCAUUGCUGAUGCAGACAGAAAACCAAAGGUUACCCCCGAGAAGGUUGAACAAAAAUAAAUGAGUGAAGCCAAGCAUCCAGAAGCAGAGAAGAAGUCUGAAAUUAAAACUGAGACGACACCCACCAAGGAAACAAUACUUCGCAUCCCACGGGGGCGUCAAGAAAAACAAUCCACUUUGAGUCCCCCAAGAAGGUUUGAGUAGAACAAAACGAUGUAUGUACCCAAGGGAUCUUAUGUGGUACGGGGACCGAUUAAACCACCAAGGCUGAAUGAGCCCGUGAUAACCGGUCGCGCACCUCAGAAGCCAAUGACAAACCCUUCUGCAGUCCCAUGGAACUACCUAGAAACCAUAGUCACAUACAAGGGAAAAGAGAUCAUUGGGGAAACUCAAAAGACCAUCCCACAAAGAAAUAUUCAGAUAUGGAAGAAGUGAACACUGCCACCAAACGGAGACUUCCACCUUAAAAGCCCGUAAAUGCUGAAGAGGUAGAGGCCUUCUUUCAAAAAAUGAAAAUGCUAGAAUAUGAGGUAAUGGACCAGCUCCGAAAGUCUCUCGAGCAGGUCUCUUUAUUGUCAUUGCUGAUGAAAUCUCCAGAGCACCAGAAAGUGUUUCCUAUGACCUUGAAUGAAGCUUAUGUACCAGUUGGAACCUCCGUCGAACAACUGGAGAAAAUGGAGGAAAGAUUCUUUGCUAUUAAUCAGGUUACAUUCAGAAAGAAUGAUUUAUCUCCAGAAGGAGUUGCCCACAACAAAAGCCUUGCACCUCACCGUCAAAUGUGAAGGCUAUUAUGUCAAAAGAGUAAUGAUAGACAGAGGUUCUGGGGUAGAUAUAUGCCCACUGUCAACAUUGCAAAGAAUGGAGAUUGGAACAGAGAGGAUCCGACCCAACAAUGUGUGUGUACGAGCCUUUGAUGGAAUCAAGAGAGACACCAUAGGGGAAAUUGACUUAGUAUUGACCAACGGUCCGGUUGAUUUUGAACUGACAUUUCAAGUAUUGGACAUGGACACAUCUUACAACUAUCUCCUAGGAAGACCUUGGAUUCACGCGGCAAGAGCAGUGCCUUCUAAUCUGCACCAAAUGCUGAAGUUCGAACAUGAGAACCAGGGGAUUGUGGUCUACGGAGAAGAUGAACAGUCAAUUUACCGUGAUCCCUCUGCCCCUGCCUUGAAGCCAAAGAGGGAAGUGAGCAUAUAGAUUACCAGGCUUUGAAAUUGUGGUAGCCGAUCAAUAUAAAGAAGACGAACCAUUCCCCCAGACUUUCCUCUCCAAUUCCUCAAUCAUGGUGGCAAGAGAGAUGACACACCAAGGGUUUAAGAUAGGCAAGGGACUCGGAAGUUCUCUACAAGGCAUAACUUAGCCGGUCGCUUUUCUUGCCGUAGAGAAGUUUUUUGGGCAAGGUUUCCGUCCGGCGCCGUAGGACAUCAUCUGGCCAACCGUAGGAAACGUCGUGUAUGGGCUUUACUAAAACCCCUACCCCACUUGUACAAAACAUUUGUAAAACCAAAAUACAGUGAGGAAGAGGAAGACGAUACCUUCACAGCGGAAUAAAUUAAGGAGAUAUGUGGAGCCAUAAGGAAAUUAUUGUAUGAAGCCAACAUGGUCCAGCUGGGAGAAGACUCAAGCACUGCUAAAGUGCUCUAUAUGGGACCGGAUGACAAGUUGCAAAAUUGGAAGGCCACACCUUUCCCAGUCAGGCGGGAGGCCUGGUAAUCCUUCCUUGCCACCUUUUCUUGCAUCACGAGUUAUUUCAGGGUGUAGCUCAGGUGUUGUCCUUUUUUUUAGUAUUUUGUCCUUUAAAUUCUAGAUGUAAACCUUGUUAUCUUACAUUUUCAAAGAAAUGAAAUCAACAUUUCAUCAUUUGCACUUCUCCAUUUUUGCAUUAUUUUUUCUUUUAUUUCAUUUUUCUUUCAGUCCCAAUAAUGCGGCUUUAAAUAAAAUGACAUGCUCGCGGACUUCAUGCCCCGACCNNNNNNNNNNNNNNNNNNNNNNNNNNNNNNNNNNNNNNNNNNNNNNNNNNNNNNNNNNNNNNCCUAUGCUCGCGGACUUCAUGCCCCGACCCGAACAUGCUGCCCAUUUGUGAAAUAAUGAACCAAGAACCGGAAUAUGAUGAAGAAGUGGCUUUUAGGGAAAUCAAUCAAGAGUUGGAAAAUUUUGAAAAUAAACCUAAGACGAACUUAAACGAUAUCGAACCGGUUAACUUGGGCGAUCCCGGCAAAAUUGAGGAAACUAAAAUAAGCACCCAUGUGAGAAAAUAAAUCCGGGAUUCACUGGUUCAACUUCUGUUAGAAUUCAAAGAUGUAUCUGCUUGGUCUUACGAUGAUAUGCCUGGGCUGAGUGUUGAUCUGGUGGUUCAUAAGUUGCCAACAUACCCCGAAUGCCCUCCGGUCCAACAAAAACAAAGAAAGUUCAAACCUGAUGUCAGCGAUAAGAUCAAAGAAGAGAUCACAAACAGUUAGAGGCGGGGGGGAUUCGAGUGGUUCGGUACACCACAUGGCUGGCAAAUGUGGUCCCGGUACCGAAGAAAGACGGAAAAACCCGCAGUUAGAGGCGGGGGUGAUUCGAGUGGUUCGGUACACCACAUGGCUGGCAAAUGUGGUCCCGGUACCGAAGAAAGACGGAAAAACCCGAGUAUGUGUAGACUACAGAGAUUUGAACAAGGCGAUUCCCAAAGACAACUUCCCUCUACGUAACAUCCACAUCCUUGUUGACAACUGUGCCAAACACGAGAUACAAUCCUUUGUAGAUUGCUACGCAGGAUACCACCAAGUGUUGAUGGAUGAGGAAGAUGCUAAGAAAACUGCCUUCACCACACCUUGGGAGACUUACUGUUACAAAGUUAUGCCUUUCGGUUUAAAGAACACUGGGGAAACAACCGAGAAAACCGCCUUCACCACACCUUGGGGAACUUACUAUUACAUAGUUAUGCCUUUCGGUUUAAAGAACAACGGGGAAACAUAUAUGAAGGCCAUGACCACCAUUUUCCAUGACAUGAUGCAUCAGGAAAUAGAAAUGUAUGAAGUCCAAUACUCAUGGUGAUCAUGUAAGGGACUUAAGAAAGUUCUUCGAAAGGCUUCGCAAGUGUGAUUUGAAAUUAAAUCCAGCCAAGUGUGCAUUCGGAGUCCCGUCAGGCAAACUUCUGGGAUUCAUUGUCACCCGAAGAGGCAUCGAGUUGGAUCCGACCAAGAUAAAAUCCAUUCGAGAGCUACCUUCUCCAAAGACUAAGAAGGAUGCAAUGAGCUUACUGGGAUGACUGAAUUACAUCAUCCGAUUCAUCGCCCAGUUGACUUCCACAUGCCAUACCAUAUUUAAGCUAUUCAAAAAGGAAGCGGCAGUCAAAUGGGCUGUUGAAUGUCAAGAGGCUUUUGACAGAAUCAAACACUACUUGUCCAACCCACCAGUUUUGGUCCCGCCGGAACUGGGAAGGCCACUAUUUCUCUAACACUCAUGGAAAGAUCUUUUGGUUGUAUUCUCGGGUAGCAUGACGCCACAGGAAAGAAAGAGCAAGCCAUCUAUUAUUUGAGCAAGAAGUUUACCGGUUACGAGGUCAAUUACACGCUGCUAGAAAGAACCUGCUGCGCCUUGACGUGGGUGGCCCAGAAGUUGAGGCAUUACCUGCAAGCUCAUACCACCUACCUCAUAGCCAGGCUAGAUCAAUUGAGGUAUAUAUUCCAAAAACCGAUGCCCACAGAGCAGUUGGAAAAAUAGCAAAUCUUGCUCACGGAGUUCGACAUAGUUUUGUUACUCGUACUGCAAUGAAGGCUCAAGCAUUAGCAGAGCAUCUGGCCGAAAAUCCAGUUGAUGAUGAAUAUCAUCCUUUGAAUACCUAUUUCCCUGAUGAAGAAGUGAAUUCGGUGGAAGUAACAUCUGAAGACAUUCCCACUUGGUGAAUGUUCUUUGACGGAGCGGUAAACGGAAAAGGCGUAGGAAUUAGGGAAAUUUUAAUCUCACCCACGGGUCGGCAUUAUCCCGCUACAGCCAGACUCCGAUUUUUCUGCACCAAUAAUACAGCUGAAUACGAGGCUUGCAUCAUGGACAUGAACAUGGCCAUUGACCAAAAUGUUGAGGAAUUGUUAAUCAUGGGGGAUUCAGACUUGAUCAUACAACAGGCUCAAGGAGAAUGGGACACAAGAGACGUUAAACUCAUCCCCUAUAGACAGCAUGUGGAGGACCUUAGCAAAUAGUUCAAGUUGGUACGAUUCAAGUACAUUCCUCGUUGUCAUAAUGAGUUAGCAGACACACGCAACUCUGGCUUCCAUGUUGCCUUACCCCGGAAACGCCUACGUUGAUCCUUUGAAAAUACAAAUCAAAGAAAGGCAUGGGUAUUGUAAUAUGACCGAAGCAGAGUCCAGCACACAGCCUUGGUAUUAUGACAUCAAGAGAUUCCUGAAAACACAUGAGUAUCUCUAACAAGACACCAGGGAGCAAAAGAAAACCAUCUGACGACACGUGAGCAAUUUCUUCUUGAGUCGUGAUACUUUAUACAAAAAGACCCCAGAUCUCAAUUUGCUGAGAUGUGUUGACACCGAGGAAGCCGGAAGAAUUAUGCAUGAAGUGCACUCAGGAGUGUGUGGACCUCAUUUGAACGAGUACGUACUGGCAAAGAAAAUACUCCGAGCCGGGUAUUAUUGGAUGACCAUGGAGAAAGAUUGCUUCAGUUUCGUUUGAAAAUGUCAUCAAUGUCAGGUGCAAGGUGAUUUGAUUCAUGCAUCGCCAACCAAAUUGCAUCCUAUGUCAGCACCCUGGCCAUUCGCUGCCUGGGGCAUGGAAGUCAUUGGGCCGAUUGAGCCAAAAUCCUCAAGUGGACAUAGAUUCAUAUUGGUUGCUAUUGAUUACUUCACAAAAUGGGUUGAAGUUAGUCUGUUACCAAGAAAGCUAUCAUUUGUCGUUUUGGGAUUCCCGCAACUAUCAUUACAGAAAAAGCAGCCAAUCUGAACAGUCGUCUGAUGGGAGAAUUGUGAACAAUUUAAGAUAACACAUAGAAACUCCACCCCUUAACAGCCCAAAGAUAAUGGUCCCGUCAAAGCAGCUAACAAGAAUAUCAAGAAGAUCUUGAGAAAACUGAUCCAAAGCUCAAGACAAUGGCAUGAAAAGUUGCCUUUUGCAUUUCUGAGAUAUCGCACCACAGUGAGCACAUCGGUAGGAGCAACUCCAUAUUUACUGGUCUAUGGGAUUGAAGCUGUCAUACCCGCAAAGGUAGAAAUCCCUUCACUCCGAGUAAUUAUCGAAGCAGUAAUUGAGGAUAAUGAGUGGGUCAAAACUUGUUUAGAGCAGUUGUCAUUAAUUGAUGAAAAACGAAUGGCUGCGGUUUGUAAUGGGCAAUUGUACAAACAACGAAUGGCCCGCGCUUACAACAAGAAAGUGCGCCCUAGGAAUUUCAAAAUCGGACAGCUGGUAUUGAGGCGUAUACUUCCUCACAAUUAGGAAGCCAAAGGAAAGUUCGCUCCGAACUGGAAAGGUCCGUACAUUAUCAGAAAGAUAUUACCCAAAGGAGCACUUUACAUGGGUGAUGUUGAAGGAGACGAGCCCGAAGCAGUAGUAAAUGCAGAUGCAGUAAAAAGGUAUUACGUUUGAACUCCCUAUUCCAAUGAUUCUGGCUGGUGGAAAUAAGCACUGUACAUGGGUGACGUUGAAGGAGACGAGCCCGAGGCAGCAGUAAAUGCAAAUGCGGUAAAAAGGUAUUACGUUUGAACUCCCUAUUGCAAUGAUUCUGGCCGGUGGAAAUGAUGAAGGCUUUCUUUCCCGCUACCCUAAAUGCUACCAAUCCCUUUCAAACCCUUUGCGCCGAUCGCGUUCUUUGUUCACCCUUUUUGGAACCCGAAAGUGCUAUUCAAAAAAAAGAAAAAAAAGAAGAAAAUAAAAAGAAAAAUAAAAAAUAAAAAUGAAAAAAAAGAAGAGAAAAAAAGAGAGAAACAACAAACAAAUUAGUUUAGGAAAAACUUCCUGAACUACGUCUGACUUGAUUCCGAAAGGAUGUGUAGACAGCCUCUCCCUGAGGUUCAGUCAUAUCAAAAUAAAAACCCCAAUUCCCCAAAAAUGAAACUGGGUCAGAUAAUAAAAUGGUUCAGCCAUGAACCCGCCAGAAUGUUUCCACCCCAGUUUCCCAAGAAAAUAAAACUGGGGAAGAAAUGUAUUGUUUCGGUCAUAGAUCCGCCCGAACGGUUCAGAAAUUGUAAAUUUCCAUCAAUAACCUGGUCCAAGUUCUUCCGAUCAAUUGGACAAAUCAGGGACAUGACAAACACUAUUGUUGGGAUUCGGCACAACUCUAUUUGAGCGAAAUAAAAUGAGAGAGUCUUAUCGGUGAAAACCUUCGGGCACCAUAAGGCGAUGGUGAGCAGAGAAAAAAAAUGAGAGAGCCUAUUUAAUGAAAACUUGCAAAGAACGCUAUCGUACGACGGGAGAAGAGAAAUGAGAGAGGCCGAUUGGCGAAAACCCGUAAAAGGGCAUCAUCGGCCGAAAAGAGGAAAUAUUGCCACUCAAGCCUGAACAAGUUUCCAUGAUUUUGAAAGAUUGAAAUCAAAAACAGAAAUGGAUCAAGGCCGGGUAUUUAGUCCAAGAAGCAUGUCGUUUCCAUUUAAAGUCGGCACGCAUUUCUAGAUAAGUCCUCCCUUUUUCUCCAAAAGAGACAUACCUCUCUAAAUUCAUGUUUUUUUUUAUUGUUUUUCCCACUCCUUUUUCCUUUAACUUUUAUGUCCUGACCAUUCUAAGAAGGAAGGUAGCAGUACCGGCCUCACGGGUUUUCUCCUGGAAAGAACUAAAAGAAUAUCUGAUAUCAGCGAGCGCAUUUAGCCAAUCCCGGCUGAUUAUGACGGCUAACGCUUCAAAAGCAGGAAAAUAGAAAGAAAAGAAAUUCAAAGUUAAGAGCCCACGAAGGCGAAUCAAGAUCUGAAAGGUUAAGCCCAAGUAGGAUAAUGGUUCCUGCCAAAGAUCCCAAAGGCAAGACUGAAGUGGAAAUCGGGACAAAAAUCAUAACCAAGGGCCUAGAAAACAUAAACCGACCUGAAAGAUGAGGACCCCCCCCGAUCAACCUACGAGGCAAAGAUCGGAAGUCAAGGGUUUUUCCUCCAAUAGAAAUGAGGCUGAAAGCAAGCAAAACAAGGCCACAAACCAAUCACUGUUCAAACUAACAAAUUGCUCUGAAUUGGAAUUUGACACAGGUGUAACCUACAAACAAUAGGAACACGUGACUAAUGCAACCGAAGGAAUGGAACAAGAGCUAAGAAUGGUGUUGCGUCAAUAACAAAAGGGGAAGUUUCCUUUACAUUAUUUUCCUGCAAAUUCAUAAAUAAACAUGAUAGCAUAGGACUCUGAUCUUUAACUUCUUUCCCUAGACUUAGGGCCAUAUCCCUAGCUUCCCCCGUUGCAACUUGUGGACUUCCUCGGCAUAACCCAAGGAUCACAUUCCACUCUCCCUGGCACAGAUCGAGAAAUUUCCUUCCUUCGCUCCCAGGCAUAACCCGGGAGGUUUCUCUUUAUAUCCCCAGUAUAACCUGAGGACCCUAUUUUCCCACCUUUUACUCCCCAGCAUAGUAUGAGAGUUAAAGCUCUUCUAUCCAUUGCAUAACCUAAGGGUUUUUCCUUCCAUUCUCUAUCCCCAGCAUAGUCAAAAGGAUCUCUGUGGCCCUUCACUUCCAUGUAAUUCCUGGCAUGACCCAGGAAUUCUCCAUUCAAUCUCUGCAUAACCUGUGGAUCUCCCUAGCACAACCUAGGAGUUUUCUUUCAAUCCCGGCAUAACCCGCGGAUUCCCCGAGCAUAACCUAGGAAUUCUCCAUUAAAUCCCAGCAAAACCCGUGGAUCUCCCUAGCAUAACCUAGGAUUUUUUCUUUCAAUCCCGGCAUAACCUGCGGAUUCCCGUGGCAUAGCCCGGGAAUUCUCCAUUCAAUCCCGACAUAACCUGUGGAUCUCCUAGCAUAACCUAGGAGUUUUUCUUUCAAUCCCGGCUUAACCCGCGGAUUCCCCUGGCAUAAACCAGGAACUUUCCAUCCAGUCCCGACAUAACCCGCGGAUCUCCCUAGCAUAACCUAUGAUUUUUUUCCGAUCCCGGCAUAACCUGCGGGCUCCCCUGGCAUAACCCAGAAAAUUUCCAUUCAUCCUGGCAUAACCCGUGGAUCUCCCUGGCAUAACCCAAGAAUUUUUCAUUUAAUCUCGACAUAACUCACGCAUCUCCCUAGCAUAAUCUAGGAGUUCUUUCAAUCCCGACAUAACCCGUGGAUUCCCCUGGCAUAACCUAGGAAAUUUUCAUUCAAUCUCGGCAUAACCCGCGGAUGUCCCUAGCAUAACCUAGGAGUUUUUCCAUUCAUCCCGGCAUAACCCGUGGAUCUCCCUGGCAUAACCCAGGAAUUUUCCAUUUAAUCCCCGCAUAACCCGCGGAUCUCCCUAGCAUAACUUAGGAGUUUUUCCAUUCAUCCCGGCAUAACCCGUAGAUCUCCCUAGCAUAACCUAGGAGUUUUUCCAUUCAUCCCGGCAUAACCCGUGGAUCUCCCUACCAUAACCCAGGAAGUUUCCAUUUAAUCCCGGCAUAACCCGCGGAUCUCCCUAGCAUAACCUAGGAGUUUUUCUUUCAAUCCCGGCAUAACCCGCUGAUUCCCCUGGCAUAACCCAGGAAUUUUCCAUUCAGUCCCAGCAUAACCCGCGGAUCUCCCUACCAUAACCUAGGAGCUUUUCUUUCAAUCCCGGCAUAACCCGCUGAUUCCUUUGGCAUGACCCAGGAAACGUUUAUUCUUCCCGGCAUAAUCCGUGGUUUUCCUUUUAUCCCCAGUAGAGACUCUUCAUUCCUAUCCCGGCAUAACCCGCGGAUCCUUCUCCUACCCCCAGCAGGGACCCUUCAUUUUUAUGUCGUCAUAACCCGUGGAUCCUCCUCCUAUCCCUCGCAGGGACCUUUUCUCCUUUCCAGCAUAACCUGGCAAUCAGUCCGAAGGAUACGCAAUCCUGAAUUUUAUUGUUUUCAAUAAAGAAAUAGCUUUGAUUUGUGUUGCAGAUAACUCAUGAAAUUUUCCCGGUGAAAAAAGGGGCAGAAAAUUUCGUUCGUUUGUUUGUUUUGGUGUCCGAGAUGGUUGUAUUUCAAGGCACAAAAUUUGAGAUGACCGGGAGUGGGAGUUUCAGCUCAGAAUAAGGAAAAGAAGAAAAGAACAGACUAGAAGUGAAUUCAAAAUGAUGAAGCGGACUGAGAUAUGGACUGCUCAAAAUUUGAUUGAAAUCACAAGACCCGCCUGUCCCGCUUUGUUCCAAAAUUGGAGAGUAAACCAGCGGCUGCACUAACGAGCAUCAAGGUUCAGAUUGAAGUCUGCUAGAAGAGUUAGCCAAGACUCAAGAUCCAGUUUCAAGAGACUCAUGGAUAGGGAUCUUGCAACUCAUAAUUGAUAGGCCUAGCUAGUUUAGCUGUUGAUUCUCUUUUGUGUAAUAAAGAGUCGGUAAGCAGUAGCAGUAGCAACAGCAGUGAAACCACUGCCCAUGGUAGUCCCAGCUACAAGACACUCCAGAACUACACUGACCUGAUUCCUUUAUAGCCAAGGAUAUGUAGGAAACCUUUGAAGCGAGGUUCGGUCAGAAACUUUUCAAAGUGCUUCACACGGAGUAUUUAGUCGGGUGAAAAUCGCUCGUGUUUGCUCACUUAUCUUUGCACGAAAACCCUUCGUGUUUCCGAGCAAAGAGGGGCAGUUGUGAGCAUGUGAUUUUUGCCUCGUCAAAAUUACUCCUACAGAAUUCUUAAACUUAGGAUUUUUCCUUUUAUUAUUUAUUUUUAAGAUUUAAUUGCGCAUAAUAGUGUGCGUUUUCAUUGAUGCAUGCAUGACAAGUCAUAAAAAUAUAAAACAUAUUAAAAUAAAAAGCAUUUAGGAUAUAAUUUCACAUAUUUUGUUAAAAUUAAUUGGUAACUAAGGUUUUGUUCUAAAAAAUAAAAAAAAUCACAAAAAAUAAGUAGUUUAUUUUGGCAUUUUAUUGUUAAUUUUUAUUUUUUGGCAUUUUUUAUUAAUUUUCAUUUUUUUUGGAAUUUUAUUGUUAAUUUUCUUAUUUGUUUAUGUUUAAGAAGUUAUUAGUAUAAUUUAGUCUAAUUAGAAUUUUAAAAUAAAAUUAGGAAGUUUGUAAAAAAGAAAAUGAAAACAAAAAAAAUAGGAUUAAAAUGUUAUAAACCAGGCUGGCCACAAUUGGGCCAAGCCUAGGCAGCCCAAAACCCGUCUGUACCCAAGUCCAUAUAAGAGACACCCCAAAACGACGUCGUUUUGGGGCGAUCAAUCUCAUCCAUUCAUCCAUAUUGAUCCAACUGCCCUGAAACCCCCUUCCCAAAUCCUAUAUAUAUGUCCAAACGCCUGUAUAUACUGAGAGACAAAAAUUUACCUUUCUCGUACACACAUACACUAGUGUAACGCCGCCUGUCAACCUCCACAGACCCACUGUCUGUUGCCGGCCGCAUAUCGUCUCCGCCGACGGCAAAGCUCAUAUCUCGACCAAAAAUACACCCCUGACUCCCCACAUCAUCCUCUUUCCGAUGCCCUAGAAAUCAAACCUUGAAUAUAACCCCAUCGUCUCAAAUAUUAGAUUUUUUGAAUGCCACCUCUACCGUCCACGGCGCCGUCGCCGGAAACCUCCCAAAAUAACACCCCAUACUCCUCACCCCACCCCCAUAACAAAUCUGUGGUUGUCUCCCUCCAAACCCCUACCCAUCGUUUCGAAUCUUGAAUCGAAGCUCUGACCCAAACCCCAACCUCACCGGAAUCCCUCAAAAAUGGUCCCAGUUGACCUCCUCACCUUCCCACCCACAACUCUAUGACCAACGACCUUACAACUAGGUUUGGCCAAAAAUCAAAUAGAAGAUGAUCUGAAACCCAGACCCUAUCCCAAGAUAACCAACCCUUACCUGAUACCCUCUCCCCUCUCCCAUAAUGAUACAAAGGUCUCAAGAGACCAAACAGCCUCUCAGAAAGGGUCGAAAAACCUUGAGAUUUAAAGGACCCAAAUUUAAGGGUUACAGCUUUAAAAGCUAAGUACCCAAAAUUCUUUUGAUUGCCUUUUAACUUUUCUUUUGUUCUUGUUUGUGUAAGUGCAUGAAUGUCCAUUUGCAUCUGUAAAAAAUUUUCUGAUGAAGUUACUUUGUUUUCAUCUGCUCAUAUAAAAAAAUUCUGAUUAAGUUACUUUGUUUCCAUCUGCUCAUCUGUAAAAAUUUCUGAUUAAGUUACUUUGUUUCCAUUUCUGAUUAGUUGCUUUGUUUUCAUUUACUUAUCUGUAAAAUAUUUCUGAUUAAGUUACUUUGUCUCCAUUUCUUAUUAGUGCUUUGUUUCCAUUUGCUCAUCUGUUAAAAUUUUCUGAUUCAGUGACCUUAUUUCCACCACAUGUUUUUUGUUGUAAGUCUUGAUAACCUACUUCUUAAUGGUUCUCUCAUCAUGUGAAGUCAUAAUUGUUCUUUCGACUCAUUUGAAUUAUCAUGCUAAGCUCAGAAUUGUUCAUCUCUGGUUUAAAAUUGAUCAGUGUCCUGUGUUUCUGAAAUUUGUGCUGUUUAGCUUUAUAUGUGCUUCUAAGUAAUUUAGUUUCACAUCUAGAUAUUUGCCUGUAUAUAUGUGUUGCAUUGAUUUUUUUUUAUUUAUCAAUUUUUGACCCGUGGUUGUUACAUAGUAUAGUAUAGAUUCCAAUUAAAUAGUUGGCCAUGGCCAGCUUUAUCAAACUUUGGUCCCCAGCUGAUAAUAUAACCCUGGUCGAUGACCUGAAGAAGUUAACUAUGGUGAGUUUCUGACCAAAUAAACAUGCACCAGGGUUUAAAACACUUAGGCUAGUAAUUAAAAAAAGAAGACAGGGGUAUUGGGGGUAUUUGAGCAUAAGAAUCUUGUAAAAUAAUCCUGGAACAUUCUAGUGAAGGGUCAAAAUAUAAUUUCUGUUAAUUCUGCAUUAAAACUUGAGACACAAGUUAGAAAAUCAAGGAUCAUCUAGGAAAAUCUGAAAAUGGGUAAAGGACUUAAAGGAAAACAAAAAAAGUUUGUUGCCCUAAGGCUUUGGUUAUAAAAGAGACGUCUGAUUAUCUAAAAUAGGGAGACAAUUUUAGAUAUACAGGGGAUACACUUUUAGAUACAAUUUAGAUAUAUUUUUGAGAUAUACAUUUUGAAGAAAAGGUCGAGAACCUUUAGCCAAAAUCAAUUUUAAGUUUUCCUGGAAAAAUCUUCUAUAAUAAUCAAACAUUCUAUUCAUUAGAAGUUGAAGAUGACUUGAAACAUAGGCAUUAAGGAUCAAAAUUUGUGUUGCUUCUCAAAAUUUCCUGAGUUCCUGAUACAUUCCUGGGUUUAUUGGUUAAUUUUGCUGUUGUCGCUUGCUUGCUUCUCGUUUAACUUGCUCAUAGGAUUCCUUUUUUGUCUGUGAUUCUAGGUACUACUCUCAUUCAAAUUUGGGAAAAUGCACAGCUGUAUACUCGUCACCAUGAUUGAUAAUGAAGAUGUUUUCGUUUUUAUAUCAUGAUGUAAAUAUCAUUAGUUCAGUAAUAUUUAAGAUGUAUAUCCCAUUUUUAUACUAUAAUAUGCAUAAACAUGUAAUGAUGCUUGACUGCGCCUGGACUAUGACUCAAAUUUAUUUUAAUUUCAGCAAGUUUAAAAUAUGGUAGUUAAAUAACCUGCCUGAUUUUAUGAUUGGUUCUAUAGUAGGAUUCGAUGUCUGUAUAUGUACUCUAAUUAACAAAUAUAUCAGUUUUUUUAGAUGUUAGAUCUGAAACUUGAGUGGUAAUUUAUUAGUUUACUAAUAUAAAAUCAUUGCCAGAAGUCUCUUUGUCAAAUGCCUUCAAUAUGUUUAAAGAUGAUCAAUUACAUAAUGUCAACAAUUGUAGUGUAACAAUAUGAAAAAUGCUAUCAUUAUUCUCUAUGAUUAAUUUGUAGUCCAAUGCUUCUGGGCUCAAUUGAAGGCCCAGAUCAUUGUAGAUUGUGAAGCAUGAGGAAACACACGCUGGGCUAUUUAACUUCGUGGAUAAACCCAAUUACUGAAAUAUAAUAUACAAACACUAAAAAUGUGCAUAUUGAUUGCUUCAUUUGAAUAAACUAUCAAUAUAUGAAAUAGUUAGGACUUCUCCUUUAGAGACGCGUAUAAUAGAAAACUAUAGCUUCUUUAGGUUGCCCUUCUAAAAAAAAUAAAUUAAGUGAGUCGCUUAACAAAAUCAUGCACUACGUGGGCUCCUUAACUGUAAUAAAAGGCAUAGAAAUCUGGAGGUUCUUUUUAGCGAAUUUCACGCCCCUCCACGAAUUUUUGAAUGCGUAGUUGCUAUUGGCGCGAUAUUUUAAUAAGAUAUCUUCCUACAUUCGGGUGCGCAUUUAUGUGACCCAAAUCCAAGUCUUAGCGAUGUUAAAAUGUUUCGAGAACCCGGGAUCAUUUACGUGACGUGGUUUGAGACGUGUUUUAAUAACGUUUCAAAUAUUCCUAAAAUGACAUAAAGCGGUUAAUGAUUUUAAAAUUGCAUUGUAGGAUGAAUAUGUAUAAAAAUCAGGAAAUUAGCCAUCUAUAAUAUUUUAAGCGACCGUGGGGGUCCGGGGGUGCCUAACACCUUCCCUUGGGUCAACAACAUUCCUUACUUAGAAUUUCUAGUUCGCAGACACCAAUUGAGCAGUCGAAAAAUUUCCUCGAUUUGGGAUUCUAAAUAAACUGGUGACUUGGGACACCAAAGGCCAAACCUAUCCCAAGUGGCGACUCUUAAUUAAUUAAUAAUUCCAUUUCGAAUAAUGUCACUUUAAUUGGAAAAACUCCAUUAUACGUUUAUCCUUCAGGGUAGCCGUGUGAAAAAGGAGGUGUGACACUAGUAAUUGGAGAUUCAAAUUUGCUUAUACAUCAGGUACGAGGAGAAUGGGCAACCAAGAACUCCAAGAUACUCUCGUAUUUUCAUCAUGUACAUGAGCUGGGGAAGAGGUUCACAAAGACAGAGUUUAGGCAUGUCCCCAGAAUCCAGAAUGAGUUUGUCGAUGCCUUGGCCACUCUAUCAUCUAUGAUUCAUCAUAUAAGAACGUCGUAGACCCUAUUCCAGUAAAGACUCAUGAUCAUCCAACUUACUGUGCUCAUGUCGAGGAGAAAGCAGAUGGAAAUCCUUGGCUACGCGACACCAAGGAAUAUUUAACCAAAGGAGAAUAUACAGAGCUUGCAAAUCCCACUCAGAAGAACACAUUCCAGAUAUUAUCUAACAAUUUCUUUCACAGUGGAGAAAUCCUCUAAGGAGGACUCUUGAUUUGGGAUUACUAAGGUGUAUCGAUGCAAAGGAAGCAUAUAAACUGUUAGAAGAAAUCCAUGCUGGGACCUGAGCUCCACAUUUGAACGGUUUUGUCUUGGCCAAAAAGAUACUCCGAGUAGGUUAUUUUUGGAUGACUAUGGAAACAGACUGUAUCCAGUAUGUCUGAAAGUGACAUCACUGUCAGAUAUAUGCAGACAUGAUAAAGGUACCUCCAAAAGAGCUUACUGUAAUAGCUCGCCAUGGCCGUUCGCCGCUUGGGGAAUAGAUGUCAUCAGACCUUCGAGCUUGCCGAGUCAAAUGGGCACAGUUUCAUUCUAGUGGAAAUUGAUUAUUUCACCAAAUAGGUUGAAGCAAUAUCUUACAGAACAGUGACCAAGAAAGUCGUGGCAGACUUUGUCCGCGAUCGCACUGUUUGUCGGUUAGGAAUUCCGGAAUCAAUCAUCACUGAUAAUGGUUCCAAUCUCAACGUGACUUGAUGAAGGCCAUGUGUGAAACCUUCAGGAUCAAACACAAUAAUUCUAUGGUUUACAGAACUCAGAUGAAUGGAGCCAUAGAAGCCGCCAAUAAAAUAUCAAGAAGAUACUAAGGAAAAUGAUAGCAAAGCAUAAACAGUGGCACGAGAAGCUAUCAUUUGCUUUAUUGGGAUACCACACCACAGUUCACACAUCAAUCGGGGCAACUUCUUAUAUGUAGGUUUAUGGUACAGAGGCAGUCAUUCCCGCCGAGGUAGAAAUUCCCACGUUGAGAAUCAUACAUGAAGCUGAACUCGACGAUGUAGAAUGAGUAAAGAGUCGCUAUGAGUAGUUAUCCCUCAUAGAUGGAAAAAGAAUGAAUGUAGUGUGUCAUGGUCAACUUUAUCAGAAUAGAAUGUUCAGAGCCUUCAACAAAAGAGUCAAGCCAAGACAAUUCACACUAGGACAGCUGGUAUUCAAUAAAAUCUUCCACAUCAAGAUGAAGCCAAAGGAAAAUUUUCUCCCAACUGGUAGGGUCCAUACAUGGUUCACUGAGUUCUAAUAGGAGGAGCCCUGAUACUUGCAGAAAUGGACGGAGAAGUUUGGCCGAAGCCAAUCAAUUCAGAUGCAGUAAAGUGAUACUAUGCGUAGCACUUUUGAUUUCUUUAUAUGAUGUAAUUUAAAAUAUGUUUGACCUGAUUCCCACUUAACAUGGGAUAUUUAGGCAGACUUAUGGGUUCGGUCACAAUUCAAUAAAAUUUUCAUUUCCCCCUGCAAUUGGAAACGGGGGCAAAAUUUGAGGAGGACCCUCAAAAUUCCGAAGUAAUUUCAGCCGAUCAUCAUAAGCAGCCGUCAGAAGCAGCAACCCAGUAAAUUGGGGCAAAAUUUUGAGGAGGACCCUCAAAAUUAAAAGAGGUUGCAACCUCUUGAACCACAUCGCAGUCGUCGGUUCAUCUAAAGAAAAUUAUUUUAUACUUUACAAAAUCAUGCAUAUCUAUCCUCAAAUUACUUUGUUUAGCGAUGCUACCCCAAUGAUACACAACAUCGCUGAAAACAGAGCCAAGCAGGACAAGCGAAGUCUACGGGGAAUACGAACUAACCUUUUCCCUGUAAAAACUCACAGUUUUUCUUUGGAUACAUGCACCCAAGUUGAAAAUCACCAAAUACAUUUAUACACUCAUACUUUCGGGAAUACGAUCCUCAGAACCCUCACCUAUUCACCUUUUCUAUCUGUAUACAACAUCUUCGGCAACCACAAUAUUGCAAUCAGCUAUUAGCUAUCAAGCCAUCAGCUAAGAAAUUUUACUACUGUUCGCAUUUUCUGUAUUGCAUAAGGCUACUAUUCUGCCUUACGAGGUUAAGCUCUACCUCCGUCUAUAUUUUUUGCAUUGCAUAAGGCUACUAUUUGCGUUCCGAGGUUAAGCGCUAUCUCCAUCUGCAUUUUCUCUAUUGCAUAAGGCUACCAUUCUGCCUUCCGAUGUUAACCUCUACCUCUAUCUGUAUUUUCUGCAUUGCAUAAGGCUACUGUUCUGCCUUUCGAGUUUAAGAUCUACCUCCAUCCGCAUUUUCUGCAUUGCAUAAGGCUACCAUUCUACCUUCCGAGGUUAAUCUCUACCUCUAUUUGCAAUAUUUUUUUCAUUGCAUAAGGAUACCAUUAUGCCUUCAGAGGUUAAGCUCUACCUCCAUCUGCAUGGUUGAAAUAUCUCCACUUUUGUUUAAAUCCUGCAUCGGCUGAAAUAUCACCAUUAUUAUUUAUGUCUUGCAUUGGCUAAACUAUCGCCACUUCAUUUAAAUCUUGCAUUGGCUGAAAGAUUGCCAUUUUACUUACAUUCUGCACGGCUGAAAUAUCGCCACCUUUAUUUAAACUCGACAUCGGCUAAAAUAUCGCCACCUUUAGAUUCCGCAUCGGCUGAAAUAUGGCAACAUAUAUUUAAAUCUUACAAUAUCGCCAUUUUUGUUUAUGUAUUGCAUUGGCUGAAAUAUCCCCACUUAAUUAAAUCUUGCACCGAAUUGAAAGAUCGCCACAUUUAUUUAAAUCCUGCAAUAUCACCAUUUUUAUUUAUGCCUUGCAUUGGCUAAAAUAUCGCCACCUUCUGCAUUUCAUGGGCUGAAAAAUUGCCACCUCCUGCAUUUCAUGGGCUGAAAAACCGCCAAAUUGUUCAAGGGCAUCAUUCUUCGGAGGCACCAUGUUCAUAGCCCGAGAACGCCAUGCCAUGGCCUGAGGACUCCUUUAUCUCUUGCAUAUCAUUGUUCAAAGGCAUCAUGGUUCAGAGGCCUCGUUCUCAUACGCCUAGAACAUCAUUUCAUAACCUGCAAAUCCUUUAUCAUACACUUCAUGCUCCAGGACGUCAUGGUCUGAGGACGUCAUCGUCCAAAGACAACAUUCACGGUCCAACGGGAACUUGCAUCAUGUUUAAAUUUAUGCACAACAUAUGCGCUUGUGUUGUUCAUCUGCAUGUAAACCGACUAGCAAUGAUCGUAUCAGCGAGAGCGAUCUCGCUCCAGUUUUUGAGCUCUGUUAAACUCGCUACCCCAAUCUGAAUAUCCCAUACGUUCUUGAAAAAAAUCUCCAUCGGCAAGUUCUGCCGACGGAUCCCGAACUACAUACAACCUGAUUCUUGUAAGACCAAUGAUAUAUAGGCGGCUCAGGAACCAGAGCUCAGCCAAAGUUCUUCAAAUUAUUUUGUUCGGUCAAAAUUGGCCAUCAUAUCUUUACCCGACAACUCUUUCAUCCUUCCAAGUGAAGAGGGGCAGCUGUUGAUACCCAAUGUUUUCUUAUAUAAUUUUCAUAUACAAAAUAAAAAUAGUAUGUACAAGUAAUAUGGUAUUUUACAUAAUUUUUAAAGAUUUUGAAAAUCAAUUUAUUAUUUAUUUUAUCAGUAUAAAAUCCAAUAAUUAUUCUCAAAGAUUAUCAUUUUGGUAAAUGACCUAUUUUAUUCUCGUAUUUACACCAAAAUAUGGCGAAGGUGAUUUUUCUAUAUUUUUACAAAUUUAUUUGGUAUUUAAAAGGCUAAAUUGCAUAUAAUCGCAAUUGUAGCCUACUUGAAGAUUAAUAGCAUUUUAUAAUUGUAAAAUUAGGUCCAAUAUUUUUAAUUUAUUAUUUAUACACUAUUAAUUGUUUCGGUAUUUCAAUUUUCUAUUAAAAUUAGUUUACUAUUUUUACAAAAAUAAAAAGGGAAAAAGUCAUUAUUUAAAAGCGAGCCUUAUUUUAUUUAAAUUUUAGCCUAAAUUGACCCCUCACUAAACCCCAAUUUCAGAUCUCAAAUUGCCCCAAUUUCAAUUUGGACCCAAUCCAUUCUCCACCUACCCACUUAAAUCUGGACCGUUGAUUACUCAAGAUCAACGGCCAGAACUCACCCUUCCAUAAUUAACUCCAAAUGACUACCCUAAUCCCUCAUUUCCCAUCUCUCAGCCGCCUUUGCAAAACCUCUCGUCUCGCAAACUCUCCGAAACCCUAGCCUCCUUCUACCCGCUUCAACCACCACUCCACCGGAAUCCAUUGCUCCCCAGGCCAUGGAUGUUUGGUACCCACUCCCCUUCACCAGUAAACCAUGGUUGUUCGAAGCCUCGAGACCUUCUCAAUGGUUCUCCUUCAAAUCCUUCUCAGAUCAGCAGAUCUAUGGCUUCUCCGGCCAUUACCCCAACAUAUUCAAGCAUUAUAAGCCUCUCCGACUCAAGAUCGGACCAGUUUCCAAGCCUUUCUCAUUUUUAGGGUUUCUCCAAAACCCUAAGAUAUUCGAGGAUCUUUCACUAUUGUUUGCUUAGAUCUAUAUCGUAUCUAUGCUUUUCUUUCCAUCUAAAGUGCUUUCCCCAAAGAGUUUCUUUUCAAAAUUGUUUCUUUCCGAUUUUAGGGUUUCUGAAAGGAUUGUUUUGGAAAAAAUCUUUUUGAUUUUUAUUCUUCUUUGCUUUAUGUGUGUUUGUCCAUACUAUGCACGUGUGAUUUCUUUGUUCAUUCAUGUAUUUUCUUCUACCUUAUCUUUUCUACUUUACAUGUUACUCCUGUUAAUCUUUGCUAUGUUUUCUUUACUCUUUUACUAUAUGUGUUUACCAUUAAGCUAUUUGAUUUUUGUUUACUGGAAUUUCUUCAUGUUUUUACAUGCUUCAUCUAUUUUUGUUCAAGUUUGUUGUCUCCUUCUACUGAACUUGUCCAGGUUUGGAGUUUUCUCAAAUAUGUUCUUCGUGAUUUUUCUUCCUUUGUCGUUCAAACAUUCUAUCAUAUCUGUUCUGUUAAGACUCUGAAACGAAUGGCUUGCUUUCUCACCUCCAGUUCUAAUUCAAUUUUGAAACCCUAGGAUUUGGGGGUUUCCUUUGACGAUUUUGAUUUUGUGUUCGAGUUAGGGUUCCACUUUGGAACCUUGGACUCUCAGACUCACUAUGGGUCUGCAAAUUGAACCUGUACCUUUUGCUUAUGAUUCUGAACUUUUCUUUGAUUAGACUCUCUUCUAAAUAACUUGACAAUCCCUCCUUAGUUCACAUUUGUGUGCUUUAUGUAUAAGGACUUUGCUUUUAAAAGAUUUUGCCAACUACUAACUGAUUCUGAAUUUCUUUAAUUGUGUUUACUUGAUUGUUACUGAUUUUCCCUAAUUGAACCUUUAUUUACCCCUUUCCUGACUUGAUUCAUUCGAGUAAAAGUCUGAAACUUUGAUUUUACUAGUUGAUUCCCCUUCCUUUUUUACAAACCGUUUAUUAUACUGCUAUGUACUAUUGGUUUGUUGCCUUAACUAGCUUCUAUGUAAGUCUUUAUUAUACUGCUAGGAAAAUAUUUUUCAAAUCCCUUUCCUUAAUUGUAUUUUACUCAAUGGAAAUAAAAUCCCUUAACUGAAGGGAAAUUCUAUGUGAUUGAUUGAAAACUAUUUUCUUACCUUUCUUACUAGCUUCUCUGCACUAUGAGCCUUGCUUUAGGACCUUGAGUUCCCUCUGAACUUGGACAUUUGAGGGCUGACCCUUCCUCACUGCACUAUAAUCUGAUCCUACAAAUGUAUUUAGGUGUACGCACUGCCUGGGGUUCAUGAAGCCCCUCGAAACUUUGACACACCCAAAAGAUGAGAAAGGCUUUGGAAAUCUGAUCUUUGGAAGUUGGUUUAUCUCAUAUUGUUAGACCUUCAGUGUGAAUUAGGUUGUUUGGUUGUAGCUUGAAUUUCUGAUGUAAUUUUUUAUCUUUCUUGAUUCAUUUGGGUUUUAAUAAUUUGUAAUAACUAUGGGGUUCUAGUGAAAAAGGGAGGGUCAUUUAAGUAUGCAUAUGGGUAGACAUCAUGCUCUUAGGGAUUACUAUUGACAAAUUUUGCAUUCAUGCAGAACAUAUAGAACUCUUGCCUAUAAGUUUCUGUAUAUAGAAAUCAUGUAUAAGUUAUUGCGCUUAUGCAUUUAGAAAUACUGCCUAUAAGUUAUGCAUUACACGUAGAAAUCAUGUCUAUAAGAUUGUUUCAUUAUUAGAAACCAUGCCUAUAAGUUUCUGCAUAUAGAAAAUCACGCAUAUAGUUUUGUUUCUGCACCUCUGCAUAUGCGUCUGUCAUUAGGCAAAUAAUCAUAGGCUUAACAAUAAUCAACCUCAUUCUAGAUACCAUGCCUAUAGGACUCCUACACAUACGUAGUCGUCUUAAAACCAAUAAUGCUUAGAAAUCAUGCCUAUAGGAUGUAAUCAGUUGAUCAACUUCGUCUAUUUCACCUAUGAGUUUAAAAUCAGUAGCAAGAUCAAUUAAAAUCUGCAGAGCUUUGUUUAUAAAACCAGUAACCUUUAUUUAAAAUUAGUAUGCCUUCUGCAUUGUUAGAUAUCAUGCUUGCAGGCCUCAUCUAGGCAAAUCAGUAGGUAAUUAAUCAACUACGUCAGUCCCUGAUAAACUACAACCAGACAAGGCCUAAUUCGAACUUCUCAUAUGAGAAAUAUGUGAUAAAAUAGCAUGUCCUAACGGUUUAAAUUUAAUUCAAACCUAAUCAGUACCUAUAAGUCAUGCUAAAUAAUUUUUGCUUUGAAUGAAGAGGCAUAUUUGAGCCUUUAACUGUUAUGUGUUCACCCAUUUUAACUGUUAUGUGUUAUUGUCGCACUAGAUUUUUGUCCUUUUAAAACUUUGAUUAGCCAAUAUCCCUUCCCUUUAGGAUUAGUAGUCCCAACUACCUCGGGGACUGAUAGGAUUGGGGCGGGUAGUAGCAUGCAAUAAGUAACAAGACCAUUCCGCGAUUUAGUACCUUAACGGAGUGGGAAAGAGUAGAUAUGGAUAUGAUGAUCACACGAUAACAGCACGGGUAUGAAUGGUUACUGAUUGUUGCAUAAGGUGAUCCAUGUUAUUCAUAAACCUAGGACCCCCUCUCUCGUUAUGUGUUUUCUUCUUUUUUCAGAUUUUCUUAAACUGUUAGUUUUCAGUUCUUUUAAACCCCAUCUUUUACUUUAAUCAUUUAAAAUCUCUUUCAGUUAUUUAAUUUUCAGUACUGUUUCUUUUGCAAACUUCCGCCCCAUUUCAUUCCUUUGUUUGAUUAUUUGUACCAAUUAUUUGGACCCCAUUUUUCUGCACUUGUGUAUUCUUUAAAUAAUUAUGAAAUUGCAUAUUCCCCAAUUCAGCAUUUUUAUAUAACUUUUACACUUCCCUUUGUUUGCAGUCACGCGAAAGGUAUCUUGUAUGUUUAUUUGUUGUAUACAUUUAAAGUCAUAUUUGUAGCAUGGCUGGGAACCACACUAGUGGACCUUGGGUAGUGCCUAACACCUUCCCCUCGAGAUAAUUUCUAGCCCUUACCCAAACUCAGGUUCUUCAACUCAAACCCUCCUUAGUGUCCUAAUGCACAUUAAUCAUUAGGUAACGACUCUUCUAAAUCUCAAACUCAAUUCCCAAAAGGAAAAGAGUUGUCCUCCCAAAUAUCAGAAACUCGAUUUCGCCUUAGAAAAAAGGGGGCAUCAAUAGGUAAUUGUUGGACAACACCACUCCCAAAGUAUAUGAGGGAUCAAUAAUUAAGGGUCUAAAGGCGGGAUUAGGAACAAAGAAGCUAUGGCUGCAAUAUAAAGUAAGCUGUAAUAAACAAAGCCAGCUAGCGUAUCUCGAGAGAGUGCAUAUAUUAAAUUAUCGUGAUUACUCGGGAGAGAUUUACGGUAUAAGAGUGCUCAUGAUUUAAAGAGAUGAUUAGGCAAUUCUAUGUGAAACAUAACCAGAAGGCAUUCCAUCAAUAAGGAAAAUCAUAACCUUAGAACCUUCUCUUAAUUGUUUACAACUUAAUCAUAGUUAGUUCUCAGUUGCUUAUUUAUAUUCAUUUUUGGUUAGUAAAAACAUCAUCAAUUAUUUAUUCACAUAGUUUGGGAAGUUGAUUCCAUGGAAUUUAGUAAGUCUAACUAGAGUAAUUGAUCAGUUAAUUCCUUGUGGGUUCGACUAAGGGCUUGUUGAUAUCCAAUUUUUCCCUAAGUAUUUUUUAUACUCAAAAUAUUCUCAAAAUAGCAUGUAAAUGCAUAUAUAAGCAUACCCAAGAGUUUUGAUUAUUUUUUUAUUUAUUUUUAAAGAUUUUAAAAUCAAUUUAUCGUCUAAUUUAAUACUACAAAAUUCAAUAAUUAUUCCCAAACUAGCAUGUUUUAGUGAGUAAUUUAUUUUCACUCUCAUAUUUACACCAAGAUAUAAUUAAGGUAAUUUUUAAAUAUAUUUAUAUAUUUAUUUGGUAUUUUUAAAGCUAAAUUGCAUAUAAUUGCAAUUAUAGCCUAUUUUAUUUUAUUAAAUAUUUCAAAAGAUUUUAAAAAAAAUUAAAGGUACAGGGUUGAUUAAUAAUGUAUAAAUAUUAAUCUAAAAACAUUACAAUUAACAAUACUUUAUAAUCAUACAAUCACUUGUAAUGUUUUUAGAUUAAUAUUUAUACAUUAUUAAUCAACCCUGUACCUUUAAUUUUUUUUAAAAUCUUUUGAAAUAUUUAAUAAAAUUAUAAAAGAGGAAAAUUUGGCUAUUUAACAAACAACCCCUUAUCAUUUUAAUUUUAGCCAAUUUGGCCACACCCUAUCAGAUUUUUAUUUCCCUAGAACAAUCCCUAAUAUAACCCGGCCUAAUACCCAAACCAACCCAACCCAAUCCCUAAUUGAUCUGUGUUGAUCAAAUAAGAUCAAUGGCCCAGAUUACUAUUACCAUAAUUAAACCCUCAAUGAUCCCCCCCCCCUAACCCCCCAUUUCUUUGAGAUUCUCUCUCUCUCUCUCUGUCGUCUCUCCCUCUCACUUCUCUCUAGAACCUUCUAGUUCCCUCUUCUCCGAUGACCUCCGUCGUCUCCGACCACAAUCCCAACGGAAUCUAUGGCUUCUCUGGCCAUAAAUGACAUAUGCUCACUUCCUAUUACUCCUGUGUGUCAGAUGCUUAAAGGAUUCGAGACCAGACCUUCGUCGGCUUGAGGUUUCCGGCCAUCUCCGGCUUCGCUCCGGCAUAUCUUAGCCUCAUGGUCCUGAUUCUGACCUUAUCCCACCUAGAUCGGACCUUUUCCAAAGCAUUUCUCGCUCUAGGAUUCCUCUGAAACCUUAGCUAUUUGAGGUUUUUCUUCGAUUCUUUUUAGAUAUGUUGUGUAUCUAUGCUAUGUGUGAGUUUUCAAAUGGUUUCCCUAAAGAUUUCUUUGAAAAUUAUUUUUUUUAAUACCUUUCUUGGGCGAUUUAGGGUUUUCUGGAAAUGUUUAGGAGUUCUCUUCUUUGUGUUGUCCUCUGCUAUGUUCUCGUAUCAUCUUUGUAAGUUUCUUUUACUGUGUUUUUUUCAUAUGGUCAUGUAGAUUUUUUUCUACUGUAUUUUAUCAUGUUCUUACAUGUUUAUCAUACUGUGUUGUUCCUAUAUGCUUUCUUGCUAUUCAUUUCCCGGCGAUUCUUAUGUUUUCUACUAUAUUUUCUGGCUAUGUUCUUAUGGUCUUUUAUCUGUCUUCUAUUGAGCUUUGUUUAGGAUUCUGCUAUGUGUAUUCCUCCUAUUAAUCUUUGCUACGUUCUCCUAUACCUUUCUCGGUGAUUCUUAUAUUUUCUACUGUAUUUUUCUGGCUAAGUUCUUAUGGUCUUUUAUCUGCCUUCUAUUGAGCUUUGUUUAGGAUACAGCUAUGCGUGUUACUCCUGUUAAUCUUUGCUAUUUUCUCUCUACUCUUUUACUAUGUGUUUACCAUUUUUUAUUUAUUGGACUCUGUUCAUGUUCCUACAUGUUCCAUCUUUGUUCAUGUUCUUACAUAUUCCAUCUGCUUGUGUUCACGUUCGCAUUAUCUCCCUUUUCUGAACUUGUUCAAGCUCCAACUUUUGCUUAAAACGUGUUUCUUGUGUUUCGAUCAGUUUCUACAUUCUAUUUUCCUAGAACCUACUACUGUGCCUGUAUGUUUUCUCAUGAGACUCUGAAACAGGUAUCUAAGCCUAUUUAGUUAUUUGUCUUCUCUUCUCUGUAUUUGACUCAAGUAAAAAGAACCCCAAGAAUGGAGGUUUUUGGCAAGUUUGAUUGUAUGAUUGGACUAGGGCUUUACUCCGAAUCCUUGACUCUCUCAGACUCAUUCCGAGUCUAUGAACUAAAUUUGAACCCUUUUUUCUUAUGAUUUUGAAACUUUCUUGCUAGUCUUUUCUAAUUAGCACAACAACUCUUUCUUGUUUGACAUGUCUAUGUGCUUUACAUAUAAGAACUUUCUUUCAAAAACUUUUGCCAACUUCUAAUUGAUUCCGAAUUCCUUUAAUGUUGUUUACUUGACUGUUACUGAUUUUUCUCUAAUUGAACUUUCCUUUACCACUUUUCUGACCUAGUUCAUUCGAACAAUGCUUUCAACUUUAAGUUUUACUGGCUGUUUGAUUGAUUUCCUUUCCUUAUUUUUUCACAAACCAAGUACAACUGGACUUUUGCCUUAAAUAUAUUUUAUGUAUUUACUCUUCAUUGUACUGCUUGGAAAAAUGUUCUGAUCAACUCUUUCCUAAUUGUCUUUACCCGUUUGAUUUCAAUGUUAUUUUCUUACCUUUUCUUACUUGCUUGCUGCACUAUAAAAGGGCACGACCCUUAUAUACUUUCACAAGAUCACUUACUGAACAUUUCGAAUUGCAUACUCUUACACAUGCUCUUCUUUGCUCUUUUCUGACAUCUUUUAUAUUGCUUAAAAAUUUGGCUUUCAAGAUUUCUGCUUUCAUUCAUCUACGUCCUUGAAACAGGUAUGUCCCAAUUUUGAUUCCCAGUAUCACUCCAAUGUGUUUAUUUACAAGUCUUUAUAUCUAUGUCUGUACCUACAGAAUUUGACAUGUUCAUAUGUUGUGUUUACUUUACUUUCAUGUAAAUGCUUGAUCCUUACCCCCGACCCUCUAUAUGUUUAUAAAUGGGGAAUUAGGGCAUGGCAAUUUGAUUUGUUGUCCAUGAACUAAACUUUGACCCCAAGUAAAAGGUGUGUUAGCAUGCUUCAUUGCUGAUCAUGCCCUUUGCCCAUCUUCCUUUGUCUUCUGUUUCUGUUAUGAAUCUCAUAUCAUAUUCCCCUAUAUGUGCUAAGUAAAGGUAUAUCCUGGCAGCAUACAAAUUGGUAUCCAUUGUUGAACCUGACAUUCAACAGGUCUUAACUCUUCAAUUUAGACUGACAAGCUGGUCAAGGGUGUGCCAGCACCUCAAAAUUGCUGGGCAUGACCACCAGCUUGCCUUUUCCACUUCUACUACACUUGCACUUACUCUUAGACCCUAAGUUCAGCCCCCCUCUUAUGAGCCCUGUCUUGGGAACCUUGAGUUUCCCUCUGAACUUGGACAUUUGAGUGCUGACCUUUUCACACUGCAGUAUAAUCCAAUUCUGCAAUAUAUUUGGGUGUAAACACUUCCCGGAAUCCAUAUGAGAUUCUUAGGGAACUCUGAUACAUCCCAAAUAAGAGAAAGGCAUUAGCAAUCUAAUCUUGGGAGUUGGUUUACUUCAUGCUUCCGACAUAAGUCUGAGCUAGGCUAGCCUUGGCUGGGAUCAUUUAGCUUUCUAAUGUAUUUACUUUUCUUUAUUCAUUCGGGUCUGUAAUAAUCUAUAAUAAUUGCGGGGUUGUAGUAAAAAAGGGAGGUUCAUUCAUGUAUGUAUAUGGGUAGACAUCCUGCUUUAGGUAUUUACUUUACAAUCACAGCCUGCUCUUUUGCUUACACAUUGCAUGUAGAAAUCCUGCCUAUAAGUUGUUUCCCUUUUGCAUUAGAAACUAUGUCUUUAAAUAUCUACAUUUCACCAUAUAGAUACCACAUUAAUAGGAAUUGCUAUUUUUGAGUUUCUGCAUUUCACCACAUAUAUACCAUGUUCGUAGGAAUCACUACUCCUGAAAUUCUGCAUUUCAUAUAGAUACCAUGUCUAUAGUGAAUUACUAUUUUUGAAAUACUGCAUCUAAUAUAGAUACCAUGGCUAUAGGUUUUCAACACUUCAUAUAGAUAUCAUUCCUAUAAGUCAUCCCUGAAAUUCUGCAUAUAGAUGAUAAGCCUAUAGGACUUUCGCAUUUUUGCAUAUGCAUCUGUCACUAGGCAAGCCUGUUAUAGGAUUCGAAUAACCAAUUGCAUAUACAUGACCUGCCUAUAGGACUUCUGUAUGUUAAUGGCACUUAAAAAUCAGUAACGCCUAGAAAGCAUGCCUAUAGGAGCUAUCAGCCAAAUCAAAAUCGGCGAGUCUAAAAUCAGUAGCAAUAACGUCCCUCCAAUCGGAAGCUCUUUUCUACAACUAGUUUAAUUCUUUCUGAAUGGAUAGACAUCAUGUCUAUAGGUUCCGUUUAACACCUAGUUAAGCUUUUGGGUAAAAAUUAUGACUACAUAAGUCUACUAAUCCCUGCCAGCAGGCAGGUCUGAUUCCGGUUUCUUAUCUGAAACAUGUAACAAGCCAGUUUGCCUCCUUAAUGUUUAAGUUUUAAUUAAGACCAUAACCAGUAUGUGUAAGACGUGCUAGACUAUGUGCUUUCCUUUGAUUCGAGAAGGUUUAUUUGAGCCGUAUCGGCUUAAUUACUUUCCCUGUACUUGAUGUAUAUGUUUUGUUUGUCGCCUUAGAAUUUUGUCCUCUAAAAACUCUCAAAAGCCUUCACUCUCUCCCUCCUAGGAUUAGUAAUCCCACAUGCCUACGUGAUUGAUAGGAUUGGGAUGGGUAAGAGCAUGCGAUAGGUAACAACACCAUUUCUUAUUUAAUACCUUAACAGGGUGGGAGGGUUAGAUGCGGAGAUGAUGACCGAUGUACUAAUAUCUCAUGUAGCCCCUCUUCCGGUGAAUGAUUACUGGAUAUUGCAUCUAUGUGAUCAAAAUUAGUCAUAAGCCUAGGACUCCCCUCCCUUUUGCUUGCCUUUUUAUCCACUUUCUUUAAGGUCUUAAAUCUAUUCAUGAAUUUUGUACCUUCUCUACUUUCCCUUAAAAGUUUCAACUUAUCUGUAAUGUUACAUGCAAGUCCCUCUAUUUGAGCCCUUAAUUGCUUAUUUGAUUAUGUGAAGUCACAAUUAUAAUAUGGCCGGGAACCAGACUAGUGGAUCUUGUGGGGUUCCUAACACCUUCCCCUCGAGAUAAUUUCUAGCCCUUACCCAAAAUCCGGUUCUUCAAUCUCAAACCCUUUAUACAUAACAUAUCAACUCAUAUAAUAAGUGGUUGCGCUCUUCGGAUAUUAUCACCCCUAAAUUUGGUAAAGGCGUAUUUGCGGUAAAACUAGUCGAUCAGCGGUGCAGUCGACUGUUCCGCGCCUUUCCCCCUUGAGUUGUCUGCUCAAGGGUACCAGUCUAAUACCCCAUAGAAACCUUAUUCUAUUUAAUUAUGCAUGCAUCAUUGUCAAACCUAGCCGAGUCAGUUAUGCUGUCCAUAUAAUGACUCUUUAAGAUAGCCAUGUCCAAAGUUCACCGGGUUUCCUUGGAACCCAAAACGGACAAUACCACAUUCUGUGCAUUUAUUUGGAGAAGUACAUUUGUCCACAUAAUGACUUUUGAAGAUAGCCAUGUCCAAAGUCCAUCGGGUUUCCUUGGAACCCAAAGCGGACAUUACCAUGUUCUGUGUAUUUAUUUGGAGAACUAAAUGUCGUUAUGAUAAUUAUUGGUUGUCGAGUCCGGCAAGAUGGGGGUCUAACACUUUGUUUUGCAGAAAAUGAGGCACGAGGCCCCCAGAUUUGACAUGGUAACCAACAUUCACCCAAGGUUGCUAAGCUGGUGGGAAGACCUUCACUCCAGCGAUCAGAUUCUCGUCUGCAAAUAUCUGGGAAUUUACCUUCUUUUUUGGAAGUCUAGCCCGACAAAAAAAUCAUAGAGGCUGCAACGUUAUUUUGGGACAGCUAUAGAUCAGUGUUUCGCUAUAGGGACCUAGAAAUGACCCAUUUUCUUGAAGAGAUAGGAGGGUUAGCUGGUAUCCCUUGGGAAACUCUGGGUUUGCUCAUGCCAGAAAAUCGCAAGGGUGGGGAUUUCCUCUAGAUGAUGGGACUGAAGAAAACCCCAAGCUUGGUUUGUUUCAAGGACUCUUACAUCCCUUUCGAUUAUCUGUACGAGAGGUACAGCCAUAACAAGUCCUACCACACCUACCCAGACGAAUUUGUCCUUACCUCAUUGGGAUAUAUUCACAAGAGAGUCUUCGUCUUCAUAUUCUGCUUCUUGGGGAUGAUAGUAUUCCCCAUAAAGAAGUCUAGGAUCCAUACCAGACUGGCCAUGGUCACUAAGACUUUAAUGGAAGGAAUUGAGAGAAGCCUUUUAGCAUAGUACCUACGAUCGUUGUAGAGAUAUACCAAGCCCUGGAUAAUUGUCAACAAGGGGCCAAGAACUUUGAGGAUUGUAACUUAUUACUCCAACUCUAGCUCACAGAACACCUUAAAAAGGGUGAAUAUCGGCAAGAGAUUCUAUGUAGAGACUGGGAUGAUCACAUAGCCUUCCAUCAGCAAAGACGAAUGAAUUAUAUGCCUAAUAUGAUUGCUCAACCUGAAGAUCUUACGAGGUGGGUAGAGUUGUUUGAGAAUCUGAAAGAGUUCAUCGUCUGUUCACGGGAUGCACCAUUUCUUAUACUUAUUGGUCUGAGAGGAACUUAUCCCUAUGUCCCUCUCAGAGUCAUGAGACAGGCAGGAAGAAAGCAGGUUAUACCAAGGGUCGACAAAAUGAGUCACUUCAGGGCCGAUUUCCAAGAUGACGAUAGCAAUACAAGAGUCAAGCUCAACAAAUGUCGCACUGUAAAAUCAUCUUGCAAAAGGAUUCUAUAGAACCAGACAAGUACCAUGACGGCUAUACUCCAUACUACCCAAGUUGGUUAGAAGAAGACCAUGGCGAGUUAGGACAACCCGGGUUUGUUUGAGGCCACAGAGUCAUCGACGAAAGAGUUGAAAUGCAGGCUAAGUACAAUCAAUUGCGCACGGGGAUUCGAGAAUGUGAAAGCAAGCACUAGGGAAUUCAAGAGGCCCAUAAAAACCGAUUGAAGAACGGAAAGGUAUGGUUGUCAGGGCCAACAAGCGACUAAAAGGAAUUUGGAGCGAGGUUUGGUAGAAUUAUAAAGGAAUUUCAUCCAAAAGGUCGAAAAAUCUACCAGAAUGCUGAGGGAAAUUAAGGAGGACGCUUGGCAAGAACCUACUUUAUGCUGGGACUACAUGAGCAAGUGAAGCUGUUCGAUGAAUCUAAAGAUGCAGAAUCUGGGGAAGGUCCAUAUGGGACCAAAUAGUUAGGAGUCGUUUCUUUUAUUUCGUAAUAAGGCAAAUGGCCAUUAGUGGCAUUUUUAUUUUCUACAAAUUUUAGAGUCGUUUUGGGGAUUCGUCUUAUUUUUAUCAAUAAAAUGAGGCAUUUAGCAUUAUAAGUUCUCAAAAUCAACUUGUCGCUACGCAUACCUCGGGCACAAUGAGGCACCCAAAUUAGGACAUGAUUUAUAUUCUUUCACUAUGUGUUUAAAUACUGCAACAAUUUCUCCUCACAACCUUACUAACUUGUUACCUUUUGCUUUUACUUUUUUGUUUUAUUACCCUUCCCCGAAGGUUAGUCCGUUGCACUCUGGCAUCAUCAUACUCUACAAAUCGAAGGGCCAUCCACCUCCUCCUCCUCCAAGUAAAAUCAGAAACGGGAACAAAGGAAAAAUGGAAGACUUGGGUAACAUCAGGAAAGAGAAUUCAGUUGAAAGGGUAGAGACCUCCCAGGGUAUGCACGUCUCCAAGGAGAGUGCCUCCCAGCUUAAACAAAAGUUGUUGAAAUCUUAGGAGGAACUAGACCAAGUUCGGAAUUUGGCAUGCUUGUCGUUUUCCCUCACCACCUCGGGUGUCAACUUUUCCAACCCUUAGAACCCUUUACAUCCAAAAAUAUCCCAAAACCACAAAAUCAAUCCGCUCCCUAUCACCACUGCAACACAUGCCACACUUCAAAUAACACCCUGUUACUUGUCCCUGAACCACUAACAUCCACAAAUGACCAUUCCUACCAUCACAACAACCCCAUUUAUGUGGAAACCAUGCCACAUCCCAUUCAACCCAUUUCAAACACACCUGAGUCUGAUGAGAAAGACUCUCUCAUCAAGAACCUGGCCGCAGAACUUAUGAAACUUACCAGUCGAGUCUAGGGUGUCAAAGGAAACAAAGGUAUCGAGGGGCUGAAUAUGAGGACCUUUGCAUCUAGACAUUAAGAGCCUGGCCGCAGAACUCAAGAAACUUACCAGCCGAGUCCAGGAUGUCGAAGGGAACAAAGGUAUCGAGGGGUUGAAUUAUAAGGACCUUUGCAUCCAACCAGCUGUUGAACUCUCGGAGGGGUACAAACCUCCUAAGUUCAAAAUGUUUGAUGGAACAGGAUCUCCCAGAGUCCAUUUGCGGACAUAUUGCGAUAAGUUAGUCUGAGCCGGGAGAGAUGAAAAGAUCUGCAUGAAGCUCUUUAUCAGAAUCCUAAAAAGGGACGCUCUAUCUUGGUACAUUAGCCAAGACUCCAAGAAGUGGACAAAUUGGAUUGAUAUGGCGUCUGAUUUCAUGGACAGGUUCAGAUUCAAUAUCGACAAUGCACCAGAUGUAUUCAACAUCCAGAAUUUGAAGAAGAAACCUACAGAAACUUUUCGUGAGUAUGCUACUCGUUGGAGGUUAGAGGCUACAAAAGUCAGGCCAGCCAUAAAAGAAGAACAGAUGAACAGGUUUUUUGUUUGGGCUCAAGACCCCUAGUAUUAUGAGAGGCUGAUGUUGAUCGAGGGCCAGAAAUUUUCUGACAUCAUCAAGUUACGGGAGAGAAUCGAAGAACGUAUUAAAAGUGGUAUGGUCACUAACUUUGAAGCAUUGCAAGUCAUCAACAAGGCUCUACAGUCUGGCGGCACGUCAAAGAAAAGGGAUGUGAGUGCCAUAAUGGUUGCACAGAGGAAAAAAUCUCCAGUCAGAUACCAAACCUACCCAUUACGUCCACUUACGCAUCAACCUAUCCCAAGUUACCAAGCACAUUCUUUCAAGCCCUACCACCUACUUACCAAUUAUCUCCACCUCCCACAUAUCAGCCCACUUCCCCCAUACACUCCUAACAAGCACACGUCUACCAAGCCUACAAUACUCAACAAGCUCUCUAUCAAUCACCUUGCCAAAAUUUCCCUAGGCCCGACCAAACUUCGCCGAAGACCUCCCAAACAGUACACUUCCAUUGAAGAACAAAUCGACCAAUUGUAUGAAAGGCCUAAAGACGUUGGCUACAUCACCCCUAUCCCUGCCAUAACCCUAGAAAAUCCUUCCUAUUGGGUCAACCCGAACAAAACCUCUGCAGACCAUUCCAGCAUGAAGGGUCAUAUGAUUGAGGAGUGGCGCUCCCUGAAGGACAAGAUUCAAGCUCUAAUUGACAAUAAGAUCAUCAUGGAAAAAAAUCCUGCUCCCAAUGUCUGCAACAACCCUCUGCUUGACCACAAGGGCAUGAGCAUUCACAUGAUAGAGAUAGAGGAUGAUUGAGACCCCGAAGGGUCGAUCGAGUUGAUUACUGAAGGUGACAAGCCAAAGAAACCGACAGUCACACUUAACCCGAUCAUUGUCCAGAUUCAGCCUUCUGAAGACACUGAAGUAAACAUGUUCAUACCACACUAUCUUGAAGCACCAUCUCCCGCAAAGGUGCUAGAACCAAUUGAGGUUGAGUUUGGAUCCCCAACGACACCUUUUGAAGUUGCUGUGUUACCUCCCAAAGCGAGGGUACCCAUUCCUGUAGCAAUGUCAGCCAUAACACUGUUCCAUACACAGGCCGUUCCCUGGAACUACACCACCGAGGUAAGAAGGAAGGGGAAAAUCGAAUCUGGAGAAGAAAUUGCAGCACAGGGUAUGACUUGAAAUGGUAGGGUUUAUACUCCGGAGUAUAUAGCUGAAUCAAGCACAUAAACCUCUGGAUGGCCUGUUGAAACAAGGCUCGAUAAUCUUUGGAGGAAGAUACGGGCGAAAGAGUACUCAGUCAUUGAUCAAUUGAAUAAAACACUGGCACAGAUCUUCAUCCUAGCUCUACUGCAGAACUCCGAUAUGCAUAAAAAUGCCUUGUUGAAAAUACUAAGUGAGGCAUAUGUACCCAGCAACAUAACUGGAGGAGAAAUGACAAACACGGUAGGUCAAGAAUUGGAGAGUCACAAAAUCAUUUUCCACGAAGAUGAACUACCACCUGAAGGGUAGAGCCAUAACAAGGCCCUGCACAUCACUAUGCAGUGCGAAGAUCAUUUCAUCACCAAGAUUUUGGUCGACGGAGGAUCCAACUUCAAUAUUUUCUUGUUGGAAACUCUCCAAAUAUUGAGUAAGAGCCUGUAUGAGAUCAAAGACAGGGCCAUCAAUGUCAAAGCUUUCGAUAGAUCCCAAAGGUCCACCAUCGGGGAAAUUAGUUUAUGUCUACAAAUAGGACCAACUUGAUUCGAUGUUGACUUUCAAGGGAUAGAUAUUCCGGCAUCCUAAAAUAUGUUGUUGGGAGGACCUGGAUCCAUAUUGUUGGGACUGUAACAUAAACCCUACACCAAGUGGUGAAAUUUAAGUGGAAUCACCAAGAGGUAAUUAUUCACGGCGACGGUAACAAUCCCAUAUACAGCCGCCAAACCGUUCCAACAAUCGUAGGAAGGAGAAAGGUAGGUGGGGAAACCUACCAUCAUAUUGAAACUAUACUGAAUUGGUGUGGAUACGAACCUGGCAAGGGACUAGGCAAGAAUCUCCAAGGGAUCGCCAAGCCGAUCAAGCUAAAGAAACAUGGUGCCACUUUCGGCUUAGGAUAUGAGUACACCUGGAAGGAAUUCAAAGAAUGGUCGCCACCCUAACGCAAUCCUUACUAUCCAUUGGAGCAUCUGAUACCUCGCCUAGGGCAGACUUUUCAGCCAACCGAAGUCAUUUAUGGGUCAGAAGAACAUAAAGCAUUAGCAUCAAUGAGAAACUUGUUCCUGGAGGAUGAUAACAUGGAUUGUUGUGUAGUUUUCAAGGAGGAAUGAGAGGAAGGCCCUUCCAUAAGAGCCGUGAGCCGAGGAGCACGCCUGAGCAAUUGGUCUGUCAGAACCACCAGGGCUCGGAGGGCUUCGGGGUAGCAAAGCUAAACAAAGCACCAUACAUCACCUUUUACUAUUUUCUAGUUGGUUUUCUUUCCGGAUUUUGAUUCUGAAAUAAUAUCUCCAAUGUUCAAAACACUUAUGAAAAUUAUCAAAGCAUUUCUGCUCCUUAUAAAACUAGCUCUCAUUACCUUUUUGCUGUUUAUUUUAUUUACACAGCAUUACUAUUACUUGUCUUGAUGAACCGACGAUUGUGACUUCCAACGAGGCAACGCGACAAAUGGAUAUAGACUCAGAAGAGGAUGAUAUACCAUAAGAGGUUGUUGAAGAAUCUGAGAACUUUGAGAAUAGGCUUCAGUCUAACUUAGACGAAACUGAGGUUGUCAACUUGGGUGACACAAAGAAUGUCAAGGAAACACGCAUCAGUGUUCAUUUGUUACCAUCGAAAAAGGAGUACACAGAGUUUCUAAAGGAAUAUGAAGACAUACUUACCUGGUCAUAUAAUGAUAUGACUUGUCUCAGCACAUCUAUUGUAGCGCACAAAUUGCCAACAGAUCCAGCAUGUCCGCCAGUAAAAUAGAAGCUCGGGAAGAUCAAACCUGACAUGAGUUUGAAAAUCAAAUUAGAGGUUACCAAGAAAGUCAAAGCCAAGGUUCUCAGGGUAAUAGAAUUUCCAACAUGGCAGGCCAACAUUGUGCUAGUGGCAAAGAAGGAAGGAAAAGUUAGGGUCUGGGCCGACUACCGGGAUCUCAACCGGGCCAGUCCGAAAGAUGACUUUCCCCUACCAAACGUACACAUUCUAAUUGACAACUAUGCCAAGCAUGAAUUGCAGUCAUUCGUCGAUUGUUUUGCUGGGUAUCAUUAGAUAUGGAUGGAUGAGGAAGACGCUGAGAAAAUGGAUUUUAUUACGCCAUGGGGAAUGUAUUAUUACAAAAUGAUGCUGUUUGGGUUGAAAAAUGAUGGGGCCACCUACAUGAGGGCCAUGACUACUAUUUUCCACGACAAGAUAUAUAAAGAAAUCGAGGUAUAUAUAGAUGAUGUCAUCUUUAAAUCCGAAAAAGCCACUGACCACAUGGAAGAUUUGAGGAAGUUUUUCAACAGACUAAGAAGGUACAAUCUAAAGCUGAAUCCUGCCAAGUGUGCAUUCGGGGUUCCCGCCGUAAAACUACUGGGGUUCAUUGUGAGUCGUCGAGGAAUAGAGCUAGAUCCAUCAAUAGUUAAGGCCAUUCAAGAAUUGCCACCGCUAAAGAACAAGAAGGACGUGAUGAGCUUCCUGGAAGACUCAACUACAUCAGCCGUUUUAUAGCUCAGUCCACUGUCAUUUACGAACCUAUCUUUAAGAUGUUGAAGAAGGAUACCUCUAACAAAUGGACCGAUGAUUGUCAGAAAUCUUUUGACAGAAUCAAGGAAUACCUGUCAAUGCCGCCAUUUUGGUUCCGCCCAAACUAGGUAGACCCGGAUUGCUCUACCUAGCGGUAUUGGAUAGAGCAUUCGGUUGUGUUUUGGGACAACAUGACGAAAUGGGGAGAAAGGAGCAAGCCAUCUAUUACCUCAGCAAGCCAUCUAUUACCUCAGCAAGAAAGGCCCGAUACUCUCUAUUAGAACGCACAUGUUGUGCUCUGAGUUGGGUAGCUCAAAAGUUGAGGCAUUAUUUUGUGCUCAUACCACCCACCUCAUAUCAAGAACGGAUCCGCUAAAUUAUAUUUUUCAGAAGCCCAUGCCCAACGGCAAGCUAGCCAAGUGGAAAAUCUUGCUAAGUGAGUUCGACAUUGUUUACGUAUCUCAGAAGGAAAUCAAAGGACAGGCCUUGGCAGAUCACCUCCCGAGAAUCCUGUAAACAAAGAAUACGAGCCUUUGAAAACAUAUUUUCCUGAUGAAGAGGUAUCUUUCAUAGGAAAGGAUAUUGCAGAAUCCUAUGAUGGUUGGAGGAUGUUCUUCGACGGAGCAGCAAACUUCAAAGGAGUCCGUAUAGGAGCAGUCCUGGUGUCAGAAACUAGUUAGCAUUAUCCGAUGUCCGCAAAGCUCAGGUUCCCAUGCACCAACAACAUGUCCGAAUAUGAAGCCUGCAUCUUAGGGCUUAAGUUGGCCAUUGACAUGAACAUUCAAGAGUUACUAGUAAUUGGGGAUUCAGACUUGCUCAUACGGCAGGUUCGAGAAGAAUGGGCGACCAAGAAUUCCAAGAUACUCCCGUACCUGCAUCAUGUACAGGAGUUGAGGAAGAGGUUUACAAGGACAUAAUUCCAGCAUGUACCCAGAGUCCUGAAUGAGUUUGCCGACGCGUUGGCCACCUUGUCAUCUAUGAUUCAGUGUCAAGAUAAGAACUUUAUUGAUCCCAUCCCCAUGAAAAUUCGACCUUGUGGGCAUUCUACCCUCAUACCCCAUUUCACACAUGUUACAACCUCAAGUCACCACAAUAUCCACCAAAAUUACAAACCACGUGAAGCAACACGUCACCAAUCCAACCACACACAAACACUACAACUUAUGCUACAAGUUUUGAUUAAACAAUGGCACGAACAACAACUACGCAGAUACAAAAAUAAAAAAUAAAAAAUAAAAAACUAAAAUCAGAAAAAAAUAGAAAAAAUGAAAAAAUAAUGGUAGCUAGGAGUCAUACCUAUAGUGGGAGAUUAUUAGGAGAAGCAAGGAUGAGGAGAGGGGAGUGUGCUUGAGAGUUAGGGAAGGUUGAACAAGAUGAGUUUUUGAAGAAGAAGGGGUUGGGGCUGGGGAAUUUUCGUUCAAUGUGGUGGAAUGGGUGGGAUUUGGGAUUAAAGAGAGUAAGGGGGGUUAUCAUAAAGGGAGGUAGAUAAGGCUAUGAAAAAAAUUAAAAUGAAAAAAAUAAAAUAAAAAACCAACACAAAAUGCACAAAUAUGGGCGAGACUAGUGCAGUCAUAGCGUUGUCCUAGCACGGUACAAGCGCGGCCGCGCUAGCCCAGGCAGAAUACUUGCACAUAUGCGCGGCCAAUAGCGCGGCCUCUAGUGCGAGCGCGCUAGUAGGCGGUCACUAGCGCGUUUACUAGCAUGGACGUGCUAAUAUUUUUUAUCCAAGUAGAAUACUUUCCCAUAUGCGUGGCCCAUAGCGCGACCUGUAGCACAGGCACACUCCUGGGCACGAUGUUUUUCAUAUUUUUCACUUGUUCUUACCACUUUCGAUGAACUUAUCACCCAUCCAUUGUCACCUGCAUUAGUUAGUACUUCUCAAAACUCAAAAAAAAAAAUAACUACUACUAUCGUUGGGUUGCCUCCUAACCAGCGCCUUAGUUAAUGUCGUAGCACGACUAUUACAAUUAUUCAAUGGGUUACCUCCCAUGCAGCACCUAAUUUAAAAUCGUGGCAUGAUGCAGACAAGUGCAUUUAAGGCUCUCUCGACCUAUGAGGUUCUGUUAGGUGGGUAUCUGACACCCCCUUUGGUUCUUUCAUGCCUAUAUAUAGCUUUAAUCUCAGCGCAUUGACUCUAAAUGUGUGAGAGUCUUUCUCUAAGACAACCUCUACAGCCCCUGAAGGGAAUACUUCAACCGCUCGAAAUAGACCAGACCAUCGUGACUAGCUCCCGGAAAUAGCCUUAAUCUUGAAUUAUAAAGUAGUACCAUGUCUACGGGGCUGAAAUAUAUGUUCUGGUCGUGCAAUCUUUUCAUUUUUUCUUUGUACAACAUUGUGCUCUCAAAAGCCAGGUAUCGGAACUCGUCAAGCUCAUGCAAUUCAGUGAUUCUCGUUGUGCUUGCAGCCUCAAUGUCAAGGUUCAACUGUUUUAGUGCCUACCAAGCUUUAUGUUUUAGUUCCACUGGCAAGUGACAGGCCUUCCCGAACACCAACUUAUAUGGUGACAUACCAAUUGGUAUUUUAAAAGCAAUUCUAUAAGCCAAAGUGCAUCAUCUAGCUUUUUUACCCAAUCAGUUCUUGUGUCAUUUAUUGUCUUGGUCCAUACACUCUAUCUCUCUAUUGGACUCUUCCAUCUAUCCAUUUUGUCUGCAGAAGAUACGGCUUACCACCUUGUGACGCACAUCAUACUUCGCGAUCAACUUCUCAAAGGCUCGAUUACAAAAAAGGGUACCUCCGUCACUGAUAAUCACUCUCGGGUCCCAAAAACGGGUAAAUAUGUUCUUUUUCUAAAAUCCCACCACCACUCUUGCAUCAUUAGUGGGCAACGCUAGUGUGUCUAUCUAUUUUGACAUACAAUCCACAGCAACAAGUAUGUACUUAUUGCUAAAGGAGCUGACGAAGGGUCCCAUGAAGUCAUUCUCCUAGACAUCAAACACUUCCACCUCUUGAAUCAGGUUCAUGGGAAUCUCAUGGCGACGGGAAAUGUUCCCAGUUCACUGACAUUCACUACAGCCAUUCACCCAUUGAUGUGCAUCUUUAAACACUGUUGGCCAAAAUAAACUGGCCUCUAGCACUUUUGCAACUGUCCUGACUCCUUCAAAAUACCCUCUAUUCCUUGAUGCAUGACAUGCCUGCAAAACAAAAGAUUAUUCUAUCUCGGGGAGAUACCUCCGGAUCAUAUUGUCAACACAUAUUCAAAACAGGUAAGGUUCCUCCCAAUAAUACAUACAAUAGUCACGAUAAAACUUUUUCUUUUGUACAAAGGAAAGGUCAUAGGGAACUAUACCGCUGGCCAAGUAAUUUGCCAACUCUGCAUACCAUGGCACUUUCUCAAGACUAGUAGCAAGCAGUUGCUCAUCUAGAAAAGUUUCUAGAAUAUCCUCAACCUCAACUGAUUUUUUAGCUCCCUAAAGUCUGAAAGAUGGUCAACGAUUUGAUUUUCUGUGCCCUUACGGUCAUAAAUGUCGAGGUGGAAUUCUUGCAGUAGCAGCACCCAAUGAAUCACGCGCACUUAGACUCCUUUUUCUCAAUCAAGUACCUGAGAGUUGCAUGAUCAGUAUAUACAAUUACCUUAGAGCCAAUCAAGUAUGAUCUGAACUUAUCGAAAGCAAACACCACAGCUAACAUCUCAUUCUCAGUCACAGUGUAGUUUAGCUGGGCUCCACUCAGUAUUCUACUGGCAUAAUAGAUUGGAUGCAUCAGCUUGUCUUUUCGCUGUCCCAGCACUGACCCCACUGCAUAGUCACUGGCAUCACACAUGAGUUAAAAUGGUUGCUCCCAGUCAAGGGCAAUUAUAGGUGUUGUUACCAGCCUCUUUUUUAGCUCCUCGAAUUCUACCUUGCAAUCAUCAGAAAAUAAGAAAGGGUGAUUUUUUUUCUAACAACUUACAGAGAAGGUUGGAAAUUUUUGAAAAGUCUCUUAUGAAUCUUCGGUAAAAACCGCCAUGCCCGAGGAAGCUCCUAAUAGCCUUGAUUGAAGUUGGAGGUUGCAGCUUUGCUCAGUCUCAAUUUGAAUGUUAUGUUCUUCCUAAGCAGGCUGGACUGUCACCUCUGUCAGUUUCGUUAACUCACCUAGCUCAAUGGGCAUUGGUAUGAGUGUCUCCACGUCCAAAUCUCUUCCAUUAUGUAGACUCACUGCCAUCUGUUGCUCUGGGCCUUGAUCUUUUUGAUUUAUUUGGGUGUCUACAGGUGUUAUCCCAGGAGGACGACUAUUUAGAGACAUUGAAAUCUAGCCCAUCUAUACAUCAAUUCUUGAUAGUUGAAUCAUGUGCAUCUACUCUUUCACUAAUUUACGCAUUAGACCCAAUAACCUGUUGCAUCAUUACCUCAAGUCUAGCAAACCCAUCUUCCUGUCGCCCACGAUGCUAUUGCUGAGGAGGAGGAUACCCCUGCUGUUGAUUUUGAUUAUUACCAUGUGGCCUUAGAUAAGGUGCCAAAUUAUUAGGAGGUCUCACACCUCCCAUGUUUUCAUUGUUGAACUGUGGCUGGACUUGUCUGUACGGCUGAUUUUGCUGGCCCUAACUCUGACCACCCUAUCUCAGGGCUCCAUAAUUAGACACAUAAUUCAUGUCCUCAGGGUAGUGCUGAUGAUCAUGUUCUGCAUUCCACUGGUUAUCAAUUGGCUGACUAAUGCAAGAUGUGCACAAUCCCUCAUUGGUAGUAACUACAAUGUGUACCUGCUGCAUAUGCCCUAACUCAUCCACCUUUCUGGUAAGUAUACUCAUCUAUGUCAUUAACGUGGCCAUAUAUUCAGCAAGAGUAUUGGACGGAUCUAAGGGAACCGAGUGAACCACUGGAGUGAUAGGUGCAUUUCUUGUUGUCCACCCUGAAUUAUGUGCCAUUAUAUCAAGCAGACUCUUGUCUUCUCUCCAUGUUUUGCUCAAAAAUGCUCCACCAGCUAAAGCAUUAAAAUUACCCUUCAUGGCAUCUGACAAUCCUAUGUAAAACAACUGCCCCAACAUCAGAUCUGGAAUACCGUAGUGUAGACAUAUAACUAGCAUCUCUUUGAAUCGUUCCCAUGUUUCAUGCAGUGUCUCCAUUGAUCUCUGUUUGAAACUCAGAAUUUCAUCAAUUUGUUGAGCAGUCUUAUUGGGUAGGUGGAGCUUGUUCAUGAAUUACUUGACUAACUCCUCCCAAGUUGUUAUGGAACUGAUGGGGAGUGAGUUUAUCCAGGUCUAGGCAGCUCCUGUCAAUAAGAACGGAAACAAUAAUAGCUUGAUUGCUUCCAGGAUUACGUUGGGCUGCCUUUGGGUUUUGCAGAUUGGUAGGAAAUUCUUCAAGUGAUGUUAAGGAUUUUCGACUUGUGACCCCGAGAAUAGUACCUUGUUCUGCAAUAAGUGUAGCAUGUAGUUUGUGAUUUGAAACGAUUCAGCCUGUAUCUGCGGGACUAAAAUCAUUGUGGCCACAUUUUUAGUUGCGGGUUGUGCCCAGUCAUUGAGAGCAGCCUUUGGCACAAGAGGUGCCAAAGGUGCUAUUGGUACAACUAGGUCUUCUUUGUGAUCUCCCAUGUCUAGUUCGAUUUGUUCAAUUAUUUGUUGCUGUUUGCUUUUUCGAUUGGCCCGAUUCAAGGCCUUAAAAACUUUCUCUGGAUCAAAUAAAGCUUCGAAUAUUUCACCAGUUCACGAUGAGUUUCUAGGCAUGCACCUCUAAUACCAAGUCAACAAAUGUUAAAAUUGACUAUAUUAUCACUGGGAGAAGGUGUUAGGCACCCUUCAAGAUCCACUAGAGUGGUUCCCAACCAUGUUAUAUUGUGACUUCACAUAAUCAAGUAAGCAAUUAAGGGCUCAAAUAUAAAGGGUUCACAUACAAUAUUGCAAGUAAAUCGAAAGUUGAGAAAAGUAAUGAGCGCAGAAAUUUUAUGAAAUAUUUAAAUAAUUCUACAUAGAAAUUGAUGAAAGAAAGUAAGAGGGUAUGGGGGGGGGGGUCCCAGGUUAACUAUUAAUAUGCAUCACUUCAAUACAAUAACCAGCAAUCACUCCUCAAAAGAGGGGUCACACAUGAUAUUAGCCAUCGGUCAGCAUCUCCAUAUUCUACCCUUCCUACCCUGUAAUGGUUAUUUAAGAGAAGGUACAAAAUUCACGAAAAGAUUUAAGACCUUAAAGAAAGUGGAUAAAAAGGCAAGUGAAAGGGAGGAGAGUCCUAGGCAUAUGACUAAUUUGGAUCACGUCGAUGCAAUAUCCAGUAUCACUCCUCAGAAGGGGGCUACAUGAGAUAUUAACUCAUCGGUCAUCAUCUUCGCAUCUACCCUUUCCACCCCGUUAAGGUAUUAAACGUGGAAAGGUGUUGUUACCUAUCGCAUGCUCUUACCCGUCCCAAUCCUAUCAAUCCCCGAGGCAUGUGGGAUUACUAAUCCUAUGAGGGAAGGAGUGAAGGCUUUUGAGAGUUUUCAAAGGACAAAAUGCUAAGACGACAAACAAAAUAUAUACAGCAAGUACAGAGAAAGCAAUUAAGCAAAUACGACUCAAAUAAACCUCAUCGAAUCAAAGAAAAGCACGUAGUCUAGCAUGUCUUUCACAUACUGUUAUGGUCUGAAUUAAAACUUAAACAUUAACGAGGCAGACUGCUUGUUACAUGUUUCAGAUAAGAAAUCAGAAUCAGACCCGCCUACUGGCUGGGAUUAGUAUACUAAUGUAGUUAUAGUUUUUACCCUAAAGCUUGCCUAGGUGUUAAACGGAACCUAUAUGCAUGGUGCCUAUAAAUUCAGAAAGAAGUAAACUAGUUGUAGAAAAGAUUUGCCGAUUGCAGGGUUGUUAUUGCUAUUGAUUUUAGACUCGCCAAUUCUGAUUGGGCUGAUAGCUCCUAUAGGCAUGCUUUCUAGGAGUUACUGAUUUUUAAGCGCUAUUAACAUAUAGAAGUCCUAUAGGCAGGUCAUCUAUAUGCAAUUGGUUAUUCGAAUCCUAUAAUAGGUUUGCCCAGUGACAGAUGCAAAUGCAAAAAUGUGAAAGUCCUAUAGGCAUAUCAUCUAUAUGUAGAAUUUCAGGAAUGACUUAUAGGAUGAUAUCUAUAUGAAGUGCUAAAAACCUAUAGCCAUGGUAACUAUAUGAGAUGCAGUAUUUCAAAAAUAGUAAUACCCUAUAGACACGGUAUCUAUAUGAAAUGCAUAAUUUCAGGAGUAGUGAUUCAUUUGAACAUGGUAUCUAUGUGGUGAAAUGCAGAAACUCAGAAAUAGCAAUUCCUAUGAACGUGGUAUCUAUGUGGUGAAAUGUAGAAAUUUAAAGACAUAGUUUCUAAUGCAAAAGUGAAACAACUUACAGGCAGGAUUUCUACAUGCAAUGCGUAAGAGAAAGAGCAGGUUGUGAUUGUAAAGUAAAUACCUAAAGUAGGAUGUCUACCCAUAUACAUACAUGAAUGACCCUACCGUUUUUUACUAUAACCCCCCAGUUAUUACCGAUUAUUACAGACCCAAAUGAAUAAAGAAAAAUAAAAUAUAUCAGAAAGCCAAAAUAAUCCCAGCCAAGGAGAGCCUGACUCAGACUUCUGACCUAAAGCAGGAUGUCUACCCAUAUACAUACAUGAAUGACCCUACCAUUUUUUUACUAUAACCCCGCAGUUAUUACAGAUUAUUACAAACCCGAAUGAAUAAAAAAAAGUACAUCAGAAAGCCAAAAUAAUCCCAGGCAAGGAGAGCCUGACUCAGACUUCUGUCAGAAGCAUGAAGUAAACCAACUCCCAAGAUCAAAUUUCCAAAGCCUUUCUCUUAUUUGGGAUGUAUCAAAGUUUCCUAAGAAUCUCAAACGGAUUCCGAGCAGUGCUUACACCCAAAUAUAUUGCAAAAUUGGAUUAUGGUGUAAUGCGGAAAGGCCAGUCCUCAAAUGUCCAAGUUUAGAGAGAAACUCAAGGUUCUCAAGGCAGGGCUAAUAAGAGGGGACAGAACUUAGGGUCUACGAGUAAGUGAAAGUGUAAUAGAAGGGGAAAAGGCAAGCUGGUGGUCAUGCCCAACAAUUUUGAGGUGCUGGCACACCCCUGACCAUCUAGUUAGUCUAAAUUGAAGAGUUAAGACAUGUUGAAGGUCAGGUUAAGCCAUGGACAGCAAUUUGGAUGCUGCCAUGCUAUAACUUAACUCAUCACACAUAGGGGAAUGGGGUAUGGGAUUCAUAACAGAAACAGAAGACAAAGGAAGAUGGGCAAAGGGCAUGAUCAGCAAUGAAACAUGCUGACACACCUUUUACUUAGGGUCAAAGUUUAGUUCAUGGACAACAAAUCAAAUUGCCAUGCCCUAAAUCCCCAUUUAUAAACAUAUAGAGGGUCAAGGGUAGGGAUCAAGCAUUUACAGGAAAGUAAAGCAAACACAAAAUAUCAACAUGUCAAAUUCUGCAGGUAACAGACAUAGAUAUAAAGACUUGUAAAUAAACACAUUGGAGUGAUACUGCGAAUAAAAAUUGGGACAUACCAGUUUCAGGGACGUAAAUGAAUGAAAGCAGAAAUUUUAUAAGCCAAAUUUGCAAGCAAUAUAAAAGAUCUCAGAAAAGAGCAGAGAAGAGCAUAUGUAAUAGUAUGCAAUUCGAAAUGUUCAGUAAGUGAUCUUUUGAAAGUAUAGAAGGGUCGUGCCCUUUUAUAGUGCAGUAGCAAGUAAGAAAAGGUAAGAAAAUAACAUUGAAAUCGAUCUCCUUUUAAUUAAGGGACUCUGAUUUCAAACGAGUAAAGACAAUUAAGGAAAGAGUUGAUCAUAACAUUUCCCCAAGCAGUACAAUAAAGGGUAAAUACAUAAAAGAUAUUUAAGGCAAAAGUCUAGUGGUAUUUGGUUUGUGAAAAAAAUAAGGAAAGGGAAUCAAUCAAACAACCAGAAAAAUCAAAGUUGAAAGCCUUUUUUGAAUGAAUCGGGUGAAAAAAGUGGUAAAAGAAAGUUCAAUUAGAGAAAAAUCAAUAACAAUCAAGUAAACAACAUUAAAGGAAUUCGGAAUCAAUUAGCAGUUGGCAAAAUCUUUUGAAAGAAAAAUUCGUAUAUAUAAAGCACAUGGACAUUUCAAACAAGAAAGAGUUGUUAUGCUAAUUAGAAAAGAAUAGCAAGAAAGUUUCAAAAUCAUAAGCAAAAAAGGAUUCUAAUUUAAUUCAUAGACUCAAAAUGAGUCUGAGAGAGUCAAGGAUUCGGAGUAGAGCCCUAGUCCAAACACACAAUUAAACUUGUGUAAAUGCCUAUAUGAACAUAAUUGUGUAGUAUGUGUAAACUUGUGUUGGGUUGUCUUAAUGUGCUCUCGUUUUUCAGGCACUAUGGCACCAUCUCGAAAAUUCCAUGUCACAGGUGCCUCCUCUAGCAGCCAAGCCAGCUCAUCCAGGUCACGCAGGGCAGCCCUUGCCCGGCCCUUUAAUAGUAAAAAAUUUGUCUCUGCCAAAGCUCAGGACUGCUUUACGGAUAAGGCCUCUAAAAAGCCAAUUCCGGAGAGGAGAAUUGACAUAGGAUCGCUCCAGCUACACUACCCUCUCAUAUACAGUGAGCUGGUAAGGCGAGGGUUGCAAACUUUCAUUGAUGAGCUUGGCAAAGGCAAUGUAAUAGUGGUUAGACAAUAUUACGCCAAUGUGAAGGAACAUGUCGAUGGUGUAGUCAUGGUGCGUCGAAAGGCGGUGAAUUCCUUUGUGGAGGCUAUAUAGACGGCGUACCAGCUCCCCCUCCCGUGGAUCCAUAUGAUAACUCUUAUGAGGGGUAUGGCUGAGCACACACAUAAUGGGAAAGGUUCUUGAAACAAUCUGUGUACCCGGGAAUGAGGUGAUCUGGAGGAAGUAUGGUGAGAAAUUUCACUCCUCGGUACUAAUCUUUGAAAGGAAGAUCUAGUUGUAUAUUAUCAACAAUAGUUUGAUCCUGUCCUUCAACACUACGGAAGUGAAUGGCCCCCGAGCAGCCUUGAUUUGGUGCUUCAUCAAUGAUCACAACUUUGACGUGGCCAAAGUGAUUCAUAAGGAGAUGUUUAUCCGCUAUCCAGUCAAAAGGUAUGGAUUUUUUUUCCCUUCUUUGUUCACUAAACUUUGCAAGCUCGGGUGCCAGAAAACUAGCAAUGGAUGGGCUGGUGCCAAAAGAUCACAAGUUCCGGGCUAACAAGGUAACCAAGGGUAAGGAGCCAGUGGCAGCAAGUGGAGAGGAUGUAGUGGCUUUGAUGACUCGGAGGAAGAUGAGGCCGAGCAGGAGGACGUAGGGGUCGCACAUCAGGCCCAUGAGCAAAGUGCAGUAGCUGCAACACCAUCUAGGACUGCCACAUCUUCUGGAGCUGCACGGGUGUCCCGUUUCACCAUUUUGGAGCAAGAGAUGGCUGGAUUGCGUACUUCAGUCAUUGAUUUGGGUACCCAAGUUGACGCGGUGGCUGACCGGCAGGUGAAGUCAAAAAAUAAAUUCUUACGCUGGCUGAGAGUUCUGGGUCGUGCGUGUAAUGUGAACUCAGACAUCGUCUCUGACUAGGAGUGAUAUGUCAGGGAAGUUCCUUUACCUCACUGUUCUUUAAACUUUUAUGCCAUGAGGACAUGUUUACAUUUUAAGUGUGAGGUGGGGGAUACUUCAAUGUAUAUAUGUAUAUGUAGCAAUUUGACUGGUUGAUGUUUCUUUGUUUCUCUUUGAUUAUUUUUGGUGUCUUGAGUAAUAGUUUCAUUGGGUAAUUUUAAAUCAGGUAAUUGACUUGUCCCAACGACGGAUCUAUUUCAGCAGGGUUCUUGAGGGACUAAGUUGAGAAAAAAAAAGAAGGGGAAUAUGAAGACUCUUCCUGAUGACGCAUCCAUUAGAAAAUUUUCUUGAGGGAAGUAAGUCUAUAGAAAAGACCAAAAAGAUUUUUUAUUUUCUUUUUUUUAGGUAUUGUAGUAACUCCCCCUUGGUUUUUCUUUGGGCUACAGUUCUUUUCCAAGGGUUUAGCUUGAAUUGUAUGUAGGUAGUUUUUGUUAGUUUGAUUUUAUUAGUUUUUCGUUAUGAUUAAUGUGCUACGAGUUGAAAUCGAAAUAGAAACACUUAGCGUUGAUACACCUGAACACGGUAGACACUAGAGUGUAACGCUGAGUCUUAGUGGUUGAUUUUUGCUAAAGUGCCUUAAAUUGUAUGUUUGUCACUGACUUGAAUACUAAGAAAUAGUGUCUUGAUAAACCAAUCUGGAGUGAGUCAUAUGCCAUAUGUGUGUGAGUUAUACUAUAUUACAUGAUUCACAAUUGAUUCCUAGAACUUUCCCUGUGUGUUUGCAAACGAAAUAGUAGUUUCAUUCAGUAUUAGAAGUAAUAUAGGCAUUUCUUUAUUGAGCCAGACAUAUAAAGUUACCCACCUAACUGUAAUAUAUCGUAUUCAAUCACGUUGAGCCAUAUAAGCAUGUUUAUUUAGCAACCACAUUGCAAACCUUACCCAAUUGUUUGAAUGGACAUCUGUUUGAACCCUUUUACCUCCCAUAAGCACUUGAAUGGUAUUGAAAUUAUGCAAAAAAGAAAGUGUGGGGUGGUGGUUUGGUUUUUGAAUGAAAUCGUUGAAAUAGAGAAAAGGUGCAGUGUUAGGAGAAGUAAAAGAAUAAGCACCGCCAUCAAAACAAAGAGUAAAUGUAGUAAUCGAGAAGUGAUGGGUUGUUACAAUUGCACCUAGUGAAUGGGGAUGUUGUAAAUAAAAAGUGGCAGAGUGUGUGGUUGACAUAAGUACAGUUUUGAAGGUUAAUGUAAUUGUAUUAAAAGUGUUUAGGUAGGUUAGUCACUAUAUCCACAUAUAUCCUACCCGUCCUUAGCUUACAUUAUAAUCAAGUGAAGUCCUAUUGAUCUUAGACUGAGUGAGAUCGAUUAGUAGAGUAGUAUACUACGGGCAAGUCUAUGGUGCAUCUUUGUGGCAUGUGAAUGUUCUUGAAACUGAGUGAAUUUUGUCUAUCUAAGUUCUUAAUUGUUUUAAAUACCAUUAUACAUGGAACUACUCUCUUGUGUGAUGUGAGGACAUGUGAUUCACGAAGGAAAGGCAAGUCUUGACUUCUAUGUAGAGUACUUUGAGUAAGUAUAAAUAUUGCAUGGCACGUGAGAGCCGAAUUUUUAGGCAAAUAUUGUUCACUACUACAUGUAACUGAUGUGAUUUGUUCUUGGUGUGAUGCGUUAGGGAAUAAUGCUUAGUGAAGGAACCUAUAUAGAGUGUGGUGGAUGCUUGAGGACUAGCAAUGAUUUAAGUGUAGGGUGUUGAUACUAGGCUAGAUUUAUGUAAUUUGGCAAUUGUUUAUGUCCUAGCUUGAUUAUGAGAAUAUAGUUAAAUAAUGAUAAAUUGGCUCUAAUUGUGAAUUUCACACGUUGCAAGAGUAAGUAACACGUAUGAGGAAUUAAAGAUGUGUUUGGAGCAAAAUUGAAGCAAGAAAAGCCCCUAGUAUGAGUAGUUAAAUAUUUAAUCUAAGGUUUUGACGGAACCUAUUGAAGGAUGAACUUCUUGUUAUGUUAACAUAGUUUGCUUGGUUUAAUCUCUAUUUGUCGAACUAUAUUUUUGUUGUAGUUAAUUGAUAGGAUCCUCAAUUAGCUGUGCAUAUUUAGUGUGCAUAACUCGGGAGAGAGUGCAUAUUUAGGUAAUUGUUGGACAACACCACCCUCAAAGUAUAUGAGGGAUCAAUAACUGAGGGUUUAAAGGUGAGAUUAAGGAUAAUGAAGCUUUGGUUGCAAUCUAAAGUGAUAAACAAAGCCAGCUAGCGUAGAAGAGUUUGUUUAGUAAAUUAUCGUGAUUACUCGGGAAAGAUUUACGGCAAUAAGAGUGCUCAUAUUUGAUAGAGAUGAUUAGGCAAUUCUAUAUGAAACAUAACCAGAAGAGAUUCCACCUAUAGGAAAAAUCAUAACCGUAGAAACUUUUCUUAAUUGUUUACAACUUAAUCAUAGUUAGUUUUCAGUUGCUUAUUUACAUUCAUUUUUAGUUAGUAGAAACAUCAACUGUUAUUCACAAAGUUUGGAAGUUGAUUCCGUGGAAUUAGUAAGUCUAACGAGAGUAUUUGUAGGUUAAUUCCUUGUGGGUUAGACUCUAGGAUAAACAUUCAGAUUAUAUUUACAACGUCCGCGUGUUCUUUUAAUAAGGCAUAGUUGGGCGUAAUCACCAGACUUGUUAGCUUCACCACCAGCAUUGAUACUACGUAAUCGCCCAUUAAGGCUUAAGCAAAUGAGAACGAUGUUAGGUCUCCAUUGAGAUUGAUCUCUGUUAGGUUCUAUCCCCGAUACCUUAGCGGGAACUAGUGUUGAUAUCCCUAAGAAGGACUUAUGCCCGAUCACCAAGAAAGGGAAGAAAAGGUGGAUGAGAGGCCUCCUCCUAACCAAAAGAGGACCUUGAUGUUUGUCGAAAUAGAAGUCAACACGAACUUAUUCGGGCAUUAAUCGACACCGGUGCUACCAAAAACUACUUAGUCUCAACUCAUGUGAAGCGCCUCGGUCUAGUGGUACAAAAGAGCAAGGGUCAUGUCAAGGCUAUCAAUCCACCACCCCAACCAGUGGGUGGAAUAGCCAAAGAAGUGUCCAUGAAGUUUGGACCUUGUCACACCUCCUUUUUUACACAUCCUAGAAAUAUAUAAGGGAGUUUUUCUAAUUAUAGUGGCAUUAUCCAAAAUGGAAUUAUCUAUUCAAUUUAAAGUCGCCACUUGGGAUAGUUUAUUUGGUGUCCCAAGUUACCGAUUUACUUUAAAUUCCAAAUCGAGGAAUUUUUGACUUUCCUUUUGAAGUCCGGGAAUCAGAAAUUCUGAAUAAGGAAUUUUACUAACCCGAGGGAAGGUGUUAGGUACCUCCAGAUUUAGUGGUUCUAUCACGGUCGCAUUAAACUACUAUAAAUGGCCUAUUAUCUUAUUUUAAUACAUGUUUUAACCUAUGGUUCAAUUUUAGCUCUAUAACCGCUUUUAUUUAAUUAUUGUUACAUAUUACAAAUCAUGUCACAGGAACCGUACCCACGAUUUGUAACAUAAUUAAUUUUAAAGAUUAAUUUAUUUUCGGGUCACAUAAAUGUACCCCGAAUUUUAGUAAUUAGGGGUCACAACUACAUCGUGGAAACUAAGGCGGUAUCCAGUUCCGGUUCAGGGUCUAUUUGGGUCUGCGGUUCCGGUUCUGGCGGUUCCGGUUCUGGCGGUUCCGAUUCUGCGGUUUUGGCGGUUCUGGCGGUUCCGAUUCUGGCGGUUCCGGAGUCGGAACCGCUAGCAUAUGGUUCCGAAACCGUCCGAUUCCUGUUCUGGCGGUUCCGACUUAAUUUUUUUUUUUAAAUCAAUAUCUUGUAUAGUAUUUAUUAGUAUAUUGUAGAAUAUAAUUUUAUAUGGUGUACUAUGUUAUUAAUUAUAGUAUAUAUUGUGUUUGGUAAUUAGUAUAUAUUNNNNNNNNNNNNNNNNNNNNNNNNNNNNNNNNNNNNNNNNNNNNNNNNNNNNNNNNNNNNNNNNNNNNNNNNNNNNNNNNNNNNNNNNNNNNNNNNNNNNNNNNNNNNNNNNNNNNNNNNNNNNNNNNNNNNNNNNNNNNNNNNNNNNNNNNNNNNNNNNNNNNNNNNNNNNNNNNNNNNNNNNNNNNNNNNNNNNNNNNNNNNNNNNNNNNNNNNNNNNNNNNNNNNNNNNNNNNNNNNNNNNNNNNNNNNNNNNNNNNNNNNNNNNNNNNNNNNNNNNNNNNNNNNNNNNNNNNNNNNNNNNNNNNNNNNNNNNNNNNNNNNNNNNNNNNNNNNNNNNNNNNNNNNNNNNNNNNNNNNNNNNNNNNNNNNNNNNNNNNNNNNNNNNNNNNNNNNNNNNNNNNNNNNNNNNNNNNNNNNNNNNNNNNNNNNNNNNNNNNNNNNNNNNNNNNNNNNNNNNNNNNNNNNNNNNNNNNNNNNNNNNNNNNNNNNNNNNNNNNNNNNNNNNNNNNNNNNNNNNNNNNNNNNNNNNNNNNNNNNNNNNNNNNNNNNNNNNNNNNNNNNNNNNNNNNNNNNNNNNNNNNNNNNNNNNNNNNNNNNNNNNNNNNNNNNNNNNNNNNNNNNNNNNNNNNNNNNNNNNNNNNNNNNNNNNNNNNNNNNNNNNNNNNNNNNNNNNNNNNNNNNNNNNNNNNNNNNNNNNNNNNNNNNNNNNNNNNNNNNNNNNNNNNNNNNNNNNNNNNNNNNNNNNNNNNNNNNNNNNNNNNNNNNNNNNNNNNNNNNNNNNNNNNNNNNNNNNNNNNNNNNNNNNNNNNNNNNNNNNNNNNNNNNNNNNNNNNNNNNNNNNNNNNNNNNNNNNNNNNNNNNNNNNNNNNNNNNNNNNNNNNNNNNNNNNNNNNNNNNNNNNNNNNNNNNNNNNNNNNNNNNNNNNNNNNNNNNNNNNNNNNNNNNNNNNNNNNNNNNNNNNNNNNNNNNNNNNNNNNNNNNNNNNNNNNNNNNNNNNNNNNNNNNNNNNNNNNNNNNNNNNNNNNNNNNNNNNNNNNNNNNNNNNNNNNNNNNNNNNNNNNNNNNNNNNNNNNNNNNNNNNNNNNNNNNNNNNNNNNNNNNNNNNNNNNNNNNNNNNNNNNNNNNNNNNNNNNNNNNNNNNNNNNNNNNNNNNNNNNNNNNNNNNNNNNNNNNNNNNNNNNNNNNNNNNNNNNNNNNNNNNNNNNNNNNNNNNNNNNNNNNNNNNNNNNNNNNNNNNNNNNNNNNNNNNNNNNNNNNNNNNNNNNNNNNNNNNNNNNNNNNNNNNNNNNNNNNNNNNNNNNNNNNNNNNNNNNNNNNNNNNNNNNNNNNNNNNNNNNNNNNNNNNNNNNNNNNNNNNNNNNNNNNNNNNNNNNNNNNNNNNNNNNNNNNNNNNNNNNNNNNNNNNNNNNNNNNNNNNNNNNNNNNNNNNNNNNNNNNNNNNNNNNNNNNNNNNNNNNNNNNNNNNNNNNNNNNNNNNNNNNNNNNNNNNNNNNNNNNNNNNNNNNNNNNNNNNNNNNNNNNNNNNNNNNNNNNNNNNNNNNNNNNNNNNNNNNNNNNNNNNNNNNNNNNNNNNNNNNNNNNNNNNNNNNNNNNNNNNNNNNNNNNNNNNNNNNNNNNNNNNNNNNNNNNNNNNNNNNNNNNNNNNNNNNNNNNNNNNNNNNNNNNNNNNNNNNNNNNNNNNNNNNNNNNNNNNNNNNNNNNNNNNNNNNNNNNNNNNNNNNNNNNNNNNNNNNNNNNNNNNNNNNNNNNNNNNNNNNNNNNNNNNNNNNNNNNNNNNNNNNNNNNNNNNNNNNNNNNNNNNNNNNNNNNNNNNNNNNNNNNNNNNNNNNNNNNNNNNNNNNNNNNNNNNNNNNNNNNNNNNNNNNNNNNNNNNNNNNNNNNNNNNNNNNNNNNNNNNNNNNNNNNNNNNNNNNNNNNNNNNNNNNNNNNNNNNNNNNNNNNNNNNNNNNNNNNNNNNNNNNNNNNNNNNNNNNNNNNNNNNNNNNNNNNNNNNNNNNNNNNNNNNNNNNNNNNNNNNNNNNNNNNNNNNNNNNNNNNNNNNNNNNNNNNNNNNNNNNNNNNNNNNNNNNNNNNNNNNNNNNNNNNNNNNNNNNNNNNNNNNNNNNNNNNNNNNNNNNNNNNNNNNNNNNNNNNNNNNNNNNNNNNNNNNNNNNNNNNNNNNNNNNNNNNNNNNNNNNNNNNNNNNNNNNNNNNNNNNNNNNNNNNNNNNNNNNNNNNNNNNNNNNNNNNNNNNNNNNNNNNNNNNNNNNNNNNNNNNNNNNNNNNNNNNNNNNNNNNNNNNNNNNNNNNNNNNNNNNNNNNNNNNNNNNNNNNNNNNNNNNNNNNNNNNNNNNNNNNNNNNNNNNNNNNNNNNNNNNNNNNNNNNNNNNNNNNNNNNNNNNNNNNNNNNNNNNNNNNNNNNNNNNNNNNNNNNNNNNNNNNNNNNNNNNNNNNNNNNNNNNNNNNNNNNNNNNNNNNNNNNNNNNNNNNNNNNNNNNNNNNNNNNNNNNNNNNNNNNNNNNNNNNNNNNNNNNNNNNNNNNNNNNNNNNNNNNNNNNNNNNNNNNNNNNNNNNNNNNNNNNNNNNNNNNNNNNNNNNNNNNNNNNNNNNNNNNNNNNNNNNNNNNNNNNNNNNNNNNNNNNNNNNNNNNNNNNNNNNNNNNNNNNNNNNNNNNNNNNNNNNNNNNNNNNNNNNNNNNNNNNNNNNNNNNNNNNNNNNNNNNNNNNNNNNNNNNNNNNNNNNNNNNNNNNNNNNNNNNNNNNNNNNNNNNNNNNNNNNNNNNNNNNNNNNNNNNNNNNNNNNNNNNNNNNNNNNNNNNNNNNNNNNNNNNNNNNNNNNNNNNNNNNNNNNNNNNNNNNNNNNNNNNNNNNNNNNNNNNNNNNNNNNNNNNNNNNNNNNNNNNNNNNNNNNNNNNNNNNNNNNNNNNNNNNNNNNNNNNNNNNNNNNNNNNNNNNNNNNNNNNNNNNNNNNNNNNNNNNNNNNNNNNNNNNNNNNNNNNNNNNNNNNNNNNNNNNNNNNNNNNNNNNNNNNNNNNNNNNNNNNNNNNNNNNNNNNNNNNNNNNNNNNNNNNNNNNNNNNNNNNNNNNNNNNNNNNNNNNNNNNNNNNNNNNNNNNNNNNNNNNNNNNNNNNNNNNNNNNNNNNNNNNNNNNNNNNNNNNNNNNNNNNNNNNNNNNNNNNNNNNNNNNNNNNNNNNNNNNNNNNNNNNNNNNNNNNNNNNNNNNNNNNNNNNNNNNNNNNNNNNNNNNNNNNNNNNNNNNNNNAUUAGGAUAAAGCAUAUUCAUAAUAUCAUCAUCUAUUCUAUCACCGACUGCUACAUCAUGUAGAAAAUCAACAUCGCUAAAUUGAAAACACGGGUGAUUUCUAUCAAGUAUUCCGAAGUUUUCAUUAGAAUUUCUAGGUUGGCUACUAGUUUCAACUUGUUUAUCUUUUCUAUGUCGGGGAGCCGGAGGAGGGGUAGUAUUUUGGCGACUACUUUCACCGGUUUUAUUUUUUCCUUUUCCGAACAUAUUUUUCAAUGAAAAUGACAUAUUAAUUAUAAUUAAGCAAAAUAACAACACACAAAAAUAUUCUAAUCACGUAAGAGUUGAAACGAGUUUACCGGAUUGACGAACAACUUCUUGAAAANNNNNNNNNNNNNNNNNNNNNNNNNNNNNNNNNNNNNNNNNNNNNNNNNNNNNNNNNNNNNNNNNNNNNNNNNNNNNNNNNNNNNNNNNNNNNNNNNNNNNNNNNNNNNNNNNNNNNNNNNNNNNNNNNNNNNNNNNNNNNNNNNNNNNNNNNNNNNNNNNNNNNNNNNNNNNNNNNNNNNNNNNNNNNNNNNNNNNNNNNNNNNNNNNNNNNNNNNNNNNNNGGGUAUUUAUAGUUGAGAAAUGGGAAAUUGUGUAAUUAUAUAAAGUUUGGGGUUAAAUUAAAGUUUGAGGGGUUAAAUGACUAUUUUUGAAAAUUCCAAACGGCUAAUUUUGAAAAAGAGCCGUUUGAAAUUUUUUUUAAAAAAAAAUUCUUUUUUUUUAAAUCCGGACCGUUGGGAACCGUUUGGAACCGGAUGGAACCGCCUGAACCGGUCCGGUUCCGGUUCCGCGGUUCUAGCGGGUGGAACCGCUCCAUCACGGUUCGGGGGAACCGCCAGACCCUGAACCGCGGAAUCGGAACCGCCAGAACCGCGGUUCCAGGUCCGGUUCCGGUUCCGAACCGGGCCACUUCCAGCCUUAACCAAUAUUGGGUUAUUCUUGGAGGUUUUAGGUUUUCUCAACUCCUCAGGGCCAAAGCACCUGCCCAACUGGGUCAAUCCAUGGGUCUCACAGAAUUCUUCUCUACCCUCUUUCCCUUUCCUUAACGGAAAACCGCACCUAUAGUUAUGACCAUUAAUUAAUUUACGCGCCAAAAGCAAACUACGAAAGGUCAAAGAUGUUUUCCAUACUAAGUUAAUAUUAAUGGGAGGGCCAUAGAUUAUGGAAAUCAAUUGUGGAUGAAGAUGUUAUGACUUAAUUAGCACAACAUUUAUAAAAAUUUGCUUAAAGAAUUAGAGCUAAAGUUCUUGGAAAAACAGUGCUAAUAUGUAGUAUAAGAAUAUGAACUUUAAGAUAUAAUUUCUAUGCCUCUAGAUAAUGUGUAUGAAGCGAUCCUUUUUCUUUUUGUAGUUGCUAACUGGAAAAGAACAUUGCAGAUUCUUAUGAUGUCUUUAUCUUAGAAAUCUGGCAUCACUUUUUCCAAGAAGAAAUCAAUUAAUUACAAAUAUUCUUAAUUGCUAGAAACUAAUACGUAAAGGAUAAAGUUAAUUUUUGACCAGGAAAAAAAGAAAGAUAUUGAAUGGCUUUUCGACGCAACUUUGAAAAAAAUAACUCUCUCGAUAAAGUUAUAACAAUUUAUUGCAACAACUCUCCUACAAAAUUUUGUAAUAAAAAGAUAAAAAAGCUAACAAUAUUUUUUGCUCUUUAGAAAAUUAGAUGGGAAUGUGCAAAACUGAACUAGUGACAGAACAAAUAAGAGAAACUGAAAGAUAGCAGACAGAUGAAGAAUUAGAAGGGAUGAUAUGAACAUCAUUUACAAAGCAUAUCAUUCCAUAAUCCCAACUCAUUUUGAAAAGAACACAUGAAAAAAGGGAAAGACAAUGAAUUCCAGAAACUAACACUUAAUCCACAAUUGAUCUAGUAGCUAAAUUCCAACAAAUUUCAAUCAACUUCAUGGAUUCACAAAGAGCAAAUGCAGAUUUAGAAUUAUUGAAUCAUGCUGAAAUAUAAGGGACAAAUCGAAAAAAGCUGCCAGCAAUAUAGUAAUCAAGGAAUAUAACUCAUAACACAAAAUUCAAGUUCAAUAGGAAUCAUCCAUCACCUUAAAAAGUAAUUUCAACUAAUUGAUUUCAUAAAUCAAAUAUGAACAUAAAGGCUUCAGUGUGUACCUAGAGCUCAGCAAAGUAAGCGAUAAAAUCGGCAGAAAACAGCACCAAUCCCAGCCAAAUAUGACUCAAAAAAUCCAGAAAUUAUCAAACAAAACACUAUAAAUCAGACCAGAUUUUAAAAUCCUUCAUGAUUCCUUUUUUUUCACUUUUUUUCUUGUUUUAGAAGCUGAAAUUUCAGACAUCAGAGCUUGAAGCUAAUAGGGUUCUGCUAUGGGGGUUCUCGGCUGAAGAAGAAGAUAGAAAGGGGGAAAAUGCCGAUGCUCCUCUCCCUUGCGCCACUGCUUGUUUUUAGAGGAGAAGGUCCUCUUUUCGUUUCUUGAGUGAGGAAUUUGAUUCUUUAGUAAUGAUGGAGAGAUGAGGAGGAUGAAAGCAUGUGGAUGGAGGAAGAAAAAGGAAACAAAAAGAAGAGGGUCUCCAGAUGCGCCGUUUCUUCUUCUUUUCCAAGGAGGAGCUCCUGAGUUUUUUUAGGUCUGAGAUAGAAAUGAGCGUGUAUUCUAUUUUAAGUCUUAGGAAUCUAUUAAAUGUGAAGGGAAACGAAUCGGACAAGCGGGUUGGGGAUUGGGCCAAGGGAAGUUUUGGAUCAGAUUUAGGCAGGGUGAAAAUUGACCCAAUUUCAAAAGUCAAACCAUUUACCAAUUCUUUCUUUUAUUUUCUAAUUUUUCUUUUUCUUUUAAUUAAAAUACUACAAAUUAAAAAUCCUAAAUUAUUUAAAAGUAUAAAAUUAAACUAAUUACCUAAUUAUAAAAAUUAUGAACAAUACUUAAUUCUAAAUUAAAAGUGGAAAAUCAAUAAACCAAAAUUAAAAGACAAAAAUGUAAAAAUGAGUUUAAUUUGUGAUUUUUAAAUUUUUCUAAAGCAAAUAAUUAUAGAUUAAUUCUAACAAUGUAAAUAAAUCCUAAAUGCAAUGCAUUAUAUUUUUUAGAUUUUUUCAUGAUUUAAAUAAAAAUUAAACAUGCACAGAAAUGCAAACAAUUGAUUAAAAUCUACAAAAAUUCCUAAAAAUGGUAAAUAAUUAAAAAAAUCUAUUUUCUUGAAAUUCCGUAUGAGUAAUUCAUGUGAGACAAAAAUCACAUGCUCACAGCAGUCCCUCUUUGCUCGGAGACACGAAGGGUUUUCAGGCAAUGAUAGUGAGCAAUAUGAGGGAUUUUUGCCCGUUUAAAACUCCAUGAGAAGCAUUUUUGAAAAUAGCCUGACCGAACCUUGCUUUACAAGUUGCCUACAUAUCCUUGGCUAUAAAGGAAUUAAGUGAGUGUAGUUCUGGAAGUUUUGAUAGUUGGGACUACCGAGAAGCUGUGAUUUCGUUGUUGUUGCUGCUGUUUCUGCUUGCUGAGCUCCUUAUUACACCAUAAUAGAAAAUAAAAAGCUAAACUAGCUAAGCCUAUCAACUACGAGUUACAAGAUUCCUAUCUAUAAAUCUUGAAGCUUGAUCUUGAGUCUUGACUGGCUAUUGCUGUAGACUCCCAUCUGAAUCUUGAUGCUCGUUAGCUGUAACCACUGGUUCAUUCUUCAACUUUGUAUCAAGGCGGGACAUGCGAAGCCUGUGAUUUCAAUCAUAUCUUGGCUCAUCCGCGUCUUUCUCCGUUUCAGCAUUGUGAGUUCACUCUUUUGUUGUCUUUUUCUUUUAUUUAUUCUGGAUUACGACUCAUUCUUUUGGUCAUCUUGAAUCUUGUGCCUCGAGGUCAGACCUGCUCAGACACCAAAACAAACAAAUAAAAGAAAUUUUUCUGCACCAAUUUUCACAAGAAAAAUUUCGUAAGUUAUUUGCAACUAAGAUCCAAAACUUUUUUUCUUUUUUUUUAAAGCGAUAAAAUAAGAAUUGUGUGUCUUUAGAAGGAAAUAUUAGGGAAUGGAGCUCUAUAUCUAAAAUUCUCAACUAGGGAAUGGAUGCCCUAUGUUUGCAAAAAAGCGACUAAGGAAUGGAGGUCCUAUGUCUAAAAAUCUAAACACAGGGAUUGGAGCCCUAAUAUUGGCAAAAAGCGACUAGGGAAUGGAGGCCCUAUGUCUAAAAAUUACAACUCACGUAUUGGAGCCCUGAUGUUGGCAAAAAAAAGGAGAAUAGGAAAUAGAAGCCUUAUGUCUAAAAAUCUCAACUUAGGGAUUGGAGCCUUAACGUUGGCAAAAAAAAGGCAACUAGGGAAUAAAGCUCAUGUGCCAAAAUCAUAACUCAGGGAUUAGAGCCCUAAUGUUGGCAAAAAGGUGACUAGGAAAUGGAGGCCCUAUGUCUAAAAAUCUCAAAUCAAGGAUUGAAGUCCUAAUGUUGGCAAAAAUGGCGACUAGGGAAUGGAGGCCCUAUGUCUAAAAAUCUCAACUCUGGGAUUGGAGCCCUAAUGUUGGCAAAAGGCGACUAGGGAAUGGAGGCCCUGUGUCUAAAAAUCUCAACUCAGGGGUUGGAGCCCUGAUGUUGGCAAAAAAAGGACGACUAAGGAAUGGAAGCCCUAUGUCUAAAAAUCUCAACGUAGUGAUUGGAGUGCUAAUAUUGAAGAAAAAAAGGCAACUAGGGAAUGAAUAUGUCUAAAAAUCUCAACUCAGAAAUUUGAGCCCUAAUUUGGCAAAAAGACGACUAGGGAAUGGAGGCCAUAUGUCUAAAAAUCUCAAAUCAGGAAUUGAAGCCCUAAUGUUGGCAAAAAAGGCGACAAUGGAAUAACUUAGGAUUGGAGCCCUAAUGUUGGCAAAAAGGCAACUAGGAAAUGGAGGUCCUAUGUCUAAAAAUCUUAACUCAAGGAUUGGAUCCCUAAUAUUGACAAAAAGGCGACUAGGGAAUGGAGGCCCUAUGUCUAAAAUCUCAACUGAAGGAAUGGAGCCUUAAUAUUGGUAAAAUGGCGACAAGGGAAUAGAGGUCCUAUGUCUAAAAAUCUCAACUUAGGGAUGGGAGCCCUAAUGUUGGGAAAAAAGGCGACUAGGGAAUAAAUGCCCUAUGUCUAAAAACCUCAACUCAGGAAUUGGAGCCUAACCUUGGCAAAAAAAAGUGAAUAGGGAAUGGAGACCCUAUGUCUAAAAAUCUCAACUAAGGGAUUGGAGUCCUACUAUUGGCAAAAGGCGACUAGGGAAUGGAGGCACUAUGUCUAAAAAUCUCAACUCAUGGAUUGGAGCCUUAAUGGAAAUUGAGACUACUGAAUUAUGUACCUAUGCUAAAAUGAACCAAGAGGGAUUAUUUUUUUUUGUUUUUUUGUUUCGGAACAAAAUUCAAUUUUAAUUUUUUUUUUCUUUUGAGAAAAUCAUUCUUUUAAACAAAUUCCCCUAACGCUUUUUUAAAAAAAAAUCAAGACAUCUUUUUUUAAAGAAAUUAUUGUCCUAAGAGAAAAUUUAUCAGACUAGGUUUUAAUCAUAUGAGAAAGAUUCAUCAUACCAAGAUUUCUAUCCUAGGAGAAAGUUCACCAGACUAGGUUCCCUUUUUUUGUUAUCUUAGGAGAAAAAUUCAUCAGACUAAGAUUUCUAUCCUAGGAGAAAGUUCACCAGACUAGGUUUUCUAUCUUAGGAGAAAUAUUAAUCAGACUAAGAUUUUAAUCCUAGGAGAAAGUUCAUCAGACUAGAUCUUCUAUCUUAGGAGAAAAAUUCAUCAGACUAAGAUUUUGAUCCUAGGAGAAAGUUCAUCAGACUAAAAUUUUGAUCCUAGAAGAAAGUUUAUCAAACUAUGUCCAUUUUUGUUAUCUUAAUAAAAAAAUUCAUCAGACUAAGAUUUCUAUCCUAGGAGAAAGUUCAUCAGACUAGGUCUUUUAUUUUAGGAAAAAAAAUCAUCAGACUAAGAUUUGAUUCUAGGAGAAAGUUCAUCAUACUAGAUUUUCUAUCUUAGUAGAAAGAUUCAUCAGACUAAGAUUUUGAUCAUAGGAGAAAAUUCAUCAGACUAGGUCCCUUUUUUGUUAUCUUAGGAGAAAGAUUCAUCAGACUAAGAUUUCUAUUGGAAGGAAAAUCUAUCAGAUUAGGACUUUUUAUCCUAGGAGAAAAAUGUGACGACCAAAUGGCAAAAUUUUAUGCACGCGAGCAAGAUAGAAAAAGAUAAAAUUUGAGAAACUUUCCUUUGUCGGCUCUUCUCUUCCUUUUAUUUCAAUUUUUUCUUUUUUUUUCUAUUUUCUUUUCUUUUUCUCUUUUCAUUUCCCUUUAUUUUGAACCACUUUCCUUGCACUGCUUUAUUCCUAUUUCAAACAAAGAAAAUUUUAUCAGUUUUGAAAGUGGUGGUCGAUUUGUGGCCUUGAGUCCUGAGCAGCUUGCCAUUUGCUUAAUCGGUUUGAGUUGGUUUCAACGAGACCUUUGCUCUAUAUCAACCUUGAUUAUUUCACACCUAGUACCAUUUGUAUUUGUGGCUUAAUCAGCCAUACCCCAACUAGAGAUCCUUUCUCAGGGACCUUUUCUAAUAUCUUGAAUGGCUUCGCUUUUGGAGCAAUUUGUCUGUUAGAGAGAAUCACCAGUUAUCUUUACUUGCGCAAAGUAGGCUGAUAAGAGUCUUUUGGGGAAGCUUUACAUGAAUCCUCAAGGCACAUUGAUAGUAACAACCAAGUGUGCAGGCCAAAUUUACUAUAUGCAACUGAAAAACUGGUAACAGAUUUUGAAAUCUUUUCUUGCUUGUUUGACAAGGACUGACUCGGAGUGCAGGACAUAAUGAUGCAAAGAAACAAGUAUUAACAAGAAAUGCCUUGGUCGGGAAGGACAUGGGAAGAGUUAUUACGAUCACUUUAAACUAUUAUAAUUGGCCUAUUAUCUGACUUUAAUACAUGUUUUAGCCUAUUGUUCAAUUUUAGCUUUAUAACCGCUUUUAUUUAAUUAUUGUUACAUAUUGCAAAUCAUGUCACGCGAACCGUACCCACGAUUUGCAACAUGCUUAAUUUAAAGAUUAAAUUGUUUUCAGGUCACAUAAAUGUACUCCCGAAUUUUAGUAAUUAGGAAUCAAAGCUACUUAACGAAAACCGUACCCGUAGUUAUGAUAAUUAAUUAAUUCACGUGUCUAAAGAAAACUACGAAAGGUUAAAGGUGUUUUCUAUACUAAGUUAAUAUUAAUGAAAGGGCCAUAUUAUGGAAAUCAAUUGUGGAUGAAGAUGUUAUGACUUAAUUAACACAAAAUUUAUAAAAAUCUGCUUAAAGAAUUAGAGCUAAAGUUCUUGGGAAAACAGUGCUAAUAUGUAAUAUACGAAUAUCAACUUUAAGACAUAAUUUCUAUGCCUCCAGAUAAUGUGACAAAGCAAUCCUUUUUCUUUUUGUAGUUGCUAACUGGAAAGGAACAUUGCAAAUUCUUACGAUGUCUUUAACUUAGAAAUCUGACAUCACUUUUUUCAAGAAGAGAUCAAUUAAUUACAAAUAUUCUUAAUCUACUAAAAACUAAUAUGUAAAAGAUAAAAUUAAUUUUUUGAUCAGGAAAGAAAGAAAGAUAUUGAAUGGCUUUUCGGCGUAACUUUGAAAAAAAAUAGCUCUCUUGGUAAAGUCAUAACAAUUUAUUGCAACAACUCUCCUACAAAAAUUUUGUAAUAAAAAGAUAAAAGAGUUAACAAUAUUUUUUGCUCUUUAGAAAAUUAGAUGGAAAUGUGCUGAACUGAACUAGUGACAAAACAAUUAAGAGAAACUGAAAGAUAGCAGACAGAUGAAGAAUUAGAGGGGAUGAUAUGAACACUAUUUACAAAGCAUAUCGUUCCACAAUCCCAACUCAUUUUGAAAAGAACACAUGAAACAAAAAGGGAAAGACAAUGAAUUCCAGAAACUAAAACUUAUGCCAAAAUUGAUCUAGUAGCUAAAUACCAACAAAUUUCAAUCAACUUCAUAGAUUCGUAAAGAGCAAACAGAGAAUUAGCAUUAUUGAAUCAUGCUGAAACAUAAGAGAUAAAUCAGAAGAAGCUGCCAGCAAUGUAGUAAUCAAGGAAUAUAACUCAUAACACAAAAUUCAAGUUCAACAGAAAUCAUCCAUCACCUUCAAAAGUAAUUUCAACUAAUUGAUUUCAUAAGUCAAAUAUGAACAUAAAGUCUUUAGUGUGUGUACCUAGAGCUUAGCAAAGUCAGUGAUAAAAUCGGCAGAAAACAACACCAAUCCCAGCCAAAAUCGACUCGAAAAAUCCAGAAAUUAUCAAACGAAACACAAUAUAAGUCGGAUCAGAUUUUAAAAUCCUUCAUGAUUCCUUUUUUUUAUUUUUUUUCUUGUUAUUGAAGCUGAAAUUUCAGACAUCAGAGCUUGAAGCUUAUAAGGUUCUGCUAUGGGGGUUCUCGGCUGAAGAAGAAGAUAGAAAGGGGGAAAAUGUCGUUGCUCCUCUCUCUUGCACCACUGCUUGUUUUUAGAGGAGAAGGUCCUCUUUUCGUUUCUUGAGUGAGGAAUUUGAUUCUCUGGUUUUGAUGGAGAGAUGAGGAGGAUGAAGGCGUGUGGAUAGAGGAAGAAAAAGGAACGGAAAAAGCGCUGUUUCUUCUUCUUUUAUCUUUUCUUUAGGUCUCAGAUGGAAGGGAGCGUGUAUCCUAUUUUAGGUCUUAGGGAUCUAUUUAAUGUGAAGGAAAACGGAUCGGGCAUGCGGAUUUGGGCUUCGAUCAAGGGAAGUUUUGGAUGAAAUCUGGGCUGGGUGGAAAUUGACCCAAUUUCACAAGACAACCCAUUUUUCCAUUUUUUCUUUUAUUUUUUAAUUUUUCCUUUUCUUUUAAUUAAAAUUCUACAAAUUAAAAAUUCUAAAUUAUCCAAAUGUGUGAAAAUUAACUAAUUAGCUAAUUAUAAAAAUUAUAAACAAUACUUACUUCUAAAUUAAAAGUGAAAAAGCAAUAAACAAAAUUAAAAGACAAAAAUAUAAAAAUGAGCUAUUUUUGUGAUUUUCAAACUUCUAUAAAAUAAAUAAGUACUGAUUAAUUCUAACAAUGUAAAUAAAUCCUAAAUGCAAUGCAUGAUAUUUUUGGUAUUUUUUCAUGAUUUAAAUAAAAAUUAAACAUGCAUAAAAAUGCAAACAAUUAAUAAAAAUCUACAAAAAUUCCUAAAAAAGGUAAAUAAUUAAGAAAAAUCUAUUUUUUGAAAUUAUGUAGGAGUAAUUCAUGUGAGGCAAAAAUCACGUGCCCAUAGACCUUAUGAAAGAAAAAUCAACCUACACGUCGCGAUCAUAUAUGACUUCGAACUUAUAGUGGGAUUAGAAUUCUGAGGCAAACCAACACUAUACCCGCACCAUAUGCCAACAUGCUCCUGAUGAUGGAAGAAAACGGGGCCAAGCUCGCAUCAUAUCGUGCAUGCCCAUAAAGAUGGCCGCUGAAAAUAUCUCAUCCAUGCAGUUUAAGAAGGGAGUCAAAAGACAUGAACCUAUGGUUCCAACUACCCUUUGCAACAAGAACCAAAAGUCAUAUCAUCGACCUCAGAUGACUGAUAACGCUCCUCAGUGUGGGAAGACUCGUCAAGAAGAGCAAAAGGACAAGUCAGACUGCUAAUCACAAACGGGACUUUUGGAGCCACUACAUGCCCCCAGAAAGACCUUGGGAAAGUGUUUCCCUUAACUUCAUCACAAGAUUGCCCAAAGUCGAAAACCUUGCAUCCAUCUUGGUUGUAAUAGAUUGAUUUUCUAAUUAUGCAACCUUUAUAGCAGCCCCACAAACCAUAUUAGCAGAAGAUACAGCUCGGCUCUUCUUCUCGCAUAUUGUCAAAUAUUGGGGCCUGGCCAAAGACAUCAUUAGUGGCCUUGGCUCAUGCUUCACUAGCAACUUCUGGACAUAUCUCUUUAAGUGCUUCAAGUCAAAAUUGAGUCACAACUCAAGCUUCCAUCCACCAUCAAAUGACCAGACGAGACAGUUCUAUGACAUGCUGGACGAAUAUCUUCGUCACUUUGCAACCGGAUAACAACAGCACAGGGUGAAGUUUUUUGAUGCUGCUCGACUGUGUUUCAAUUCUCAACAGCAUAGGGUGAAGUUUUUGGAUGCUGCUCGACUGUGUUUCAAUUUUCAAAAGAGCCCCAAUACAAACAAAAGUGCUUUUGAAAUUAUUACCGGACAACAACCGCUUCUCCCGCAAAUGGUGAAUGCAUCAACCACACUGAAAUCUCCUCGAGCUACCAACCUCUCAAGGGAAUUGGAACGCAAUUUGGAGAUAGUGUGGAGCUAUCUCGUUAGAGCCCAAGAGCAGGUGAAAAGGUUCACUGAUCAGAAUCUUUGCUUUGUCCAACACCAAGCAGGAGACAAAGUGAUGCUAAACAUCCCAAGGCGGUACUUGUUCGCAGAGAGGACCCAUGACCCCUGCCUACUACAAAAACACAUUGGACCCUUGUCCAUUGAAAGCACAUUAGGAAAGCCAUAUACCAGGUUGUCAUCCCAGCCUGGUGGAAGAUCCAUCCAAUCUUCCAUGUCAGUCGCCUGAGAUCUCUUCGGAAAUACAGGGAACAUCAUUCACAAAGCCAACUCACAAGACAGAGUGGAACAGACCUCACGGCCAACAAGAGCCUGAUCGAUCAUCAUCUUGCAGGUAAGGCUCCGAGGACGUCGCUAACUCAGAUGGGGGAGAAUGUCAUGGGCGGCUUUCUACCAUGCCCCAUGACCCAUUUGACGCACCCCAUGGCAUAUUGGCAAGCCUCCCAACGCCCAGCGCAAUGGUCGGCACCGUGGUCUCGGCGGCGCCAAGUGACAAGCGCGCAUGUGCUUCUGUCGCCCCACCGAUAGCCCAUGCCAGCACCCACCGACCGGUAGAUGCCAACAGCGCCAUGUGCACAGACAAUGCCGAGCGCAUAGUUCAUGAUGAUGCCAACAACGCCGCACACACGGACAAUGCCGCGCGCGGAGACCGUGAUGCCUUGCCAGCAGCCAGCAGCAUGCGGGCUCCAAAUAGUGCCGCGCGCCUACAACAUCGCGCGCACAAACCCUGAUGCGAAAGACAAACUUGCUGCCACGGGCCUGUUUUCUGCCUUGUAGAAAACUAAGUCCUUUUCAUUGAAAAUAUAGAGUAGUUUUAUUUCAUGUACUUCCAUGUUUCUCUAGCUUAGUUAAGUCUAGUCUUAUAACUUUGGUUUACUUUUUUAAGCACUAUUAAUGAGAUCAAGCAAUUUCUAGCAAGCAAAUAUUUCUCUGUACUGGUGUCUCUCCCCCUCUACAGUGCAUAACCUUUUGUAAUAGCUUUCAUUAAUGCAAUCAAGCUUCCAUUCUUAAUUCUCAUUUUCGCAAUUGCUCUUGACAUUGGUUUUCUAGUACAGCACUGACAAACUCGUCUAGCAUACGGCGGGAAACUCACUUGGCGGACAACAAUCGUAGUGACAUCGGUUGCUUAGUCUUACGUCGCCCUUCUAAGGAACCUCAUGAAGGCGCUGCGUAACAGGCCACACGCUUGGGCUGCAUAAAUACAUAUUAUUUCUUUUGCUCAAAUCAAGAUAAUGAUGCAAUUUGGGAAGAGAAAGAAAGGUCCAGGACACAUGAUCACAUAAAUUAGGUGCAAGUCACUGCCUAUAAUACUAAUUUCAGCAACAGAAAGUCCUGCUCUUGAAGUUAACAAGCACAUGAUAUGGACACCUCCUUAUUAAUGGUAAAGGCAAGAUUCCACAAAGCAAAAAACUUCCCUGUCCUCUUCAGUCCAUGGACAACUACUUUAAGCCAUUGUUUUUGAAAUAGAGUCAUAAACUGCCUGAGUGCUAAAACAAACAUCCUUUGCUUCACUCAAGUCCUUUCAAACUAAUGGAAUCGUUUGCGCAACAAUCAUCAAGAAAGAUCAUAUAUAAAGGUCCUGAAACUGAAUUUCGAUUUUCCAGUCUCUCGGAGUCUAGCUUAUAGACAUGACCUAUAUUACGUGGAUCCUUCAUUUACCUUGAACUACCCAUGCCAAUCAGGUGCGACGUGAGUGAAUAUGCUCAUAAACACAUAGCCUAGGUCAUAACUACUUCAUAAGCAGCUUAUGCAACAACGAGAGAGAAACAUUCAGCUGUCCAUUCUGGAAAACCUGUUGGCUCCAUUUACUUAUUUUGCUUUUUCUUUAUCUCAACCAGUCUAUACAACUUUCUUUUUUCAGUUGAGAUUAGAAGCUGUCAAAUUGUUACUGUUCUCUCAUAACAGCAGAUUUACUACUAGAGUUAUGGCAUACAUUAAUGCAUCAGCAACAAAAAACUUAUGCCCUGCCCAAAGUAAUACUACAAGCAAUGCACAUAAUGGCAAGAAAAACUGAAACAACACAAUCAGUGGUCUCCAGAAUAAGUAUUGAUCAAAAACUGGCUUUCAUUCUAAACUGUUCAAUGCUGCAGAUAUAUAAAUACUUAUCACUCAAAAGUAGGAAGGUGGAACAAACAUCUUUGACUAUUAGCUUAACUACCGUUAAAGGAAACAGCGGCAGAGAGUGUCAAAACAUAAGAAGUAAACAUACAAAAAAGUUAAGGGGAUUCAACAUACCACGCGCGUGUAUAACUAUAUAUAUAUAUAUAUAUAUAUAUAUAAAAGGGGGAAAAUGUCGUUGCUCCUCUCUCUUGCACCACUGCUUGUUUUUAGAGGAGAAGGUCCUCUUUUCGUUUCUUGAGUGAGGAAUUUGAUUCUCUGGUUUUGAUGGAGAGAUGAGGAGGAUGAAGGCGUGUGGAUAGAGGAAGAAAAAGGAACGGAAAAAGCGCUGUUUCUUCUUCUUUUAUCUUUUCUUUAGGUCUCAGAUGGAAGGGAGCGUGU